UUUUCGAGAAGUGCCUGAUGUGCCUUCACAAGGGUUUGAUAGUGCUGGGGAAAGCUGCCCAAAAUCUUUCUCAAAUUUCUCAGUUUGAUUUUUAUCAGCAAGUUCUGACUCAUCCUUGUUUGUGAUCUUACCUACAAAUGAAGCCUCCUCUGACCCUGUGCUGCCAACUUCAGGUAUCCUAUCAGGCAUUGGUCGUGAGAUAGUUGGAGUUUCAGUUCCAUCAUCAAGCUCCAUAUGAGAAAUUACUGAGGUUUCUGUAUGAUCGGGAAACUCCCUUACAUCUAAUCCAGCAUUUUGCAGAAGACAGCUGGGUACCUCGGCAGGAAUUAAUGUGCCAGGAGCACCCAUUAGAUCAAUAAUAUAUUCACUGCAUCAGAACAAAACAAUUUCACAAUCAAACAUUGUUCAUAUUAAACCUUGUAUUAGACAAGAAGCAUGCAGGUGCAUUAAGUGAAAAAAAAAAAUAAAAAACUGAUUACAGCAAAUACAAAUAAAUGAAAGGAAUGUGGACAGUUGAUGAUGACGGUGGUGGGAAAGGCCAUCAUUAAGAAAUAUACAUAAAUCAAAAGCACUGCAUUCAUAACUUGAAUGUGGGGAUCACUACCUUCCAUUAUCAAGUUUGAUCAGGUUUACAGCUCCAUCAUCUGUGCCAGUGUAGUAGCUUCCUUUAACCAACAUACAUGGAAGAUUGAUUCUAUCAGCUAGCACCUACCAUCACCAGUAAAAAAUCAUUAACUUCAAUCAAUAUAUCCUAAGGACCAGAAACAUACUUUGUCAUUAAAUUAGCUGAAAUAAUGGGGGGGACAACUCUAAACGUUUUCUUCAAUAAUUAAGCACUAAUAAGCCAACAAUGGAAUAGAAAAUUCAAAGUAAUCAGGAUACCCAAGCUAAGUUAAAGGGUGAAUAAAUAUCGUUUGAUUCAGUUUAACCCAAGGAUAUAAAACGAUUUGAAAAUUUACAACCUUGAACAGUAGGGCCCUAUGACGUGAAAGUCCAACAUCAAGACACCCAAGUGGAAGAAUGUUUGUGUUUAGAGAAUUCCUUAACUGGGUACGUCUCAAGGUCCACCUUCCAUAUAUUUCUUCUGCAUUGCCAACUGGUCCACCCAUUCUCUCAACAACAAGAUCAGCAAUUUUCUGUAUCAAGCCACUUAAAAUUGGACCGAGAUCAGAGUAGCGGCACUCAACUGAUACAUUAUACGCUCUUUUCUCAAGCUCUUUAAGGUUAGGAUCAACCAAGCGGUUUACCACAAUCACUUCAUAAUCAAGAUUAUCUGAUAGGGAUAUUGCUUGAAGAUCUACCAACAACGGCAUCUUUCCUUGUGACACUGAAUUUGAGGUAAUUCCAUAUACAUCAUAAAAUCCAUCAACAAUUUUUUCAUCGUAGUUUACAGCACUAUAGCUCUGCAUGUGAAAGAUACAAAAAUUAGUAAAUCCUUUGUUAGCCAGAUUAUAUAACUACAGAUGCGAAGCUAAAAAAAGAAUUACUUAAAAAUCAUUUGAAAGGGUAAACUAUUAGUUCUCCUGGAUCACUUGAGAAAUUAAAGAACAAGAAAUUGCAUCAUGAUUUUGACUCUAACCUUUCCAGAUUCCAGUAAAGAAUAUAAAAACCUUCUCUCCCCUUCUCUCGACCAUGAACGACAUAACCAUUCAGUAAAAAUGAUUGAUAAACUGAUAGACGGUUUCAUAGACCAAAUUAAAUAUUUUCAAAAAUGACAAUUGUACCCAAAUUUUUACAGGAGAAAUAACAUUACACUCCCAAGAGUUACAUGUACAUAAAUUUUAAAUCAGUAAAACAAGGAAAUAAGCAGGUAAAUAUGGUAACAUCAGAAAAUAAGAAAUUACUAUUACAACUUCUGUUGCCGUGAAUUAAGAAACUAAUAGUACUGGCUAUGCAAAUAUAAAGAUGUAUAAAUUGUUUGUCAACAUAAAAGGAAGUGUCUAUAAUGCGCAAUUCACCAAUCAAUCUGCUUGGCAGAAACUUCUACAUUGACGGGGAUCUGGAAGAAACUAAUAAAACCAAUGACAACAUAUCCAAUCACUAUAAUUAACAUAAAUCCAACUAUGUUUCAGUUCAAACUUAAUAUAAACAAGACAAAAGAAUCAGAUUCACAAAACAAGCUAAUUCACUCCGUUCCUCUAUAAAUGCACUUGAAUCAUAACAAAAGUAAUAAAUGGAAGUGAGAUGCAAUAAUUCAAUUUCAAUAUCAACAGCUACUGAUGAAAAAGUACUGAAAGAAAAAAGUUAAUAAUUAAUUAUCCAUGCAAAGUUGCAAACUACCAUCAUUUGUAACCUGAACCAAACAAUAGAUAUAAGAUCUUAAAUAUUGAUCCGAGAUAAAUCAUUCAUAGCUAUGAAAAACUUAAAAAUUCUGAAUUAAACUUGCCUAGUACCCUUAAAUUGAUUAAGUAAAUAGUCUGAAUCCCAAAAUUGAACAAAAUAUAAGCAUUUACACACCCAAUAUCGAAGCGAGAGGAACUCAACGAGGGCAUCGGUUUCAGUGACAGAAGCCGAGCGGCAGCCGAGACUCAUCCGCUUGGCGGCAUCGAUCUGAGCCGACUCAACCUUCUCUCUGGCGUCUGGAUCCGACGCGCUAAUCGCUAAAGCCAACUGCACCUGAAACUCCUCUUCCAAUAAGUUAAAAUCUACUCCACUGUCCCCAUCCCUCCGAUCACUAGCCGCCGAUUCAACGGCCCCGAUUCUCCCCAAUGUCCCCGAGCUAGGAGAUGACGACGACGGCGUAGCGUUGGGACUGGGACUGGGACUAGGGCUGGGGCUCGGAUUGAUAACGGGGCGGGCAUCGGGCAGUCGUUGAUGCUCAUUUAAUCCGCCGCCGAUGUGGAGCUUUCUUAGUAGAUGCUUCACUUUCGACAUCGAUGAUUCAUCAACGACGAACGAUGAUGGCAACUAUUUCGUAAUUUCUUUUUUAUUAUUUUCCCCUUCUUCUUCUCCUUCUUAUCGCCUCUUGUGGCUUAACCUACGCCCACUGAUUAAAGGCAGAUUCGCUUAACAUACGCAUCCAUUCUUCGUCAAGCUACCUCUCCCCACUUUAGACACUUAAAUUAACCGCUCACCCAUUCCCUCCAAUGCACACCUCUCUCUCUCUCUCUCUCUCUCUCUCUCUCUCUUACGUGAAAUGUGAAUUGUGAUUUAUGACACUUGAAAAUUACAAAAUAAAAUAAUUAUUAAUUUAUUUGUUUAAACAAUUUAAUUAAUUAAUAGAUCUUUUUAAAAAAAAACUAAUUAAUAAGUAUAUAAAUUGUACUACUAAUAUGUGUGAGUGUGGGAGUCAAGGAUCGGAUUUGUAAUUCUACGCUGAGUAAACAUUGUAUUGCCUUUCAUGGACGUCUGCUGAUCUUGAACGUUUAGUGGGGGGUAAUGCUUUUCAUUGCGUGAUGUUGGUGAUCGGAUGGUUGUUGUUUGGUCAACGGUUAUGCUGUCGAUUUUGCCAAUUGGGCUGCUUUUGAACUAUGCACCUGAAAAUUAUAAUAAACGGUUAUUUUCCAUAGGUCUUAGUGAUAUCAAUGGUUUGAAUCAAAUUUGUAAUAUGAUGAUGGAUGAUCAUAGACUUGAAAAUUAUAAUGCAAUGAUAAGAAUUUAUGACUGUAUCCACAAUUGCAUGCAUGGACUUUCCUUUAUACUAUGAAAUUUUUAGUAUUAAUUUUGAAUAAUUCUUUUGUGAUCUUAACUAUCGAAUCAAAUAAAUAAUUUAGAGAUGGUCAAUGAUAAUAGUGUUUUUGAUAAUUUUUUAAAAAAUGAAAAUAUUUGUACAAACUACUUUUUUGCUACAUGUGUUACAUAAAUGAAAAAUAAUUUAUGUGCUGUAAAUGAAAAUUUAUAGCACAUAAAUUGUUUUUUUUUUUGUUACAUGUCUUAUUAAAGAGAGAGAUUACAAAAUAUCAUAGGUAUAAUUGAGUAUUAUAUUAACAUACAAUCGAAAGAAAAAUCUGUAAAAUGUUGCAUUCUUUAAUUCCACAAUCCACACAAAUCAUGUAGUUGUUGCUAUGUGUAAAUUUAAAAUGAUAAAGAACAAAAUUGGAUUUAUACUGUUAAAUGUUUAUUGCAAUACAUUAAUGAUGCGUUUAUUAAAUGGAAAUUAGAAUGGAUAAGAAUGGAAAUAAUUGGAAUGAGAAUAGGAAUAUGGAUUAGAAUAAAUUGUUUACUUGAACGGUAAGAAUUAGAAUCGGAAUGAGUCAGAUUCUAUUAAUGCGUUUACUUUGUCUUCAAAUCGAAUUCGGAAUGAAUUAUAUGAUAACAGAUUACUAAAAAAUCAUUCUUAAUAAUAAUAAUUAUUGUUAAUGUAUUAAUUAUAAUUUAUCAUUAAUAAUAAUAAUAAUAAAUCAUCAACAAAAUAAUAAUCCAUUUAAAAAUAAUAAUAAUCAUAAUGGGAUUCAUCAUCAUCAACAAAAUAAUCCAUUUCUCAAAAAAAAAAACAAUAGUCAAAAUCGAAAUCAUCAUUGUUGACAACUACAACGACAACAACAAAUCAUCAUCGCUAGCAACUCAUCAUCAUCGGACGAGAACCAUGGCCAUCAAAGACGAAAUUAGCGGCGAAACGAAGAUGAAACUGAAACGGGGACGAAAUCAAGACACCCCAACGAAUACGAAACCGGCAAUCAGCUGUGGUCCACAGUCGAUGGACCAGCCACGACGAAGAUAGUGGAUGAUUAUGGCCGUGAUAGUGAUAGAAACCUGCAAUGGCGUUUGGCUGGGAGUCAAGUGUGAGAGAGUUUAGGUUUUAAGAUUUUUUUUUCUAUUUAUAUAUUUUUAUUUGAAGUGAUGAUAUUUUUGAAAUAAUGAAGAAUUAAUGGGGCAUAAUGGAAAAUUCUAGGAGUGAGAGUUUAAUUCCCAAAGCCUCCUUAGGAAUUAGAUUUACAUUUUUAAUUCUCAAAUUAAUGUGGGGUCUGCUAAAAUAAAUCGCAUUCAUUUUCUUAUUUUACUAAAUAACGUGGGUUUCAUUCUGAUUCUAAAUUUUCAUUUCUAAAUCCGACAAGUAAAUGCAGUCUAAUAUUAUUGGUGGCAUAAGUUGCAUUUGAUAGAUAAUGACGAAGAUAACCCCGAUGAUUAGAUGAUAAAAAGUAAUUAGCUUUAAUUAAUGAUGCAACAAUAAUACACCAUUGUUUUGGUACACGUGCAUUAGCUCUUAAUAAUGGGUUCUUCGAUUACAGGUGUUUAAAUGCCGUUGAUUAAGCAAACGCAGUUGCCUCUUUUAGACGCAAGGUACGGAGGUGACGAGGGAUGGCACAUCGUUGUACAACGUAGCUGCGGAGUAUGGAAUCAUUCACCGACUCGUGGUUCAUGAGAAAAAUUUAUGGAGGGCUGGCUAAUUGGCCGAUACAGUGCAGCGAGAGACUUGUGACCCGUUAUUCUGAAUUGACUUCAGUUUUUUUUUUUUUUUUUUUGGAAUAAAUAAUAUUUCAUACAAAGUUUCUUACGCAACCGCAACAAUGGUACAGCGGCCGCCGACGUUAAUAAUUUUUUAAAAAUAUUUUUCUUUAAACCGUUAAAAAUAUAUUUGGUGUUUGGGAGGGAUACUGUUUGGGACAAAUGCGUCGAAGGGACCAGGAAUGACGAGCAGACAUCUGAUGGCGGAGUUCUGCGCACCGGUGUUUUCCGUUAAAGCCUGGCGCGUGGAAGAACAGGAGCAGAAACAUCCUGCUCGUCCACGAUGUUGUCGUCCGCGAGGCCAAUUCCUAUAAAAGGCAUGAGGCCAUUCCGGCUAGAGACCGAGAGGCGAGGAGACCCGGUCGACGGCAGUUGGCAAGACGCGCUUUCCAGCACGAGAACCUAGGCACAACAGCCACGCUUUCCCCAGAACCGCGACGUAACACGCAAGAUCUCACGGAGCCAUGACAGCCACACUUUCCCCAGAACCGUGGCGUAACACGCAAGGUCUCACAGAGCCGUGGCAGCCACGCUUUCCCCUGAACCGUGGCGUAACACGCUAGAUCCCAUGUUUUGCCCAUAACGCAGCAGUUGGAGUCCCAUACCGUCUCGAAAAGAGCGGAAGACUGAGAUUCAGAGGAAGCCUAUAAAAAGGUAGCCAACGAAGGUAAAAGGGUUAGCAUUUUUAAGAUAAAAGAGAAAACCACAAAAAAGCCAUAAGACCUGUGGCAAGCGUUCCCCAAACCUUCAUAUCUGACUUGAGCGUCGGAGGGUUUGCGCCGGGAGAACAACCGGCGUACUCUGACUUGUCUGUGUGUGCAGGGACAUCCGGAGAAGAAGCAUUACUAGGAGACCUCCUGGUCGUGGUAGAGUUGAUCGAGCAGGGAUCCUGGUCGUAGAACGAGGAGAACCGGAAUCUCGCAUCAACAUUUUGGCGCCGUCUGUGGGGAUCCAGAGCAAAAAGCUUCUGUCGGUAGCAAGAAGAGGGGUGGAGUAAGCGAAAGUCAAUGGAGAUAGGAGGAAGUAGCGCACAAGGGGGUGACAUAAGGCUUAACGAUUCCGUGACGCUGAGGGAGGUGAUCAGCGAAGCACGGGAAAAAGUCAUGUUCGACCGGAUGGAGCGAAUGGAAAAGCAGAUGGAAACCUUGACAACCAUCCUGCAUGAGCUGCGGAACGAGCGAAGGGUAACCCAAGAGGGAAGGGUGAGAGGCGGUGGAGCGGCACCAGGUACCGAUAGUGCGGAGAGAAGUCGAACCGCUGGGAGAUUUGGCGGUGAGAGAGGUAACGUACCUCUGCGGGGAGAAUUUCAUAGAGAAAGAGAGCAGUCCCCGGGAAGACAGACUUGUGACGGGGGCGACGGAGUGGUGAACGCAGAGGAAACAGAACUGAGGCAACACUUACAUGAUGCAGAGCGAGAGCGGGAUCAAGCUGCAGCGCGCGACCCUGGUCGCGCAGGACAGCUGGAGGAGGAAGUGCGAAGGCUAGCGCAAAUAAUUGAUGACAUGCAAGGGAGGAACAGAGCCCCUGGUUGGAGGAUAAUGCUGGACGGGGAAUCACCGCUCGCAGCAGAGAUCAUGAGGGCAGUUAUUCCAAGAGAUUUCCGCCUCCCCGACCUCAGAUACUCGGGAAGAACUGACCCGCUGGUGCACAUAGAGCGCUUCAACGACAUAACGGGGGUCCAGGGAUUAUCUCCAUCCCAAAGGUGCAGGGUGUUCCCACUAUCCCUUGAGGGACGUGCACGAGAAUGGUACAGGAAACUUCCUCGGGGCAGCAUAAAAACCUUCGAGCAGAUGUGCCAGGAAUUCGCAGAGCAGUUUAGUGGGGCAAUGUCGCCGGAAGAUGACAUGAUGGAGCUGAAGAGCAUGAAACAGGGGGAGCAAGAAACCCUUCGGGAAUUCAUCAAGAGGUUUCAUCGGGCUGUCCUCGACUUGGGAGCCUUCAACCACCCUCAGGCGUUAAGGGGACUGAAAGAAGGGGUGAAGAUAGGAAGGCUGUGGUACAAUUUGAGAAGCCCAGCUAUUCAAACGUAUGCAGCCGCAUACGAACAGGCUAAAAGAGACAUCGAGAUUGAGGAGGAGAAGGCUGCACGGAUCAAGACAGACCAGUUGGAAGGGUUAGGGAGGAAAGAGAAGAAAGCAUUACCAACUAAUGGACCGAACAGGAGGAGGGACCACCAGAUCUCCGGUAGUGGAGCAGGAGGUAGGGUAAUUGCUUACCAGCCUCAUCAGAGGCUGGUCGACCAGAACCAGGACUAUGGGCGGUACACUCCCUUGAAGAUGCCCCUGGAUGAGGUGUACGAGGCCAUAAAGGGUCGAGGGCUGCUGCACCUCCCCACACCAAUAACAAAGCUACCCAACAGGAGGGAUAGAGGACGUUAUUGUAAGAGCAGUGCAUCUGGUCGACCAGAACCAGGACUAUGGGCGGUACACUCCCUUGAAGAUGCCCCUGGAUGAGGUGUACGAGCCUGGACGAGUUUAUGGAUGGGACUUUCCCGAUGGUGGCCACCACGGAUGAAGGGGAGCAGAGUGAUGGAAUCUUGAGACGCGAGCCGCCCGCAGCGAGGGUGAUAGCUGGGGGCCCAACGUUGGCUGGAGAUUCGAACAGAUCGAGAAAAAAUUAUGCCAGAUACGCCAUGACCAGUAAAGAGAUACUCUUCAACACCCCAGCAGCCAAACGAGCAAGGGUCAGGCAAGUGCCAAUCAUGUGGACGGAUGAGGAUGAGGAAGGGAUUCUAUACCCCCACGAGGACGCUUUAGUCAUCAAGGCCACGAUCGCUAGCAAGAAGUUUGACCGGAUACUGGUUGAUACGGGGAGCUCAGUUGAUGUGCUAUUUAAAUCAACUUUGGAAGAGAUGGGAAUAGCCGACCGGAAGUUGGAAUACACCAACACCUCCUUGAAGGGGUUCGGAGGAGGGAAGCUGGUCCCUCUGGGCGUGGUCGAACUGCCUAUCACAAUCGGGAGCCCCCCGACAGAAAGAACAAUGAUACUGGACUUCGUCGUAGUGGACGAGGAAGGUCCUUACCAGAUGAUCCUAGGUCGGCCAUUUUUAAGGAUGAGCAAAGCGGUGCUGUCCAACCAUUAUCUGUCUCUAAAGUACCGGGUGAAUGGGGUAGUCGGAGUGGUACGAGAAGACCAGAGGAUCGCAAGAAGCUGCUACUCCUCGGCAGCAAGGGAGGCGAUGCAGAUAACAUCCCUCGAUACCCGAGUGGAAAACAAGACUGGCAGACAAGAACCCGUAGAGGAUCUGGAAACAGUAAGCAUGGGACCGGAGAACCCGGGAAAGACGAUCAGAAUCGGGUCGAGACUUGAGGGAGAGCAAAAGCAGGAGUUGGUGAAAUGCUUACAGGCUCAUGCCGACGUGUUUGCCUGGACACAUGAGGACAUGCCAGGGAUUGACCCAGAGGUAGCAUGUCAUAGGCUGGCAAUAAAGAAAGGUGCUCGGGCAGUAAGGCAGAAGAGGAGGUGCUUCAACCAGGAGAGGUAUGAGGCUGUAAGUGAUGAGGUGGAGAAGCUUCUGAGAGCAGGGUUCAUUCGGGAAGUUAAUUACCCAGAGUGGAUAUCGAACGUGGUGUUGGUAAAGAAGGCGAACGGCAAGUGGAGGAUGUGUGUGGAUUUCACAGACCUCAAUAAGGCGUGCCCAAAAGACAGCUUCCCUUUACCAAAGAUCGAUCAGCUAGUAGAUUCAACGGCUGGACAUGGUCUGCUUAGCUUCAUGGACGCAUUCUCGGGAUACAACCAGAUCCCCAUGUACGAGCCGGAUGAGGAGAGCACGGCUUUCAUCACUAACCAAGGUCUGUUCUGUUACAGGGUGAUGCCAUUCGGUCUCAAGAAUGCUGGGCCACCUAUCAAAGGCCGGUGAAUAAAGUCUUUAAGCCCUUGAUCGGGAAAACCAUGGAGGUGUACGUGGACGACAUGAUCACCAAGUCCAAAGUCCCGAAGGAACAUGUCAGACAUCUCGAGGAGACGUUCGAGCUUUUGAGGAAGUAUAAGAUGAAGCUCAACCCGGAGAAGUGUGCUUUCGGGGUCGAGUCCGGGAAAUUCCUGGGAUUCAUGGUGAGCCAUAGGGGGAUUGAAGCAAAUCCCGAGAAGAUCCAGGCGAUUGUGCAAAUGACGUCUCCUCGAAACCUGAAGGAGAUGCAGAGCCUCACGGGGAGGUUGGCGGCGUUGAGCAGAUUCAUAUCCAAGGCUACAGAUAAGUGUCAGCCAUUCUUUCAAGUGAUAAGGAGGGGAAAGAAAACGGAAUGGACCCCAGAAUGCGAGGAAGCCUUCCGGAACUUGAAGCAUUACUUGCAGCAAGCUCCGCUACUGUCCACACCGAGGGAUGGGGACAAGUUGAAUCUGUAUUUGGCGGUAUCUGAUCGGGCCGCCAGUUCCGUUCUGGUGAGAGAGGAAGAAGGAAUUCAGUAUCCGAUAUACUACACCAGCAAGGCCCUGCUCGACGCUGAGACCAGAUACCCAACGAUGGAGAAAUGGGCACUGGCCCUUGUGGUUGCUGCUCGGAAGUUGAGGCCGUACUUUCAAGCAUUCCCGGUCUCGGUAAUCACCAACCAGCCAUUGCGUCAAAUUCUGCACAAGCCGGAUGCCUCUGGUCGGCUCGUCAAAUGGGCUGUAGAACUGAGCGAAUUCGACUUAGACUAUAAACCCCGCGCGGCGAUAAAGGCCCAGGCAAUGGCCGAUUUCGUAGCUGAGUUCGCGGAGCCUGAAGUAUGCUUGGAUCAGCAAGAUGCAGAUAUAGGCAACGACGAAACUCAAGUAUGGCAGAUAUCGGUGGAUGGGUCAUCAGGAGAGCGGGGUUCAGGAGCAGGGAUUGUCCUGGAAGGCCCAGAGGGGGAGGAGAUCUCUUAUGCUGUAAAGUUGGAAUUUGCAGCCACAAAUAACCAGGCAGAAUAUGAAGCCUUGAUAGCAGGGCUGGAAUUGGCUAGGGCCGUGAAAGCGGACAGAGUUAAGAUCAGAACCGAUUCCCAGCUGGUUGCGAAUCAUGUCAGUGAAAGAUUCCAACCAAGAGAGGAGAAGAUGGAACAGUACCUAAGGAUAGUCAGGCAGAUGAUGGGGAAGUUCGAAGCAGUGGAGGUGAUACAAAUCCCCAGGGAGCAGAAUAGUCGAGCAGACAUUUUGGCUAGGAUGGCAGCCGUCGCCGACCCAAAAAUGCCAAAGUCGGUCCCCCUAGAAGUAAAGUCUCGCCCGAGUAUCGAGCAAAAUUUGGGGGUGUUGCGGAUAGAACAAAAAAGCUCGUGGAGGGACCCGAUAGUUUCGUACCUUAGAGACGGGGUCUUACCACCAGAUAAGCUACGGGCUCGGAAGAUUAGAGCUCAGGCCUCGAGAUACACGAUGAUCGAUGGGGUACUGUAUCGACGAGGAUAUACAUUACCGUUCCUUCGGUGUUUGGACGAUGACGACGCGGAUUACGUGCUGAGGGAAGUGCAUGAAGGAAUUUGCGGAAAUCAUUCUGGCGGGAGGUCCCUGGCCCACAAGGUCUUAAGGCAGGGAUAUUUCUGGCCGACGAUGCACCAGGAUGCGCAAAGGAAGACCAGGAGCUGUGCAAGCUGCCAGAGUUUUGCAAAUUUUUCUAACCAACCACCAGAGAAGCUCACCUCCAUGGCCUCCCCUUGGCCAUUCGCUCAAUGGGGAAUUGAUCUGAUCGGCCCAUUGCCAAAGGGACGAGGAGCAGCAACACAUGCGAUAGUCGCUAUAGAUUACUUCACGAAGUGGAUAGAGGUAGAAGCCCUUAGCAGGAUCACAGAGAAGAAAACAACAGACUUCGUGUGGAGAAACCUGGUCUGUCGAUACGGGAUCCCAUAUGCCUUGGUAACGGAUAAUGGCAGGCAGUUCGAUAAUCACAGCUUCAGGGAUUUCUGCCAGAACCUCGGGAUAGAGCUGAAGUAUUGCUCGCCUGCUCACCCCCAAUCGAAUGGACAAGUAGAAGCAGCCAACAAGACAGUCAAGAGGCUUCUGAAAACCAGGCUCGGAGCAAAAAAGGGUGCGUGGGUUGACGAGCUGUCAGGUGUGCUAUGGGCAUACAGAACAACCCACAAAACCGCAACAGGGGAGACACCGUUCGCUUUGGCUUUCGGACAUGAAGCGGUCGUGCCGGCUGAGGUAGGAACGACCACACACCGGACAGACCAUUUCAAUGAGCAGGAGAACGACGAGCAGAUAUGUUUGAAUCUUGAUCUGCUAAUGGAGAGGAGGGAACAAGCAGCCGAGCGAUCAGUCACUUACCAACAGAGGGUUGCUCGGUAUUAUAACCAGAAGGUGAACAUACGGCAAUUCAGGGUCGGAGACUGGGUACUGAGAAGAGUGAAUCAGAGCACCAAAGAUUCGACUCAAGGAGUGCUGGGACCGAAUUGGGAAGGGCCGUAUAGAGUCAAGCAGAUAGCGGGGCCCGGAGCUUACAAGCUGGUUCGCGCGGACGGCCACGAAGUGAAACGCCCAUGGAACGCAGCACACCUCCGAAAAUACUUCCAGUAAGACUUGCUCACAUUUUAAAGCAAUUUCUGCUCAUGCGGUCUAUCUUUUAUUUUUAUGUUUUAUGUCCGAACAAUUUCAUGUAAGUCAAAUCCUGCCAUUAAUGUAACGUCGACGAAUUUAUUUCGCUUAAAAAAAAAAAAAAAAAAAAAAAUCCUGAGGCAUGCAAAGGCUCGCCAAGUCUCAGAGCCUGUCUUAUGGCGAGACAGAAGCCAAGCAUGCCAGGAUCUGCUCGGCCACGAGAAGGCAGCAGAAUCCAAAUCGUUUGAAGAAAAUCCUAAGGCAUGCAAAGGCUCGCCAAGUCUCAGAGCCUGUCUUACGGCGAGACAGAAGCCAAGCAUGCCAGGAUCUGCUCGGCCACGAGAAGGCAGCAGAAUCCAAAUCGUUUGAAGAAAAUCCUGAGGCAUGCAAAGGCUCGCCAAGUCUCAGAGCCUGUCUUAUGGCGAGACAGAAGCCAAGCAUGCCAGGAUCUGCUCGGCCACGAGAAGGCAGCAGAAUCCAAAUCGUUUGAAGAAAAUCCUAAGGCAUGCAAAGGCUCGCCAAGUCUCAGAGCCUGUCUUAUGGCGAGACAGAAGCCAAGCAUGCCAGGAUCUGCUCGGCCACGAGAAGGCAGCAGAAUCCAAAUCGUUUGAAGAAAAUCCUAAGGCAUGCAAAGGCUCGCCAAGUCUCAGAGCCUGUCUUACGGCGAGACAGAAGCCAAGCAUGCCAGGAUCUGCUCGGCCACGAGAAGGCAGCAGAAUCCAAAUCGUUUGAAGAAAAUCCUAAGGCAUGCAAAGGCUCGCCAAGUCUCAGAGCCUGUCUUACGGCGAGACAGAAGCCAAGCAUGCCAGGAUCUGCUCGGCCACGAGAAGGCAGCAGAAUCCAAAUCGUUUGAAGAAAAUCCUAAGGCAUGCAAAGGCUCGCCAAGUCUCAGAGCCUGUCUUAUGGCGAGACAGAAGCCAAGCAUGCCAGGAUCUGCUCGGCCACGAGAAGGCAGCAGAAUCCAAAUCGUUUGAAGAAAAUCCUGAGGCAUGCAAAGGCUCGCCAAGUCUCAGAGCCUGUCUUAUGGCGAGACAGAAGCCAAGCAUGCCAGGAUCUGCUCGGCCACGAGAAGGCAGCAGAAUCCAAAUCGUUUGAAGAAAAUCCUAAGGCAUGCAAAGGCUCGCCAAGUCUCAGAGCCUGUCUUAGGGCCAGACAAAAGCCCAGCAUGCAAGGAUCUGCUCGCUCGCGAGAAGGCGAGCAGGCUCCAAAGCAUUUGGAAAGUUUUCUACGGCACGAAAAGGCCUCACCAAGUCUCAAAGCCUGUCUUACGGCGAGACAGAAGCGAUCAGCGUUUCAGACGAAAAUUAAUUCAUGAGUACGACACGAGAUAGUAAUCAACAACAUUUUUAUUAAUGGCUAACAGAGAGGAUAAAUUUCAUAAACGUUGUUCAUUACAAUACAAGAAGAAAUAUAUCAAAAAGAUGGUGGGUCAGUGAGCCGAGCAGCAUCGGUUGGCUGGACCUCCUCGGGUGCGGGAGGGGUAUCACCAGUUGCGUCCGGGGGGGUGCUCGCCUCGCCAACAUCAGCGGGGACUGCACGAGGAGGAGAGUUACCCUCCUCAAUCACGAUCGGCUCUAACCCCUCGGCAUCUUCCUUGGCCGCCUCCUCGUCCAUAUGUUGGGCAACACCAGCUGCAAGGUCAUCCAUCUUCAGAUCAGGGUGUUGCUUCCCGAGGACGGCCAUGAUACAACGAUACGAAUGCCGAAGUCCCUGGUCGUACUGGUUGUCGGCCUCCCUCUCCAAGUUCUCUACAUGAGCUCGGUGGGAAUCGCGGAGAGAUUCGAGCUGAGCCUCAUACAUAGCCCUCUGCCCUUGGAGGUCCUCCUUAACCUUGGUCAGCUCCUCCUCGAGUGUAAUGGCUUUUGCUUGAGCAAGGGACUCUUGCUCUAUCAGCUUGAGGUUCUCAACGUUUAGCUCCCCCGCCUUUUUCUCGGCAACGUCAGCUCUGGUCGUCGCCGAUUGAAUGUCCUCCUUCAUCUUCCUGUCGUAACGGCCAACCUUGGCCUUAUAGUAGGUGGCCAUGCAGCUGAGAUGGAAAGCACUAUACUGCAUGGCUCCCACCAGCUCGCCCAGGGUACAACCGUCAAAGCCCUCCAGGUCCUUCUUGCUCACGAGUUUAGACAACUCAUUGAGAUAGGGAACCAAGUGUUCUGGUCGGCUGUCGGGUAAGCGGGACCGAGGCACAACAGGUGGAGAAGAGGAAGCAGGAUCAGUGGCCGCUCUACUGAAUUCCCCGACUCUAGCAGAGGCAGGAGGGAGAGCCUGCAAGGGAGGAACCUGCUGCACGAUGUUCUUUCGCUUCGCAGCGGGAGCAUCUUUGUCCUGGUCCCUAUCGGUUGUUGGAGGCCGAGAGCGUUUCCUGGUCAGAGCUCCAAUCACUGCGUCCUCCAUCUUAUGGCCAGGAAGUAUCAACCGAGACUCGAGGAAGUUGUAUGUAGAUAGCAGUUCUCGGCUCGAGCAGGAAUUGGCCAAUACAGCCUCGACCCGUUUAAGCAGACCAGGUCGGAGCGGGAAGUGAACACCCCAGGAAACUACAGCACAAACAGACACUUGGUUAGAGACAAACCAAUACAGCAGGAACAAUUAUGGAUACAAGACAUCUAAAGCGAGCAGGCAACCUGGGACCGUGAAACGGGGUGGGACGCGACAAUCCUUCCCGUCUAUUUGUGCAACUUGACCCCAGGGACCCCCAGCAAAAAAGAAUUUCCUCUUCCAAGUCCCACCACCACCAGUUGGAAGAUCAGUUAUGGGUUUCCUGCUCUUGGUACCAGAUUGGAAGUAGUACCAGCCGGCAUCUUUAGGGCUGCUCUUCAGCUGGUACAGAUGCUUCACCUCAUCAACCGUGGGCUCGCUUUGGCAACAUCUGUCCCACAAUAUGAACAGACCAGAGAGCACUCUCCACCCGUUGGGGUUCAGCUGACCAGGAGCCAGAUUUAGCCCGUUAAGUAUCCGGGCAAAGUAAGGCUGCAAGGGACACCUCAGCCCAUACUUAAAGCUCUCCAGAUACAGGGUAACGUAUCCCCUGGGAGGCCGGCUAGGUGUAUCCUUUUUUCCUGGGAUCCUAAGAGGUAUCUCACCAGGAAUACUAUACCUAAGUCGGAGGUCAUUGAGCUCGUCAAACGUGGUCGUACACGACAUGUAGUCAAUGGCAUAAUCACGCGACAAGGCUCUACCCCCUACUGUACCCCGUUCUUCUGGUCGUGAUGCUCCUGAUGAGGACGCCUCACUAGAAUCAUCCCCUUGACCCUCACUCAAAGUGUUCUCCGAUCCAGAAGACCCUUCUUCAUCGCUACUGUCGCUCGAGGAGGUUGUUUGGGGAGACAUCCUCCUAGCGCUAGUACCAACACUAGACCUAAUGGGCUCUAAGGGGAUCCCGGGAUCAAAAGCAAAAUCAGCGGGCAGACUAGGCAAAAAACCUAGUUCGUCGUCACCAACCUCAACGACCUUCUCCUUACCCUUCGACAUAUCCUAAGUUCUAACCAAAACACCACCGCCAACUACAACCUCAAGCAAAGCAGAGAGAAAGGAGAUUACCUACAACUAACCGAUACCGAAAAAAAAAAAAAAAAAAAAAAAAUAGAAAAAAUACCUGAAGCAGGGACUCGGUCAGAGAGAGACAGGGAUGACAGCUUUGGCGCCGAGGUUCAUUCGCCGGAGAGACAAGAAUGGAGAAAAUGACGAGUUCGUGUUUGAAGAUUUUGGGUUUCCUUACUGAGAAGCAAACUCUUGGGCUGCCAGCAUUUAAUGACGCAUAUUCCGAGAAUCCCGUAACCGUCGGUUUGAAAUUCAAAUGGAGGGGGGGAUUUCUGCCACGUCACCUCGUCCGCAAUUAAAUGCGACAUGACUCCUGGCAGCCUUUUCCAAACCCACGCGAGCGAGUACUAUCGAGUUUCUACUGCUGGUCCACUACAUUACCCAACACCAGAAACUGGGGGACCGGUGUUUGGGAGGGAUACUGUUUGGGACAAAUGCGUCGAAGGGACCAGGAAUGACGAGCAGACAUCUGAUGGCGGAGUUCUGCGCACCGGUGUUUUCCGUUAAAGCCUGGCGCGUGGAAGAACAGGAGCAGAAACAUCCUGCUCGUCCACGAUGUUGUCGUCCGCGAGGCCAAUUCCUAUAAAAGGCAUGAGGCCAUUCCGGCUAGAGACCGAGAGGCGAGGAGACCCGGUCGACGGCAGUUGGCAAGACGCGCUUUCCAGCACGAGAACCUAGGCACAACAGCCACGCUUUCCCCAGAACCGCGACGUAACACGCAAGAUCUCACGGAGCCAUGACAGCCACACUUUCCCCAGAACCGUGGCGUAACACGCAAGGUCUCACAGAGCCGUGGCAGCCACGCUUUCCCCUGAACCGUGGCGUAACACGCUAGAUCCCAUGUUUUGCCCAUAACGCAGCAGUUGGAGUCCCAUACCGUCUCGAAAAGAGCGGAAGACUGAGAUUCAGAGGAAGCCUAUAAAAAGGUAGCCAACGAAGGUAAAAGGGUUAGCAUUUUUAAGAUAAAAGAGAAAACCACAAAAAAGCCAUAAGACCUGUGGCAAGCGUUCCCCAAACCUUCAUAUCUGACUUGAGCGUCGGAGGGUUUGCGCCGGGAGAACAACCGGCGUACUCUGACUUGUCUGUGUGUGCAGGGACAUCCGGAGAAGAAGCAUUACUAGGAGACCUCCUGGUCGUGGUAGAGUUGAUCGAGCAGGGAUCCUGGUCGUAGAACGAGGAGAACCGGAAUCUCGCAUCAACAUUUGGUAAUUAUUAAUUAAGUUUAGAAAAAAUAAUUGAUACACCCAAAACAUUUAUGGAAAGGAGGAAUACAAAACUCCCUAAUAUUGAAAAAAAAAUUUAAAUCCUAAUUUAUUAAAAGAUUCUGUCAAUUUUAACAAAAAAAAUUAUUUUCAAUUAUAAUUACUAUUAUCCCCCUCUAACAUACAAGUUAAUAUAUUGACUUACUCAUUUUUCUUAUAAAAUUAUUAAUAAAUAAAAUUUUGCUCUAGAAAUUCAAUUUAAUAUCUUAUUUUUCCUAAUUGCUCAUCUUGACAUUCUAAAAGCAAGCCAUAUUCUCUAUCAUCUUAAUCAUAUUUAAGAAAGAAUUUCAUCUUCUUCUUAACUAUUUCACAAUCCAAUUCUUCACUACCUUCAAUGUCUCCAACAUCCACUUUAUCGUCAUCCCAAUUUGAUCCACUUUUGUCAUCAACAGGUGCUGUGUCUACAUUGUCAUCAUUUGACCGAUAUGCUUCAUCGUCAUCAUCAACAUUUUGGCAUAGUCUAGAACGAGCAGUGGCUUAAGGGCACGAGCAACGAGUCUGCGUGCAAUAGGUUAGGGAAUUCUAUUAGGGGCUUGUGAUUUUUUGAUAGAAGAGGAGAGUUUUUCAAUUAGGAAUCGAUUGAAUUUUGUAAUUUUAGGUUUGUGAUUUUUGGAGGAGGAUUUUUUUGGGUUAAUUCACUAGUUAUUAGUAAGGGAAUGUAAUAUGUUAACCUUUUAAUUAUUUGAACAAACUGAAUCCAUUAUCAAAUUGGGGUUUAAAUGUUAUUUUUAAAACAUUAAAGAGUUUUAUAUCCUCUCCCUAAAUAUUUAGGGUGUAUCGGUCAUUUUCCCAUUAAAAGUCCAUUUAAGAUUGCUUUUAGAAGGUUAAAAAGUAAUUUUAAAAAUCUAAAAAUUAAUUUUAGUGUUUAGUAAAAAAAAAUCAAAAUCACUUUUGUUAAAAAUCAAUAUCUCUUUUAGCUUAUUUUGAAAAGGAGGGAAUGAAUAGCUUUUAGAUUCUUAUUUUAAGAAUUAAUUUUAUCUUUUAAUACAAUUCCAUAAAUAUCCUUAAAAUUAUUAUCUAAACCCAAAAUUAUCCUUAUUCAAAUUGGAAACAAAAUCAAUAUUUUAAUUAAUUUGUAUUAUAAUUCAUCAAUAUAAAUUUAUUAAUAUCAAUUUGUUGGUCAAUUAUUAUUAAAUUUGUUUCAUUAUAUUAUAAAUUUAAUUAUCAAUUGUUUAAGACGGAAAAAAAUAUAAAAUCAAUAUAUUAUAAAUUUUAUUUUUAGUUAAAAUUAUUAUAAUACACAAUUAAAUAUAUUGUAUGUAAAUGUUUUUAUAUGUAUAAGUAAAUUUUAUCCUAUAUUAUGUACAUUUUAGUCAUUUGCUUAUCUCAGCAGUUUAACAAUAAAAUUCACUAAACGUCCAUAAACUGCUUUCAAAACUCACAGUACUUCUGAAAAUAAAAUUUACUAAACGCUUAACUGAUUCUCUUCAUUCCUGAUCAUUUUUAAUUAGUUUAAAAAUUACAGCAUUCACAAACUGGCCCUAAGUUAUUUAUCUUCUUCUAUUCCACUUUUACAUGUAGGACUUAUGGGUUUGUAUGGAAUUGAUUUUUUUUAAAAAUAUUUAACAGUAUAUAUAAUUCGUUAUAGAUUCAUAUGUUGGGACCACACUAUCACUAACUGAUCGAAACAAUUUAAAAUUGUUUUUAUUCUAAGUAUCACUGUAAUUGUAACAUCAGUUUUUCUAUAAAAAAAAAAAAAAAAUUAUGUACGAAUUUGUAUUCCUAUAAUUUUAAUCCAAUGUCCCAUUUACGUGAGGUUUUAAGAGGCCAUGUAAAUUACAAUGAGGGGGUGAGAAGAGAAAAUGGUAGAUCAGAGAGAUGGAAUAUGCUACAAGAUGCGAAAUCCUGUACGAUAAGGUUAUCAAAUAUUUAAUGGGGCAUUAAAAAAAUAUUUAAUCGAGCUAAUAGAAAAAGCUUGGUUAUCCCAAAAUAAUAUGAAAAAUGAAAAAAAAAAAAAAGAGGGCUUCGAGUUCUAAUUUAGCCAUGGGAAGUAAGUGGACGAAAAGGAAUUGGAACAAUCGAAUGAUCUAGUCAGAAUCGUCUUAGAAUCCGACGGAAUUGAUGUUACGUUCUUUUGGGCUUUGGAUAGUUUUCCAUAUUGGAUAAGAUUUACACAAAGUAGAAUUGAUAAGCAGGCACCUCACACUUCAAACUUUUUGUUUAAAAAGAAAAAAAAAAUCAGAGCACAUGAAAAAUGUUUAAAUUUAGGAUAUACUUGGUAUUGUAGUUGGAAAACUAUAUUUUAAUAACUAUAAUAUUAAAGUACUUAAUAAAUACUCGAUGUUAUGAUUCGUAAGCGAAGUUGAUUUUAUCUCACUUUUAUGUGAUCAAAAUUUCGUAUUAUCUUUACAUUUUUUAAAAAAUUAUUAUUUAAAAGUUAACUACACUUUUUUUAUUUUUUUAUUUUAUAGUUAUAUUGUAGGCAAUAAUUUGAAUUGACAUAUGGGGAUUGAUAUUUGCCUUAUAUAUAAUUCGCGUCAAAUUUGGAUCCACGUAAAUAUUUCAUUUGUAUAUAUUAAUUGUAUAAAAAAUAUUUUGAUUAUUGAUCAGACAAAUUAUCGAACGUAUUAUGUUUUAAAAAUAUUUUCUAAAACUUCCCCCUACGUAAAGAAUAUUUCGAUCGCAAAACGUCAGAAUAUGCGUAGUAAUGUUGCUUGCACGGAAAGUUUAGCAAGUAUUUAUUUUAUGUGGGGUUGGUAAUCAAUUGAAACGGGACGAGACACACAAGUGACAAGAAUCUAGCUGUAAUGUUGACUGUGUAAAUGAAAGCUUGUAUGGGACUCCGGACACAGCACAGCUGGCAAAUUAUAAAAUGCCAACUGGGAUUUUGACCCUUUACAAAAUUGGGUGCGAAAAAGGUUGGCCACAGAUUCUUCUCCCUCGGCUUUAUUCUUCACCCAUUUGUUAUAAAAGUUCCCCAGCUUUAAAAUGUGUUUGGUAAUCAAUUAAUUUAAAGACAUGGACAAUGAGGCCAAGAAAGAGGAAAGAUGAUUUACAGUACCUGAGCUGCAAUCAGCAGGUAUUGUUAUUAAACGAGCUGAUAUAAUUAAUCAGUGUAUCAUUUCAGUAGUUGCAUUCAAUUUCAUUAUGCAAGAUCCCAGAUUGCCAAUGGAAUCACGCUGCGGCACAGGGAGAGAUCCUUUUGAUAGUAACAGAUUAAUGUACCUAAGCAAUUCAUGCUCUGUGUGAUAUCUAUGAAAUAUUAAAAAGCAAUAGAAGGUUCUGUUUAGAACUCAAACAAUGUAAUUAAUAUAGCGAAGAUCAUUGCAAAAAAAAAUGUAGAAGCACGGAUUUGCCACCAGCAAAAACUUUGAAAAGCUUUUCAAUAUCCGCCAAGGUGGUUUUGUUUCAUCAAAGGAAGCAGUGGCCUAAGAGACAAAAAAACUCCCUCAAUCUGAUGACAGCAGAAAGUCAUACAUUACUCAACCAAUCAACAAAAAAUAUGGAAGACAAACUCACAGUGUUGGAAUAUCUACAACCCAAAGAUUCAUUUCACUCUUGUAAGGAGCGUUGGCAAUGGCAUGUGCAUCUGCACACUUCACCUUCACAGUGUCAAUGAAGGGAAGCCCUCAGCUUUUUCAACCCAAGUGCCGGCUAGUCCAUGGAUUCAUUGAGCAAUAGUUUUAAGGCCUCCAGGUCCGUGUUUCCGAGUAAUGGACUAAUGACUACAAAGAAAAGUUUUAUUCAAGCAAAGCAAAGUCAGUUCGUUGGGCAUGUUUUGUGGCGCAGAAAAUAUGAAUGCACAUGUUUGUGACAAAAUCCUUGAGCUGGAUAAGGUUCUGCAGUCUCAAAACUGUCCAUAAAUUAGAGAACAGUUUCCAGUCUCUCCACAGUUUUCCAAUCUCUACGCAGGCAGUCCUCUAAAGUAAAACAGAAAUACGACAGGAAUAACAAUAAUCUCUUACUCGAGGAGUGCAGAUGUUGCUGGUAGCCUUGUCCUUGCGGAUAUGCCUCUCCGUAGUCUGCAUUGCCAUUCCCAGAGCAGAUUUCCCUGAAGAAUCAAUACUAGUUUCAGGUAAGUUUCCUUUGAAGUGGAUAGCCGAAUGCCAAGUAUGGUAAUAAUCUAUCUUCCGAGCAUACAAUAGCCAGAGGCAUUAAUUUACCUACAAAAAUAUAGCCGUCUCUACCCACGAUUCCUGCAUCACAAUUCCGUUUUUGUCCAAACAGCAGAGUAACCGGGCUUCUAGAUGUGUUAUUUCACUAGCGAUCCUUUCGGGACCUUGACUUGUCAAACGUCAAUAAUCCUCUCUGGCAUCAUCCUCUUAUACUCUUGAGAGGUAGCCGAAAAUGCUGCAUGAGGACUCCAUACCCCAUUGGCACACCAAACCUCUAAGCAAAGCCCACCACAAAUGUAAUCCCCCCCGUCGUCCGGAGGCUUCAGCAUUGCCAACACCAACAAAUCCGAUGCUAUAACAACCUUAAUCCCAUUCGCACAAGCAUUCUUAAUGAACUCCCCAUAAUCCAAAACUUACCCGGAUACUGGACCAAAACUCUACAUACAUCACCCGACUUGUAAUCAAUAUCUUUAAGAUCCGAAAAAACAAGUUUAUGAUCAAAACCAUCAGCUCUAGUAACACAAAUGUCAAUUGUUUGAGGGUGGCAAUUGCUAGCAAUAAUAAAAGUCUUCUUCCUUCCCUUCUGUAUGCUAUUGCUCAUAGCCAUUGCCUCAGCAGUAGCAAUUCCCUCAUCGAGCAACGAGGCACUUGACCUAGGCAAUCCAGUAAGAUCCGUAAUAAUGGUCUAGAAAUUAAGCAGAGACUCAAGUCUUCCUUGAGAAAUCUCAGCCUGGUAUAUGAUAUACUAAGUGUACCAACCCCAUACCAAUAAAUGACUUAUAAACCUGAUGAGCGUAAUUUAUUGAUAUCUUUCCCCUCUAAUCAUAUAUUAAUUAGUCUUUUGUCAUUAUAUUUUUAAUUAAUUUAUUUAUUUUUAUUGAACAGGAAAAUUAACUGGGCAUUGAAAAAUAAAUAAAGCUUAAAGGAUUAAAUUGGAAGAGAAAUAAAAGAUUAUCGCACGAGUGGGCUUCGGAUAUUAAGGGCCAAAAAUUAAGAGGACAAAGAAUUAAUUUGUUAGAAUUUAAUCCAAAUUGAAAUGGGAUCCAUCAAACUCACUGAGAAUUGAAGCAAUACUGCCAUUAUAGUUGGCACGUGCAUGGCACUAAAAUGGAAUGAAAAUCCUAAUCUGAUUCUAAGAGGAGGUGGCAGCACAAUCAUGUAUAAGCAUCAUCACGCCCAAUAAGAGAAGAGGAGGAGGAGAAUCGGAAGACAGAGAGAAGAAUUAGAGCGGCAGCCGCAUGAUGGGUUCAAUAAAUUCUACUGUCAUCAAUCUCUUUAUGUCUUUUUAAUUUUUUAUACUGGAGUCCCGUUCAAUAAAAAUUACCUUUUAACUCAAUUAAUUUCCUACAUUUAUGGUUAUUAUUUCACAUAUUUAGUUGAAUAGUAUUAUGUUGAGUUUAUUUAUUGGAGUGAGAGUGAAGAGUGUGAAUUCAUUCUAUUAUAAUGUUUAUUUGCUUAAUUAAAUAGAUGAGUGAGAGUCUCAUUCUGUGGGUACCACUUAAUUUUGAAGUGUGCAGUGACAUUCCCACUCUUAGGAGAGCCCACUCCUACUUUUCCUUUUUUUAUCAUUCCUUUAUUAAAUAUAGUAUAAUUAUAUUUAUUUAAAUAAAAUAAUGUUACAUUUACUUAAAAAUUAUAAUAUUAUAUAUAUAUAUAUAUAUAUAUAUAUAUAUAUAAGUAUACUAUUAUAAUACUAUUUAAUAAUAUUACAUUUAUUAAAAAUAAUAAUAUUUAACUUGUUUGAAUAUAAUAAGAUUAUAUUUAUAAAGAAUUAAUAAUAUUACUAUAUUUUUAUUUAAUUUUAAUAGUAUUAUAUUUAUUUAAUCCUAAUAAUUAAUGAUAAUAAAUAGUGUAUUCUAAGAAAAAAUAAUUUAUUUUACAAAUAUAUUUUUUAAUUCACUUUGUACCUAAAUGCUAUAAUUCUUUAAAUAAGGGGUAAAAUUAAGACAAAGUAAGCACAUAAAUGAGGUUCUAAUUUAUAUUCCACACUUUUCAUUUCACUGUAAGUAAACAACUUACUCCCACUCUCACUCCGCACUAUCAAUCCUAGGAUUCUGACUCUUCAUGAUUCUCAAUUCAAUCCAAGAAGUAAAUGCUACCUUAAUGUUUUUCACAAAUUCUAUCAUACAUUAUUGAUUGUUGGAAUUAAUAUUUAACUAAACAUAUGCUUGGAUCCAUAAAGUUUAUAAGUGAUUAUCUUUGAUUAUGUGUCUUUCAUUAAAUUAUUUACACAGAGUGCUUAUGAAAGCUUUAAUUGUUUAUUAUUCAAUAUUAUUUAUAUGGUAUGCUUAAAUAUCAUACUAUAAAGCAAAAAAAAAAAAAAACCUAUGUAAGAUUAAUUUUUAUUAGGCUUAAUUGUUAUAUUCAUGAGUAGAUAUACAUUGACCAAACAAUACUACAAUUUAUAAAAGAAGCUUAUAAGAUUAAAUAAAUACUUUUAACCAUUAGAUGAGGCAUACCAAAUAUGUAUUAAUUCUUAAAAUCGAUAAACUGAUGGAUAAGGUGAAGAAUAGGGUGGGGAGGCUGAACCAUAUCUUACGAUUCUUAACUAAUACAUGAAUUAAAUUUAAAAGUUAUGGCUCAUUUGGAAAUUAAAUGUAGAAGAAUUAAUGGGCAGAGUAGACACAUCGUUCCAAGUUCGUGAGGGUAGAAAAUCAAAUCACAAGGAUUCUUAUCCUUCCAAUAUGUCAAUCUCAUCUGUCAUUUAAUAUACCCUUAAGCAAUGCUAAAGUGGCCAAUAGGAAUGCAGAAUUCUCAUUCGGGUCAGUAGUCUCCCAAUAGGAAAAGUGACCCAACCCAAUAAACUAAAAGAAGUAGAGUUAAGUUUGGUCCGUUUGGAAAAGAGAAAGGAAUUAGGUCUCUAUCCUGAUUUUAAUUCAGGUCAAGGAAUUGGACUGUACUUAAAUAUCUGUAUCAAUUGGGACACAUGAUUUUAUUAAAUAAUAAUUAUUGUUUAUUUUUAAUUGAAAAAAAUAAAAAAAUUAAAAACCCACCGCCUCACUUAUACAUUUUAAUCGCAUUAUAGUAUGUGUUUUAUUUGUUUUUGUUAUUGACUUUUUUCUUUUAAAACUAACGUUCAAGGAAUUUGGGUUCAACCAGACUAAAUUAAGAACUGAGUCAAAAGUGGAAAAGAUAUCCAGCAUUGGGUAUGGAAACAAAAUGUUGAUCCCCAAACUCGACUUACUGCCAACCCCUAGUGGAUAGUUGGGAGGGAACUCUUAGUUAACUGUACUUAUGUUUUUAUUUCCAAAAAUGAUAUGCAAUCUCCGCAUUGUUUUUUAUUAAUUCCUCUCCAUUUAAGAAAAAAAAUGUGGGUUUACCUACUGAACUAGGUGGCCACAGUUUUAAACCCACAAUUUUUUCCCUUUUUUAUUAGUUGGUAAAAUCUCUAAUAUAAAAAUAAGAGAUUUGUAAUUUGAAUCCUUCUCACAGGGAUAGAAAGAAAUUGAUUUGCUCUAAGACUACAACUAAAAAAAAAAAAUUACUAAAUGAAUCUUUUUUUCAAUGAUUGUCGUUUGCAUUCAAAAUUAUAAUAUAAAAAUAUCCAAUUUUAUUUUAUCUAAUGACCCGAUCAAUUAAGUCAUGUUUUUUAUCCCCCAAAAAGCCGAAAAAAAUGUUGUGCUAAAUUCACACUGAAUGUUUAAUGAAUAGACCCACAAUAGAGAGUUGGAUAGAGACCAUCUUGAAUGACCCACUUCAUAAUUCAAGGCAACCCACAGGUAAAGGGCUUGAGUUGAGCUAUUAGCACCCUCCUAUUAUCCUUUUGAAACCCCACUUUCAUAUUUACAAAUUUAUCCUCUAGUUAAAUUACAAUAAAAGACGAGUGUAAUUCAGUUAAAUCCAAAUGUAUAAUUUAAAAGAACUCUUCACUACACCCACGUUGUUAAGAAUUCUCUCACAAACCAUUUUUUUUCCAUUCUAGGAUAUUAAUUUUCAUUUCUGUAAAUUUUCUCGCAAUUACUUAAUCAUUUCUGCGCCGAUGACCACUAAGAAAUAACUAAAUUCUAAAAUCAUUAAUUUUCUUUUCGCCAGUCAAAUUUUUUUUUUUAUACGCAACUUAUUUUUGUAUUCUAUUUUGUUGUCGUGUUGUUUUUUUUUUUAUGGUUGAUUUCUUGACGAAUAUAGAUCCGACAAGGAGAUGCUUGUCUCGAUUAGAGAAUGAUGAAUAAAGGAAGUGAUUAUAUUGGCAUGGAGGUUGAGCAACAGGAUGAAGGACUUCGGAAUUGUGCAGUAAGAAAAAUAAGAGAGAAAUUAGGAAGACUUUUGUUUUGGAUUUUAACGGUUCAAUGGGGAACAAAAUUCAUAAAGUUACUUGUGAAAAAUGUGCUUUAAGAAGUUGUUGAGAGGUGUUAAUAUCACCACAAGAAAAUUGAGAGAAUGGGUGUAUGAAAAAUAAGUUUCAUUAAGGUUAUUUUUGUCAGCAACGAAGGUGUUAAAAGCAUUUUCAAAGGUAAGGCUAUUUUAACAUAUUAAAACACUUUUUAAACUCGUUUACUCUUUAAACUAAUCACUGAAAUUUAAAAAUUAAAAUUUUACUCUAUAUACCCACCUAAAUAUUAAAUAUAUCUUUAACAACCAAAUUCUAUCCUAAUGUAAUUACUAUACAAAACAUCGUUAACCUGGAUUUUUCAAUUUACUUAAUAAAAACAUGAAAAUAAAGUCUAGUCUAAAUCAAUCAAACAAAAUUUAAGUUUUAGAGCUUUCCGGCCAAAAAAGUAUGCGCAAUUUAUUAUUAAUUAAUGAAAUCAAGCAUUUGGGAUUGAAUUAAUUUAAACAAAUCAAAUAAAAAAUUGUGAAAGGUAAAUUUCUCUCUCUAGCCCUCUUUUUCAGAGUUAUCUCUAUAACUUAGAUUAAUUACAUGGGAUCAAGAUCCAUUAUUACCUUUUGAAGGCUUGAAACCAUUGCUUUGAGUUAGCCACACAACUUGAAUUUCCUUAUUCUUAAAAGUUGACUUUUGCCCAACUAGAAAAUCAAAGACAAGAGGUUACAAUAACUUCAAAAUCUCAAUCCAAGAAUUGGAUUUAUUUAAUUUAAUUGUAUAGUUUAAUCAUUUGUAGAGACAUUCAUAAAUUAAAAAAAAGGAGAAAUCCGUAUAAGUCUAGAAUUUAAGGGAUAAAGAUGGAUGAUGAAGUAAAAAAGAGUUUAGAGAUGGAUGUAUAGAGUAAAUUAUUUCAUUUAAUUGCAUAAUUUUAUCCUUAAUAGUAAAUUCAUUAACGAAUAUUUUGAAAAUAAAUAUUUUCCUGUAAAGAUGGGUUUGAAGAAUAUUUUGGUCAGUUCAAAUAGUCCUAUUUAUUUUUUAUUGUUCUAAAAUUUUUUAAUAAGAUAUUUAUAAAAAGAAUUUUAUGAAAUUUUUAGUGGUUGCCAAUAGUCUUAUUCAAAAGGUUUUCAGCCUCGCGAAAGGCCACCAACAAAAAUGGAAGAAAAACUGAAACCCAAUUGAUCGAUCAUAUUUGUCUUUUCUAUAUGUGCAAUAUGGGCGUGUUUUGUAUUGUUUUCCAGCUGUGGUUCUACGUUUUCCAAAGUAGACCAAAAAAAAAAAACAUGUUUGGUGGGGGCGUGGGGCUGUUGAAAAUCCAGAAAAUGAAUAUAUAUAUUCUCAUUCUCUUAAUUUUGUGAGAGAAAAUAAGAAUAGAAGGGGAAAGUUCGAAAAAAAAAGAGGGACUGUGUCAUUAAAUUGGUACUUCGAGUCAACCCCAAUUGAUAAAUGGGUAAUUUUUAAAAACCUCUCUUGAGGUUUGUGCUUGUUGUAAAUAGAUGGCGAGAAUUUAUUUAUUUGUAAAAAACUCCCUACCGUCAGUUAACUUUAACAUUGACUGUUAGUUGACUGUGCAAAGACAAUAUUACCCUUAACAACAAUUUGUAGACGGAAAUAACUAAAAAAAAAUUAAAAUUAUUAGCACGAAAAGCACAAACCCUAUUUUUUGACAAUUUUAUCCUUGUCAAUUCUAAAGAUUUACAAUAUCAUAGGUAAAGAUUAUAACUAUUUCAUUUUCAAGUUUUUAAUUUUAUCUUUUUUGUAGAACCUUUAAGAAAAUAUCAAUAAUUUAAAGAUGAUUUUUAAAAUUUUUAAUUUUAUCUUUCUUGUAAAAACUUUAAGAAAAUAUCAAUAAUUUAAAAAGGGUAAAAUAGUCAAUAAUUUUAAUUUUUUUUAGUUAUUUCCGUUUACAAAUUAUUGUUAAGGGUAAUAUUGUCUUUGCAUAGUCAACUAACGGUCAAUGUUAAAGUUAACUAACGGUAGGGUUUUUUUAUAAAUAAAUAAAUUAUCGCCAUCUACUUGCAACAAGCCCAAAUUUCAGGGGAUGUUUUUAAAAAUUACCCAGAAGAGAAAUAGCCAAAGUCAUGGGUGAGAUUGACGGGAAGACCAUCAAUUUUUUUCAAAAUUAUUCCCGAAAGAGUGAUAAUUAAUCUUUGAUUUUAUGUGUUUGACCAUCGAUAAUUUCUCAGCUUUUGACCUUUUUUCCCUCCUCAUGAAUCCGUCAUCGUCUUCGUUAACCCAACCGGCUCAAAUGGUAGCACAUUUCUACUGUGUAUAUCGUGUUUAAAACCGUAGUCUCCAGAUUACAUAAGUUGAAAUCCAACGACCAUUUCAAAUGGGGAGAAUAAAAGGGGGUACCUUACCAUAGGGAUAAAGCCAGCUGAACCCAUAUGUCCUAUGGUAAUUAAUAAUAUUAUUUAUUACUAAUUUCAUUUGUAAUUUAUUUUAAUCAGAUUCGCAAUGAUAAUAAGAUUAUUAAAAAAAAAAAACAGAGUACUAAUUGUAUCGAACAAUGAAAUUUAAAACACAACAUAUUGUAAAAAAAUUUCACCCAAAACACUUUCAUUAUUUUCGUAUUUUGGAUAAAUUACCGAAUAUGUUUUUUUUUACAGUUUUCAUUUAUAUACUAUUUUAAAAACAAAUUACUAAAUCCCCUUCACCUUUGAAAACAUCACAUUAAGAACAUUAUUAUGGCUUUUAUUAUGUUACAUAAACAUGUAACAUACAUGAUUAUGUAGCAGCCGUUGGAUGAAAAUUCAACGGUUGUGAAAAUAAUAUGAUUUUAUUAUCUUAUAUUUCCAUAGGAUUUUUAUUCAAUGGCUGCUACAUCAUACAUGAUUAUGUAAUAUAACAAUUUUAUAUUAUUAUUCUUCUCCAAAACAUCACAUCAAAUAUAAAAACACUAGUUAAAAAAUAAUUAUAAUUCCAAAUGCACCCUAAAAGUUUUGUAAUUUGCCGUAUUAAUUUGAGUAUCCGACACUAACGAUGGACACGACAUGACCCAUCAAAUGUUGGCCCACACGGGCUCAUGGGUCGGCAAUUUGGUGGGCUGGGUCGUGCCGUGCCCACCUUUUUUUAAGGGCCCAACAUGGCCCACGACACGGGCCCGCUCGUGCCGUACCCAAAAAAAGCCUACCAACUUUUUUUCCCCUUUAAAUUCACAUGUCCAAUGUGCCUUAAACAAGCCCACGUGUCUGACGUGCUUUAUUUAAGCCUACAUGUCUAACGUGCUUUUUAAGCCCAUCAGUUUAAUAAUAAUAAUAAUAAUAAUAAUAAUAAUAAUUAUUAUUAUUAGUAUUAUUAUUAUUUCAUAGAUCAUAGUAAUAAUUAAUGAAGAAACAAAAUUACAAGUCAUAGAAUAACAAUUACACCUAAUUUUAUUUGAACAACUAAUAUUAUAUUUUUUAAUUUAUCAUAAAAAUAUUUCAUUCAUAAUUUUUUUUUGUGUAUAAAUAUGAAAAAUAUUCACUCACAAAUGAAACAUAUCUCCAUUAACUAUUGACUAAUUUAUGACUUCAUAAAUGAAAUAUUGAUGUCGUAAAAUUUUUAAUUUAUCAUUUAUAAAAUCAUGGUAUUUAUAAUUUUAUUUAUUAAAAUCAUGAUAUGUAUUUGUUCAUUUAAUAAAUUAUAAACAUAAAAAAUUAGAAUAUUUAUUUAAACUAGGACUUAAAUUAAUUUUUAAAAUCUUGUGCUAAAAAAAAUAUUAAAAAUUUUAAUUUAAAAAUAAUUGUAAAAUCAUAACAUUUUAUAUUUAUUUUUCACUUUUUUUUUUAAUUUUUAUAUACUUUGGCUCAUGUCCAUUGAUGGCCCACGGGCUGCGUGUUAGCCUACCAACGAAACGUGUUUAUUAUGUGUUUUUUGACGUGCCGAAUUUUGUCUCAUCUCUAAUUGUGCCAUGCUUUUAAGGGUCACGUGCCUAAAAUUAUUGGUCCGGCACGGCUCACGUGCGUGUCGUGCCGUGCUGCGUGCCUUACCAAAAUAUAUUUGUGUCGUGCCGUGUUGUACGGAUACAUAUCGUGCCAGGUGCCGCUCGGCCCAUUGGCCAUCUUUAUCCGACAUCGAUCAGUUAAUUAAGGUUGUGUACAGGUGUGUGUGUGUGUGAAAGGUCUAGGCACAUGAGAUCUGAUGAGGCCUCUGGCCUACAAAGACGAGCAAAUCAUUAUAAAAUGACAAUGUCCAUACGAAGAUAUGAAUAAGCGUUAUAAUCUCGUGACUUUAAUUCAGUCCAUGCAAUCCGCAUCGUGAAUAAAGGGGUGACUCUUGGACCUAACACGUGGCAUGUUUCUUCAUCUUGGAAAUUGGUGAUAUCUUAUCUUCGACGGCUCCAAAGCAACGGAACAUUGUGAUUCACUUAAAUAUUCACGUUUUUUUUUAGGCGAUUCGAUUUCAAUUUCAUAUACUCUUUAGGAUAAUAUGAUUUUCUGGACCUUGUGAACUAUAUAAUUUAGAUAUUUAGAUAAUUCAAUUGUACAUCGUGAGCGAUUUCUCUUUUUCACAUAUCAAUUCAAUUGUAUGGCGUUAGGAUAACACAAUGGAGAUUUGAUUAGAACUCCAAAAUACAUCCAAUAAACGAAAUGGGUUUGAAUAAUUUUACACAACAAUCUUACUUUUGACAAAAUAUUGAGUUACUUUCACAACACCUCUUCCACUUCCACAUACACGAAAGCCAAUCAAUAGCCCUAUAUAUAAUUAAGUCAUAUAAACUAUUUGGGGCUCCACGAAGUGUUUUAUUUCUCUGUUAAUAUGCAGUAAAAUCUCAAUGAAUACUAAAGUUUGGAGACUCUAAAUCUAAACAAUUUAGUAAUUGUGGAAAAUAUUAUAUAAUUAAUUAAAAGAUUAAUAAUUUAUUAGUUUAUGAAGAUAUUUUUUAUUUUCAAAAAUAUAUGAUCACAUUUAUAGUAUUGAUUUGUCUUGAUUUUAUAUUUAUUAUGUUUUAUUUGAAUAUUAAUUAAUUGUCUUACAUUGAUUGUAAUAAGAUUAUUAUAGACCUUUUAUUUUUUCAUGAUAAGAGUUAUAGUUGUACUAUAUAUGGAAUCCGUCUUGCGCAAAGAAACACUCAAAGUGAUAUUAACAUUGAAUAAUUUCCAUUGCAAAAUGACGAUACCAAUUGAUUUUUUUUUUUUUUGCGUUAAAAAAAAUAGAGAUGAGAUUCAAGUCAAAUUAAAUCCAAAAAGAAUCUAAUAGUUUUAAGAGCACAUCUCACAAAAACCACGUAUGCAUAUAUUAUAUGAUUUAAUUUUAUAUUAGGGUGAUUAUUAAUUUAUAUAUUACGUGUCUCCUGUGGAAUCACAUGGAUUUUUAAAAAUAUUAAUUUAUAGAUUUUAUUGAAUUAUUAACACGUUGGCCCUAAGUCGGAAAUAACAAAAAUUAUUAUUUAAUUGAGAUUUUUAAUUUAUUGACCAUUAAUUUUUUAAGAUUGUACUGUAAUUAGUUGGUCUUUUUUCAAUGCAAAAUAAAUUGACAAAUCAUAUAAAUGAAGUGACAUAUGGCUUACCACAAUUUCUUUCUUAAUUAAUUUAUCAAGGAUAUGAUAAAAGCAAAAUGAAAAGAUGAUCAGCGCUAAGGCCUAAUUUAUACAAAAUGUUUAAUGCUUUGAUAACAUAAAAAGUAAGUAAUCAUCAUCGUAAAUUAGGGAUUCAUCUUCCAAAUAUAUAUGCAUGUUAUAUUGGCAAUGAUUUUGCCAUAUAUAAAUGUCAUUAUGGAUAUUAGCCAAAUAUAUCUUGAUUAAGAAAGAAUCUUUGAUGUGCAUUCUUAUCACACAUUUCAUAUUUAUUAUCCAUGAAAGUAUGCACUACGCUAUAAAUGUAUGAAUCCAGAUUUUUAUUAAAGUUGACACUGUUAAAUUUUUUUGUGAAUUUGAGAGUUCACGAUGUUGUAAACCACUAAAUUUACACACUAAUUCGUGCGGAUAUCUGCAGGAGGGAAGGACUGUCCAUGUAAAUAUCUGUUGUGAUGCGUACAUUGUUUCCAUGUAUGGUUGAAUUUUCAUUUUAUGAUUUCCAGUAUGAGAAGAGAAUUUUGGUCGGAUAAAGAACAGAACGAGGAAAAAGAAAAAGAAGACAUCAAAAGUUCAAAGCUGCAACGUAAUCAAUAGAAGCUGAAUAUGAACAUUUCUACACAAGUACAUGCAGAACAUCUCAGAUAGCAAGCCAACAAUAUUAAUCUUAGUCAGCUUCUAGAGCCAUGUCACUUUAUUGACGAUAUUAGUUAUUUUUAUUUAUUAUAAUUUUUUAUGUGACAUGGUUUUUCAAGGACGGUUUAGAAUUAUAUUGGCAUCGCCAGGUUUUGCUCCUCCAGAGAAGAAGAAGGCAAUGGGAACGUUGUGAAGGUCCAAUCAAGCACCUGAUGGCUUUCUGAAAAGUCGGGCCCUGUGGAUGCUGUGAAGCCAACAUAGACUGAGCUUGGAAUUGUUUCUGACAAGAGGAUAGGUCUUUCAAUAAGCUUCUGAAGUGGGUUCCCCGCAUAUGCCACAUAAACAUAGAGUAUUUUCGUCCAUCCAUCGUAAUAAAUGUGAACCUGGAUCGGUCUUCCACUUUUGAGAUCAAUACCAGAGCUGUCGAGACUCUUGGCUGGAUUCGAUGUUAAGUUUGCUAUGUCAAUGCCCAUAUGGUUAGCAUCUGGAUCAGACCAGUAGUCGUUCUUGUAAGUGUCCAGCUCCACGGCUAAUUGCGAAACACCGUUACCUACACACAAUUUGUAAACAUAAUUAGUGUGUGUGUGUGUAAAAGAAAUGAUAUAUCAAGUGGCGAUCUGAUCUAGGAUUUUGAUUUGAUUAAAGUCGGAGAUAACAAGAGAAUUUAUAAUUAAAAGUAUGUUAAUGCCGCUGUUGGCAACUUGUCCUAGAAUUUAAUCCUGAAUUAUGAGUCUCAAUUGGAAAAUUUUGCUUGAUGUAUUCAUCAUUUUGUUUAUUAUUUGACUGCUAUUAUAUAUAACAUGCGCCCAUGCAUGCAUGUGUCAGUACUCAGUCCAAGAUUUCCGCCGGCGGAGUUUUCAGUUGGAGGGCUGGUAUCGGUUGCAAAAACAAACGUCAUGCCAUCUGCAGAAUCCGUUGUAUUUGGGUAGGGUGAGAUCCUAAUGGUGAAGGUGGUACUAAUCAUAGCUGGCCAUGCAGUCACAGGCUGGCUGUAUAAAACCCGUCCAACCUUUUUUAGCGGCAGCUGAUCUGGCGAUUCUGGUGAAGGGUCUGAUGUGAGGCUCAAGUAGCCAUAACUUGGAGUCACUGCGCCCAUGCAAAUUAGGCUGCCAUCGCUACAACUUUUUGGGUUGAAUGAGGAAAAUGAGAAGCUAACAGGUGGAUCCACAGGGAUUGAUGAAGAAGCACUGGGAAGAAAAAUUGAAAGGAGUAGUAGGAAAAUCAUUUUGUUUGGGACGAAAAUUUGAGGGCUACUUCUCGAAUGGCAUUGCUCAACAUCACAUGUACUUAUAUAGCAUUUAUUUUACUUUAUGGAUAAAAGUUUUCCCCUAAUCUCAUCUUUUAUUUGAGUAAAUAUAUUUGUAUGAUUUAUAAUUGGUAAUAGAAAAUAUAACAAUUAAGUAAAUCUUAUUCAUGUAUUAAAUAUAUAUAUAUAUAUAAAUUUAAAACAUAUAUAAAAAUAUCUUUAUCUAUUAAGUUGUGCUUUUUUCCCAAAAAAAAAAAAGUUGUGCCGAAUUCACGUUCGCAUAUAUUUUAUUUGAGUUUUUUCCUAAUCUAAUAUGAUAUUUUAUUUGAGUAAAUAUAUUUGUAAGAUUAAUAAUUAGUAAAGGAUAAUAUAAUAAUUAAAUAAAUUUUAAUCAUGUAUUAAUAUAUAUAGUCUCUGAUUGGAAUAGCCUCUUUUAAUUUUUUUUGGUUUGGCUGCACAUGGUGGGCUCCACCAUGUGCAGCCACAGCUGGCCACCAGCCUCUCUCCCGGAUAUUGUUCCAAUUCGGAAUCCCGGAUUGAAACAGUACUAUAUAUAUAAACUUGAAGUAUAUAUUAAAAUAUCUUUAUCUAUUCAGUUGUGCCUUUUUUUCAAAAAAACUUUUUUGCCAAAUUCACGUUUGCUAAAUAGGCCGACAAUAUAGGUGUGCAAUUAAGUAGGGAUGACAAUGGGGAGGGGAUCAACAUUCCCAUACCCAUUCCCGAUAUUCUGCAUAUGUCCCCAUCCACUUUUUGUUCUCGUCAGAAUUAUUUGAGGGAAUCUUCGUCCCCUCCCCGAAUAAUAACAAGAGAUCUCCGAAGGUCUCUAAUCCCUGAAUAACUGAAUUUUUUGUUUGUUUUCAAACUUAAUUUAAUCAUAUUAACUUAAAAAUAUAUAAAAUGAAAGUGAAAUUGAUCAUGAAUAUUUCAUUCUACUCCUUCAAACUUUUGGUAUAUAUAUUAUUCAAAUAAUGAUUUUCAAAAUAAAAUUUAAAUAAUGUGAUUUUUAUACAAUAUUUACGUGAUUGUUGUUUAUGAGUAAUGAUGCCUGCUGAUCACCAGCUAUGGCGCAACAAAUCCCCAUGUGUGGCUGCUAGUUGACGUUGCGAUGAGUUAGGCUACUUAGCCACUAACAACGCAACAUGCUAAUUGACGUUGCUAUGAAAGAGUACUCUAUCUUAAAUCGGUUCCAACAUAAUCAAAUGGCUCUAAAGUAGCCAUAGCUAUCAGUUAAUUAAGCUAGUAUGCUUGUGUGUCUGAGAUCUAGGGGGCUGAUAUAUGAUGAGCCUUUGGCCGGCAAAGACAAGCAAAUCAUUGAAAAAUGACAAUGUUUUUACGAAGACAUGAAUAUACGUUAUAAUUUCGUGACUUGAAUUUAAUCCCUUCAAUCCGCAUCAUGAAUAUAGGAGUGGCUCUUGGAUCUCACACGUGCCGUGUUUCUUCAUCUUGGAAAUUGAUGAUUAUCUUAUCUUCGACGGCGCCAAAGCAACGGAACAUUGUGAUUCACUUAAAUAUUCACGUUUUUUUUAGGCUAUUUUAGAUUUCAAUUUUAUAUACUCUUUAGGAUAAUAUAAUUUUCUGGACUGUGUGAACUAUAAUUUAGAAUUUUAGAUAAUUCAAUUGUACAUCGUGAGCGAAUUCUCUUUUUAACAUAUCAAUUCAAUUGUACGGCAUUAGAAUAACAUACUGGAGAUUUGAUCAGAACUCCAAAAUACAUCCAGUUAACGAAAUGGGAUUUGAAUAUUAAUUUCACACAACAACGUUACUUUUGACAAGAUAUUGAGUUACUUUCAAAAUUAAAUCUAAAAAUGAAACACUCAAAGCGAUAUUGACAUUAAAUAAUUUAUGUUGCAAAAUGAUGAUAUCAAUUGAUUUUUUUUCAUGUUAAUAAAAAAAUUAGAGACGAGUUUCAAUUCAAAAUUAAAUCCAACAAGAAACUAAUAGUUUUAAGAGUACAUUUCACAAAAACCACGUAGACAUAUAUUAUAUGACUUAAAUUUUACAUUCGGUAAAUAUUAAAUUUUACAUGGAAAAAUGUGGUUUUUAAAAAAUAUUAUCUUAUAGAUUUUAUUAAAUUAUUAACACGUUGGCCCUAAGUAAGAAAUAACAAAAACUAUUAUUUAAUUAAGAUUAUUAAUUUAUCAAGCAUUAAGAUCGUAUUGUAAUUAACUGGUCUUUUCUCAAUGCAAAAUAAAUUAACAAAUCAUAUAAAUGAAGUGACAUAUGGCAUACUACAAUUUCUUUCUUAGCUAAUCUGGCGAGGAUAUUGUAAAAGCAAAAUAAAAAUAUGAUCGGCCUAAGGCCUAAUUUAUACAAAAUAUUUAAUAACAUAAAAGCAAGUAAUCAAGCAUCGAAAUUAGGGAUUCGUCUUCCAAUAUAUAAGCAUGUUAUAUUGGCAAUGAUUUUGUCAUAUAUAAAUGUCAUUAUGGAUAUAGUCAAAUAUAUCCUGAUUUAGAAAGACUUUUGAUGUGGAUUCUUAUCAGAUACUUCAUUUUUAUUAUCCAUAGAUGUCAGAAUGAAUUUUCAUGCGAAUUUUGGAGUCCACAACGUUGUGAAACUCUAAAUUCACACAAUAUCAGUACGAACAUCGAAUGAGAAAAUGAAUGUACAUGAUAUUUCUAACGGUGCGUUUACUUUUCGGAUUCGGGAAUCAGAAUCCGGAAUCGAAAUAAUUGAUGGCAUUUACUUCGCAAAUAUGAAGUAGGAAUCGGAAUCGGAAUGGUGGGGCCCACCACUAUUUGGGAAUGGGGAAUAGGAGAUUGUUUCCCGUGUAGAGGUGGGAAUGAGUCUCUCAUUCUUAGGAUUAACCAUUUUGCCCUCCCCCAAAAUUAAAAAUGCCAACUUUAUCCUCUUUUAUAAUUAAUUAAUUAAUAUACUAUUAUAGUUAAUUAAUAUAAUAUAUUAUGAUUAAUUAAUGUAUAAAUAUAUUAUUAACUAUAAUUAUUAAAAAUUACAGUUCUUGAAUAAAUAAUCACAAUAAUUAAUAUAUUAUUAUUGUAAUUAAUUAAUUAAUAUACUAUUAUAAUAAUUAUUAAUAAAAUUAUUAUAAGUAAUUCAUAUAUUAUUAAUUAAUUAAUAUAUUUUUACUAAUAAUUAAUAUAUUAUUAACAAUAAUUAUAAUUAUAAUUUUUGAAUAAAUAAUCACAAUAAUUAAUAUAUAUUGUUAUUGUAAUUAAUUAAUUAAUUAAUAUAAUAUUAUAAUAAUAAAAAUAUAAUUAUUAUAAUUAAUUCAUAUAUUAUUAUUAUUAUAAUUAAUAUAAUUAAUUAAAUAAAUAAUAUAAUUAUUACUACUAAUUAAUAUAUUAAUAUAUUAUUAACAAUAAUGAUUAAUAAUUAUAAUUUUGAAUAAAUAAUCAUAAUAAUUAAUAUAUUAUUUUAAUUAAGUAAUUAAUAUUAAUAUUAUUAGUUAAUAUAUUUUUAUAAUAAUUGUUAAUAUAGUUAUUAUAAUUAAUUAAUUACAUUUUUUACAAUUAAUUAAUAUAUUAGUUAAUAAUAAUUAUGACAAUAAACCAUUAAGUAUUUUUUAGUAAUUUGUUACAAUUUAACUCAUUCCGAUUUCGAUUCCAAGACAAAGUAAACAUAUUAAUGACAAUCCAGUUCAUUCCGAUUUCGAUUCCUAUAAUUCAAAUAAACAACUUAUUUGUAUUUUCAUUCCAGCCCAUUCACAUUAUUGUCCAUUCCGAUUCCAGCUCAUUCCAAUUUUAGUUUAGUAAACGCAGCAUAAAUGUCUGGUUAAAUUUUUAUUUUAUGAUUUCCACUAUGAGAAGAGAAUUUUGGUCCGAUAAAGAAGAGAACAAGAGAAAGGAAAAGAAAAAGAAGACAUCAAAAGUUCAAAGCUGCAACGUAAUCAAUAGAAACUGAAUAUGAACAUUUCUACACAAGCACAUACAGUACAUCUCAGAUAGCAAGCCAACAAUAUUAAUCUUCGUCGUUGCUAUCGUUUUAUUCAAUAUUUAUAUACAAAGCCAUUUCACUUUAUUGACGAUAUUAAUUGUUAUUUAUUAUAAUUUAUGUGACAUGGUUUUUCAAGGACAGAUUAGAAUUUUAUUGGCAUCAUCAGGUUUUGCUCCUUGAGGGGAGAACAAGUCAUCCGUAUUUGGAGCAACAAUAAAUAAAAUAAAUAACUCUGUUCGGUGGAAGCAGGCUGAAAAUAGCCCAACUAAACCACUAUAAUUUAGAAGGGGAAGUAAGGCUGCUUGUAUCGUGAGUGAUUGGAUUGUUGAUUAAUUAUUUUUUGAAGUCUCAAAACUUGGUUUCCUUGACGAUCAUCAUGGAAAACUAACGUUUACAAAUUAGUUUGGCAAGUUGGCUUGUAAAUGUAUGAAGGAGAAAAAAAGUAGCCAAAUUAAUGGCUAACCGUUGACGGGAAGACCAUCAAAUUUUCAGAAAUUUUUUCAAAAUCUAGACCCGAGGGUUUUCCAUUAUCAAAAAAAGAAAAAAAACCGAAGCUCUUUCUCUGUGCUAGAUUUUGCAACCGAUGCAGUCUUGACCUCUCGUAAUUAUACCGAUACUUUUUGUGUACUUCUAAUUCCAACUACUUCCUGUAAGCAGCAAUAUCUUGAGACUAUUUUAGGAGUCCUUCACUCAAGUAUAACAAUUAUUCUUGAAAGAUUGAUAAUAAGUCUUUGACUUUGUGUGUUUAACCACGGAUAAUUUUUUGGCUUUUGACAUUUUCACCCUCAUCCUCAAUUCAUCUUCAUCUUCAUCAACAGAACUAACUCAAAUGGUAGCACAUUUCUACUAUGUGUAUCACGUUUAAAACUAUAUCCUUUGGAUUCUAUAAGUUCAAAUCCAACGACCAUUUCAAAUGGGGAUAGAAAAUGGGGUACCUUACCACCACGGUUAAGGUAGGUAGCUGGACCUAUAUGUAUUACGGUAAUUAAUAAAUAUUUUUAUUACUAAUUUCAUUUGUAAUUUAUUUUAAUUAGAUUUGUAAUGAUAAUAGGAAUAUAAAAAAGAACAAAAACUAGAUGCAUUGCAGAGCAAAAAAUAGAAAUUAAUAUAUUAUAAAAAAAAUUCACCAAACACAUUUUUAUUAUUUUGAUAUUUUCAAACAAACUACCAAAUUUACUUUUUAUAUAUAUUUUUUCUUUUUCAUUUGAUAUCUUAUCUUGAAAACAAAAUACCAAAUGCCUUUUCCUUUUAAGAACAUCACACCAAAAAUAUCAUUUUUCUCCUCUAAAAAAAAUUAUAAAAAAGCACAAAAUAAAAAAAAAUAAUGCCAACCACACUCUAAAGGUUUUGUAAUUUGCAAUAUCUGACGCCUAUCAAUGAAUUAAGAUUGUCUAUGUUCUAAGGAGAUGAUAUAUGAUGGGGCUUUGGCCUAUAAAGACAAGCAAAUCAUUGGAAAAUGACAAAAAUGACAAUCUCUUUAUGAAGACAUGAAUACACAUGAUAAUCUCGUGACUUUAAUUUAGUCCAUUCAAAUCGCAUAAUGAUUAUAGGGGAGGCAAAGUCUGUGUUCUAGGAUAUAUGAUGCGGGCUUUGGCCUAUAAAGACAAGCAAAUCAUUGGAAAAUGACAACAAUGACAAUGUUUUUAUGAAGACAUGAAUACACAUGAUAAUCUUGUGACUUUAAUUUAGUCCAUUCAAAUCACAUAAUGAGAUGAUAUAUGAUGGGGCUUUGGCCUAUAAAGACAAGCAAAUAAUUGGAAAAUGACAAAAAUGACAAUGUCUUUAUGAAGACAUGAAUACACAUGAUAAUCUCGUGACUUUAAUUUAGUCCAUUCAAAUCACAUAAUGAAUAUAGGGGAGACAAAGUUUGUGUUCUAGGGAGAUGAUAUAUGAUGCGGGCUUUGGCCUAUAAAGACAAGCAGAUCAUUGGAAAAUGACAAAAAUGACAAUGUCUUUAUGAAGACAUGAAUACACAUGAUAAUCUCGUGACUUUAAUUUAGUCCAUUCAAAUCACAUAAUGAAUAGAGGGGAGACGAAGCAGCAUGUUUCUUCAUCUUAUAAAUUGUUGAUAAUCUCAUCUUGGAUGGUGCUAAAGUAGGAAACAUUUUGAUUCACUUAAAUAUUCACGUUUUUUGAUGCUACCAGAUUUCAAUUUCGUAUAUUCUUAGGAUAAUAUGUCUAUUUUUGACAUAUCAAUUCAAUUGUACUGUGUUAGAAUAACAUAAUGGAACUCCAAAAUAAAUCCAAUAAACGAUAUGGGAUUCCAAUAUUAAUUUCACACAACAAUGUUACUUUUGACAAAAUUGAGUUACUUUCACAACACCUCUUCCACUUCCAUAUAUAUGAAGCGAAUCAAUAACUUAACCCCAUAUAUACCUAAGUCAUAUAUACUCAUUUGUGGCUUCACAAAGUGUUCAUUUCUCUGUUAAUAUGCAAUAAAAUUUUGAUAAAUUAAUAAUUUUGGACAAUAAAUUUUUGUUAAUUUUAUAAAGUUAAUCGAUAGAUUAAUAAAUUAUUGAUUUUGAAGAUAUUCCUUAUUUUAGAAAACAGUAUGAUCACAUUUAUAGCAUUGAUUUGUCUUGAUUUGUAUUUAUUAUGUUUUAUUUGAAUAUUAGUUAAUUGUCUUACAUUCAUAGUAAUAAGCUUAUUAUGGAGUUUUUAUUUUUCCAUGUUAAGAAUGAUGGUUGUACUAUGGAAUCCAUGUUGUACAAAGAACUCAAAGUGAUAUUAUUAUUGAAUAAUUUCUUGUUGCAAAACAACAAUACAAUUAAUUUUUUUUGUACAUUAAGAAAAUUAGAUAUGAGAUUUAAGUCAAAAUUAAUUCCAAAAAGAAACUAGCAAUUUUAAGAGUGUAUCUUACAAAAACCAUAUAUACAUAUACUAUGUCGACUUAGUUUUACAUUAGGUGAUUGUUAAUUAAUGUAUAACGGGUAUCCUAUGGAAAAAUAUGGAUUUUUAAAAAUUAUUAUCUUAUAGAUUUUAUUAAAUUAUUAAUAGAUUGGCCUAAAGUCGAAAAUAACAAAAAAAUAUUAUUUAAUUGAGAUUAAUUUAUUAAUAUCGUACUAUACUUAGUUGUUCUUUUUUCAAUGCAAAACAAAAUGACAGAUCAUAUAAAUGAACACUACUAGAAAAAUGGUCUUUACUGACUUUAGAAUAGUGUUAGAAAUUACUUUUACUGACACUUGUUAAUUGUGUCAGUAAUCUGGGAGUCAGAAAAAUAGUGACACUUGUAAGUGGUGUCAGUGAUUACUAUUACUACAGUAUCACCGAUAUUAUGACACCAUAGUGUUAGUAGUUAUUGAUAUUUUAUUAGUAUCUAUGGUUAUUGUUACCAUGAUAUCACUAGUUAAUUUAUUUUUUAAAAAGUAAAAAAUUAAAUUGGAUCAUUGCCUAUUGAUUUAUUUGUAAAAUUAAAAGCACCACAAAAUAAAAAAAGAAAUUGAUUUAUAUCACAAAAUCUUUCAUUUCACAUUUAAAUAUUAUUAGUAUAUAUUACAAAUUGAACUUCAAUAGCCAAAAUAUGAGAUAUCCUACUCUCAUAACUAAAUAAUCCAAAUUCAAUACAUAAAAAUUAGUCUCUGUCCCUAUCUGACCAACUUCCAUCAAAAUUAACCUCAUCACUUCUGCUUUCACUGUGAUAAUUGGAGCGCCUCCGACUCCAAGUUGUUUCAUGAACUUGACGUUCAUCAUCAUGGCUUCUGCCAGAACCACUUUUCACAAUAUCAGCCUCCCUUGAUCUGGACCUUCUGUAAUGAUGCCUGCAUAAGAAAUUACAAAACCAUAAAUAACCAGAAGAUUUCUAACAUCAGCAGUAAAUACAUUAACUAAUGAAAUUUGAUCAUAGUUUGGAUCAUCAUCCUUUGUACAUAAGAUUGCAAUGCUACAUCACCAAAGGCUUCUUGUUGAAUCUAAUUAUUUUCUUGCCAUGCUUGCAACAUGGUCAUUACGCCACAUACUAAUCAUACAUUUUUGAAAGUGGGUUUUAAACUCGAACAAUAGACCAAAAAAACCAACAGAAAAACUUUCUUUAAAUCUUGCAUUGUGAGAACAUCUUUUCAUUAUUCAUUGCUUCUAAGAAAACCGAGUUAGGAGACUUGAAGAAAACACAAAUGAAGAGAACGAUACUAUGAAGAAACCUCUCAAAAUCAUUGGUCAAACAUGGAAGUUUAAACUAAAAAAUUCAAAUAACAGAAAGUGAAUUAAAUAAACAAGAGUUCAUAUAUACUAAGUACAGUUUUUAGUGUCUAUGACUAGUAAUAAAAGCAUACCUGUCGGCAUUAGUUGAAUCUAUUUUGUUCCUCGUUUGUCCUGAGCGUUCUUGAUUCCAGGUCCCAGAUUCAUCAGAAUAACCAAAUAAAGCAGUCAUCUUUUUCACCCAAUAUCUCGGAGGUGGUUUAUCCCAAUCAGCCCAUUCAUAGUCUCCGCUAGGGUUGGGAAAAUAGUGGAUAAAAUUGCAAGCCAUUCCACAAGAGCAUGUCUGUUAAAAUAUGCCCAACAAAGAUAACAAGAGUGUAAAAAAAAGAAGAAAAGAAACAAACUCAUUUAAUAUCAAAAGCAAAAUGGCAAAGAAAAAAGCAAGUGUAUAAGCCGCACAAUUAUAACUCUGAAAAAUGAGACAAUUGGCUGUACAUUUAGUCUUGACUUCAUAUAUUCCCCACAUAUGGCAAUCUUCCAUCUAGUCACAUUAAUAAAUUCACAUGUGAUCUGUCAAGAAACACACAAAUAAAUAAACCAUCACUAUCCAGAAAAUGACAAGCUGUAAAAUUCAGUAAACAGUAAUGUGUUGAUUACAAUUUAAGCAUGGAGAAAAAUUUCAGAUUAGACUAUGUCAACAGUGUCCAUAGAUAGUUAAAAGAUGGGAGACUGUGCUGGCGUUCACUAAGCAUAUAAUUUUUCACAGCUUAACCCAUUGCAAUUUUACCAGUGUCAAGUCUAAAGGAAACUAGUCAGGAAUCUUCUGUAAAGUAAAUAAAUAGUGAAACAACUGUUCUCAUAGCAAUAAAAUGAAAUUAUUUUAAUAAUUUUCUUCAACUUUCAGACCAAUUAAACAAGUGAAGCAAUUUUAGUACAAUGCACAGCAAUUUAAGCUGAAUGGACAAUUGGAAAAAUUACGGAACAACUAGACCCCAACGAAUACUACAAAAACAACCCUUAAACAAUGACUUAAGAAAGUAGAAGCUUCUCCUAGAUCAUGCCUUUUCAAUCUCCCUUUGCUAAGAAAACUGCCCUAGUAUUUAAGACUAUCCAAAUCCUAUCAACAUGUUGGGACAUUUAAAUACAGCCUCCAAGAAGACAUGCUGUAAGCUUUACAAUUGAAGUCUGUCGAAUAAACCAAAUCUUAUACCCAAUGCCAAGAGCUUUAAUUCAAUCCAUUUUAACAGGCACCAAUUACCAGGAAUGCAGGCAGACAAAGAGGAUCAAAAUGACAGGAUAUCAGUAUUCUAGAAUUUCUAUCAGAAACAUGAAAAGUGGCAAGGCCUAUUCACUGAGAGCCAAACAUUUUUUACAUAGUAGUUACUUUAUAUAAAACAAAUAAAUAUAAAGUAGAAAGUAAGCUCCAACAAUUCUUCACAAAGACCUGUUUCCCAGCAAAGUAACGACCAUUGACAGAAUGGUAAGCGAGAACAGCUGAUUCCAGCGACUUAUAGUGAACAUAGACAUUUCCUCUUAAGUGGGAAGAACCAUUUCUACACACCUGCAAAUAUUUGUUAGUUAGUAAAUGAAGAGCACCAACAACAUGUGUCAGUAAAUAGGUGUUGUGGCAAAUAAUCCUAAACCUUCCAAAGUAAUGACCAUUGUUAGAUGACCAGCUCUGACAAUCGACGAUACAUAGUAUAUUCCACAAGAAACUACUAGUUGUUAAGGAGAAAUUUUUAACUCAAACAGAGUUGUACAGUUAUGUGACUAGUGAGAGAGAGAAAGAAAGAAAGAAAUAACGAAAGAAAGAAAGAGAAAUAAGCCAAACAUAUAAACAAGAAAUUUCAUAAUAGCUAAAAUCAUUUGCAGCAUGUAGGAUACAUAAUAGCUCAUAGCCUUCACUCUUACCCAAUCAAGGCCAACACUAUGAAUCUCCAUCAUUAUGAAAACAUAAAUCUCUGAUUUCACAUAGUCAAAGAAAAGAAAUAAAAUGUGAACUCAAAAGAACUCACCAGUGAUACUAUCUAGAAUAGUUAUAAACACAUUACAAUAUAUCAACUGGAAAAAUAUUUUUCUGUAUAAAAAGCAUCUUCUAUAUAGCAAGGACAAUGCGUAUAUAAAAUGAUCCAACAAAUUGCACAAAAGUAUAGAAGUUUGGAAGAGUCCUUAUCAGGAUACAAGAAUCAGCAAUUACAUACCUCGAGCCUCUCAUCUUGCUCCCAAGCAAGCCCGAGACCAUUAUACAUAUUCUUGAUGAGCAAAGUGCACGAUUUAUCAGGGUAAAAAUGAACUAUGUUGCAUCUCUGACCAAACCGACAAGCUCCAAUCUUUAAAUGGAAAGGACAAUAAGCUUUAUCCUGCCAUAUAUAAUAAAAACAUGAUUGACCAUGAUAAAUAGGCAAAUAUAAUAGAAAUGAAAUAUAAUACAGUAAUUGCAAAUUGAAAAUUUCAGAUAGACAGAUUGAAAGAAAAGGCAUGCAUGUUCAGUUCCAAAAUUGGGCACUUGUUGAGCAACAGUCUCCAACGCCUGUUGUGCAUUCUGGUGAUCAGCAAAGGCUUCUGAUUGUGGGGGCCGAGGAUUUGAUGUAGGCCUAUCAACAUCCUGCAAAAGGAAGUAAUAACGUAGAAAGUUUAAUUUUUGCCAUAACCGAAGAGAAUGGGCAUCCUGAAGUAAAGUAGAAACAAGCCUAACAUAGUUGUCAAUAGAGUCAAAAUUACCUCCUUUUUACUUAGUGGGUUCGCAUCCUUCUUCGGAACUCUAACCUUUUUCUUCCUAAUAAUAAUCUCAUUUCCUUGCCAUAUAAUUUCUGCAGGCCCUUCUUCAACAUAUUCCCAAUCAUCAUCCUCAUCACAUUCAUUCUCCUUUUGCCUCCAAAUUCGCGAUGCUCCGAGAACAUGCCGUAGCUGGUGAGCAAGCGGAGGAUAUGUUGCAAGUUCUCGGCGUCCCCACCGCCGGAUGGGAGGAUAUGUGUCAAGAUCUAGGAGGCAGAGAGAGGGGUGUUGGCCCCAACUUGCCAGAUGGCAUCCGGUACGUGGAGACGGAUGGCAGCGGUUAGAGACAUGGGAACGCUUAUCAUGUUGGCUAGCUCCAUUAUGGCCAGUCUUACCUUCUUCCCGCCAUCUCUGCACUCGUUAUCUUCCAUUACUGCUUACUGACCUUUGAUUUCACAGCACCAUGCCGGCCAAACAAAAAGAUAAGACCUGAGCACUUUUUGACAAUUUGGAUGUUAGGGAUUUUUCAGAUCUGGGGAGCUUAGGAGGGAACGAAUGCUUUGUUAGAGGGAGUUGAAAAGUUGUAUUUUGGAUAAGGUAAGACUUGUGCAUUUGUUUUGUUUUUAUCCACUCAAAAAGUAUAACUCUAAAAAAAUUAAAAAUAAUUCGUAGCCUAGUGGUCUUUUGAUUUAAUGUAGAAGCUCUAGGUUUAAGAGGUCUUGGGUUCGAAUUCAGACUAAAACAAAAUUAAAAUGAUAAUUUUUAAUUGCUGAUACCUAAGCGUCAUUGAUCGCUAUUACUAAAGCUAUUGAUACUUCAGUAUUAGUAAUUAGUGAUACAUAUUUGUUAAACGUGGAAAAUGAUCCAAAUAUAUGUAUAUACUGAUACUUUUAAAUAAAGUGUCAGAACAUAAGUAUCAGUAAAAACCAUUUUUCUAAUAGUGGAAGCGACAUGUGGCUUAGUUCAAUUUCUUUCUUAAUUAAUUUAAUGAGGAUAUGGUAAAAGCAAAAUAAAAAGAUCAUUAGCUCUAAGGCCUAAUUUAUACAAAAUGAUUAAUAACAUAAAAGUAAGUGAUCAAUCAUCCUAGCUGUAUGUUAGGGAUUCAUCUUCCAAUAUAUAUGUAUGUUAUAUUGGCAAUGAUUUUGCCAUAUAUAAAUGUCAUUAUGGACAUUAGCCAAAUAUAUCUUGAUUUGGAAAGAGUCCUUUAUGUGAAUUCUUAUCACACAUUUCAUAUUUAUUGUCGAUAGAACUAUAGACUAUGCUAUAGAUGUAUGAAUUCAUAUUUCUAAUAAAGUUUAUAUUGUUAUAUAGAUGUAGAGAAAAAUUUUGGACGUCUGCACGAAUUUAAUUUCAUUUGAAUUUAGAAGUUCAUAAUAUUGUGAAACUCUAAAUUUGCCCAAAAAUUCAUGGGGACGUUCGCAGUAGAAAAGGACUCUAAAUGUAAUUAAUAUGAGUAAUAAUAUAAUCACAAACUCUUGUACAAAUUUAUUUCGUACAAACUGAUGUGUCAUGAUAAAAUUGGUUGAAUUAAAUAUUUCUGGACCCACAUGAUCUAUUUUUAUUAUUUUGUAUUUUCAUUCAACCAAUGAAUUAAUGCCAAAUCAGUUUGUACAAGAUAAAUUUGUACAAAAGUUUGUGGUUGUAUCAUCACUCAAUUAAUAUCUGCGGCAAUGCAUACAUUGUGUCCCAUGGUUAAAUUUUUAUUUUAUGGUUUCCACUGUGAGAAGAGAAUUUUCGUCCCAUAAAGAAGAGAACGAGGAAAAAGAAAAAGAAAGAAGUUCAAAACUGCAGCGUAAUCAAUAGAAGCUGACAUAAACAUUUCUACACAAGUACACACGGUAAAUCUCAGAUAGCAAGCCAAAGAUAUUAGUCUUAGUCGCUGCUAUCAUUUUAUUCCAUAUUUAUACAGAAGAGCCAUGUCACUUUAUUGAUGAUAUUAUUAUUUAUUAUAAUUUUUAUAUGACAUGGUUCUUCAAGGCUAGUUUAGAACUAUAUUGGGAUCGCCAGGUUUUGCUUCUUGAUAGAAGAAGGCGGCAGCGGGAAUGUUGUGAAGGUCCAAUCAAGCACCUGAUGGCUUUCUGCUCUCCCGAGCCCUGUAGAUGCCGUGAAGCCAACAUAGACUGAGCUUAGAACUGUUUCUGACAUGACAAUAGGUCUUUCAAUCAACUUCUGAAGUGGGUUCCCCGCAUCAUAUGCCACAUAAACACAGAGUAUUUUCGUUCAUCCAUCGUAAUAAACUUGAACCUGGAUCGGUCUUCCACUUUUGAGAUCAAUGCCAAAGCUGUCGAGACUCUUAGCUGGAUCUGAUAUUAAGCUUGCUAUGUCGAUGCCGAUAUGGUUAUUAUCUGGAUCAUUUUUAUUUUUGUUCUUGAAUGUGUCCAGCUCCACGGCUAAUAUCGAACCAUUGUUACCUACAUAUAUAAUUUUCAUAUGCAUUAUAUAUAUAUAUAUAUAUAAAAUUAUCUCAAGAAGGUUUCCGCACAUUAUUUGGUGAGGGCUCCCCACCAUAUGCUACUAUUACAACACCCGCCAUAUUAGGGGUGUUCAGAAUCCAAUCCGAUCCGCCUAAUCCGUCCGAUCCGCUCAAUUCGAUCCGUAUAAAUCCAAUCCGUGGAUUGGUGGAUUGGAUAUGGAUUGAAAAUUUAAAAAUCCGCAGUCGAUGGAUUGGAUAUGGAUUUACUUCUGUAAAUCCGCAGAAAUCCGUGAAUCUGCAAAAAAAAUAAAUAAAUAUAUAAUUAAAAAUUAUUAUAAAUUUAAUUAAAAAAAUUUAUAAAUGUGACAUUACAUAGUUACAUAAGCACUAUAACAUAUCUUAGCCAUUACCCAACAAUAAUAUAAAAUAAAAAAUAAUUAAAUAAUCAAAUAUAACUUGUAAAAAUUGUAAAACAAAAUAAAAGCAAAGUCACACGCACUAGCAAAAGCAAAGUAACAUAACGCCAAGUCACCAACAAUUUGCAAAGUCACCCAAAAGCAAAGUAACAUGACGGCAAGUCACCAACAAUUUGCAAACAAAAAACCCUAAGCUUUCCCGCCGUCACACACACUAGCAACACUCGAUACUGGUUGGAUACACUCUUGACACGAAUUUGAAGGACAUCGGCCGCUGAUUUCGGCGAGAACAAGCCAUCUUCUUUCCCAAGUCCAUCGAGCCACUUCACAUUCACUGGUUCCAGCUGAACAAUUUCACUAUCACAACCUUCAAGAUCGCCACCCAUACGGCUUCUUCUGAUUCCCAUCGUGGACGGCUCUGUAAUCACCACUUUUCGACAGGCGCAACAACCCUGAUGAAGGAUCAGACUGUAUUUGGUUCCCGAAACUUCGCCAUUUCAAUUAAUUGUGGCUUUAUUCGAACAAUUAAUUUCGAUGUUAUAUUAACGUAUUAUUAUAACUUUAUUUGAACAAUUAAGCUUGAUGUGUUAUAUUUUGAAACUUUGAACGUAUUAUUGUAGCUUUAUUUGAAUAAUUAGUCUCGAUGUGUUAUAUUUUGAAACUUUAAAUGUAUUGUUUUAGCUUUAUUUAAAUAAUUAAUUAAUUUAAAUUUUAUUAAAUUUUAAAUUUAAUUGGUAACAAAAUUAUUUUUAUAUUAGAUUUUUUUUAUUUCAUUAGUUGGAGAGAACUGAAAAUUUUUAUUUCGAAAACUAAUGCGCAAAAUGGUGGAUUGGAUAUGGAUUGAGUCAAAUCCGCAUCCGAUCCGCAGACGUAUGGAUUGGAUAUGGAUUGAGUCAAAUCCGCAUCCGAUCCGCAGACGUAUGGAUUGGAUAUGGAUUGAGUCAAAUCCGCAUCCGAUCCGCAAAUGUAUGGAUUGGAUUUGGAUUGAAUUUUAUCAAUCCGUGGAUUGGAUUGGCUUGGAUUGAAAAAUUAUAAUCCGCAAAAUCACGGAUCAGAUAUGAAUUGAUGUCCAAUCCGUAAAAUCCGAUCCGUGAACACCCCUACGCCAUAUGGUAUAACAACAUUUCUUCAUUUUAAUAAAGCGUAGAACUCUCAUUAUAUAGUUCUUAUUCAAUAAGGACAUCUUUAUUUUGUUAAAGUGAAAAUAUUACUAAAAUAUAAAAAAUUUUAAUAUAUUAGAUACUGUAUUUUUUUAUUUGUUAAUAUAUUAAAAUAUGUAUUAUGUUUGUCUAUUAAUGGCAUCCAUAGUUUAUUAAAACGAGGUUGUAUUCAAUAAUAAUAAUAUACACGCAUAUAUAUCAUCAUAUUGUUUAUCAGUACUGUUAUUAUAUAUAUUAUUCGCCUAUGCAAGCAUCAAGUAUGUGUCAUUACUUUAUCUGUGUUAAUUCUUAAUUAUUCACAUUUGAUCAUCAUAGCCGAUGUAGUCAGUCCAAGAUUUCCGAAGCCGCUGUUUGGUGGUGAAGGGCUGCUAUCGGGUGUAAGAACAAACGUCAUGCCUUCUACCGAAUCCGUUGUAUUUGGGUAGGGUGAGAUCCUAAUGGUGAAGGUGGUACUAAUCAUAGCUGGCCAUGCAGUCACAGGCUGGCUGUAUAAAACCCGUCCAACCUUAUUUAGCGGCAGCUGAUCUGGCGAUUCUGGUGAAGGGUCUGAUGUGAGGCUUAAGUAGCCAUAACUUGGAGUCACUGCGCCAAUGCAAAUUAGGCUGCCAUCGCUACAACUUUUUGGGUUGAAUGAGGAAAAUGUGAAGCUAACAGGUUGAUCCACAGGGACUGAUGAAAAAGCACCGCGAAGAAAAACUGAGAGGAGUAGUAGGAAAAUCAUUUUUUUGUUCUGGGAGGGCUACUUCUUGAAUUGCAUUGCUCAGCUUCACAAGCACUUAUUAUAUGGGGGACUUUUUUUUUAUUAAUUUUAUUAUUAUUGUGGUUUUUGUUAUUAUUACUACUAUUUUGCGUGCUAGGGCGAUAUUUUAAAAGUCACUCUCGUCUGAAAACUAUGUGUAGCACAUGCAUAUAAUUGUAUGAGUAAAAAAAUAUAUUGAUAAAUUGGUAUGUAUAAAAAGGUAUUGUUGUUUGCAUAAAAACUUGUAAAUGAUCACUGAAUACAAGAAAUAUUUCUAUUAAAAAAUAAACUCUUUCACUUUAUAAAAUUUUAUUUUUUUUAUACGAGAGUCUUCAUUUUAUUUGUCAUGUGUAAUUUUGUGUCCAAAUAAUAUUAUUCAAUUUUUAUCUAAUGGCUUUGCUCAAUUAAGAAGUACAGUCUAACAUGCCCACCCACAACAAAUGUUUAGUCAUAAUGAGACUAGUGUAUGAAAUGUGAGUAAAGAUAAAUCUACAAUCUCUUAAUAAAUUUGUUUUGUAUAAAUUGAUGUAGCACAAUUUAACUGGUUUGAUUAAAUACAGCUUGACCUACAUAAUUUAACUUUAUUAUUUUUUAUUUUCAUCCAAUCAAUAAAUUUAUACCAUAUCAUUUUGCACAAAAUAAAUUUAUACUAUAAUUUGUAACUUUGUCAUCACUCAUGAAAGUAUUUGUUAUGCGGUAAAAAACUAAAAAAUGUAAUAUAUAUAUAUACACACACACACACACAAGUAUAUACAUAUAUAUAUACAUAAAUAGGUGAGAGAGCGUCUGCACUCUGGAAAUUGCAAGCUCUUCAACUAGCAACUAGCUACUAGAUAUGAAAUAAUAAAAAAUUCAGACUCUUAUGAGCUACAAAAAUAUUAUAUAAGUCUACGACUCUUAUGAAUGAACAAUGGGUUAUGUACAGUCGUUGCUAUAUAAAAAAAAUUCAUGAAACUUAAAGUUUAUAUUUUUAUAUUGUAGCUUCUAUUGAACAAAGGUCUCGACUUUGCUUGGUUUAAAAUUCUAAAUAAUAAAUUAGGAACUCCUCAUGACCUUAAUUUCCGUGAAUUUUUAUAAAUGCUAAGUCACAUGUCCAUUAAUGAUUAUGUAAAAUUAAUAUUUAACUACUCUCAUAUCCUUUAUCUACUAAUAAUCAAUAAUCCAUGUGAUUUGUUCCAAAAAAAUUUCAGUUUGGAAUACACCAUACAUCGUCAACGAAGUUUAUUGACUUGCUUUGAUUUAGCAUGAGGUUGGUGAAGCAACUGACUGUUGCGGAAGGGAUACUUAGAAAGUGUCUAAAAGAUUUAAAAAGAGAGGGAAACUAAUGAUAUUUGAAACUACAGCCUUGAUGUGCAAAUUUAAGAUCCUAAUUCCUACGACAGCCUUAUAAAAGCAAAAAAAAAAAAAUUUGAUGGAGAAGGCGAAGCACAGGGCGGGGAGGUUGAAGCGGACCUUAUCUACCACAGGAAAUAUCUAUAAAUUAAAUUUGAAAGUUAUAGAGCUCAUCAGGGAACAAAGUAUAGAAGCCUUGGGUAGAUUUUGGACAAUCUUUGAAUUAAAUAUUAUAAUGUAUAGAGAAUCAUUUGUCUCAUGCAUAAGCACAUACACAAUAUAAGAAACAAAUUUCGUCCGUGUUUAAAUAUAGGACAUAUUUAGUUGAACAAUUAUAAUUUAAAAAUUAUUGUACUAAAGUGUUCAAUAAACACUUUAUGUUAUGAUUCUUAAGUUAAGUUGAUUUUAUUUCACUUUUGUAUGACGAAAAUAUCAUAAUAUCUUAACUAUUUUUAUCAAAAUUAUUAUAUAAAAAUUACAUUUCAGAACUAUAAUUUUUCUUUUCACAAUUUUUAUUUUAUAAUUAUAUUUGUUAAGUCACAAUGCCUUAAUACCAAACGGACCCUUUAUUAUGGCAAUAAUUUAAAUUGACACAUGGUGAUUGGUAUUUACCUUGUAUGUCAUGUAUUUCGCCUCAAAUUAGAAUCGACAUAGAUAUUUUAUUUGUAUCUAAUAAUCUAGUCAAGAAUAUUUCGAUUAUUAUUUGACACAGUUAUUGACCGUAUCCUUGAUCUAAUAUUUUCUAAAAUUUCCCCAUGUUUAAUGGGUUUUCGGAUGUGAGAUUCUAAAUAUUUAUGCUAGAAAGAUCCUAAAACGUCAGAUUAUGUGUGGUAAAGUUACAUGUACAGAUAAUUGAACAAUUAUUUAUUAUAUAAGGGGUUGAGAAUAAAAUUGAAACCGGAUGAAGCAUAAGUGACAAGAAUUUAGCUGUAAUGUUGAAUGGGUAAAUGAAAGCUUGCACGGGACACCGGACACAGCACGGCUGGCAAAUAAUCCUUUACACAAUUGGGUACGAAAAACGUUGGCCACAGAUUCUUCUCACUCGUUUUUAUCCUUCACCCAUUUGUUAUAAAAUUCACCAACUUCAGAAUGUGUUUAGUAAUCAAUUAAUUUAAAAGACAUAGUGAAUGAAGAGAAGAAAGGGGGAUGAUAAUUUGCAGUACCUGAGUUGCAAUCAGCAACUAUUGUUAUUAAAGAAGCUGAUAUAAUUAAUCAGUAUAUCAAAGGGAAGCAUUGGGCCAUGAGGCUCUGUAUUCAUAUAUACAAUCAAAUCAGGAAGUGCUGAUGAUUCCAAAUUUUUCCAUGCUCCUGAAGAAACCUUGCACCAGGGGGCAUGUUGAUGGCAACUCUAAGCAGUGGCUGCAGCCUGCUCCUCAGCAACUUGUGCAGCUGGAAGAAGGGUGCAGAUGAGGUUGCGGUCACCAUACACAUUGUCAACGCGUCCUGAUAUAGCAGUCCCGAGAAGUCCAAUGUCAGUACAAUCAGGCAAGGAAUUAAAAGACAUGUUUGUAUUUCAGUGACUGCUAAAAGUCGGAAAUUACCAUAAGCCUAUGAAGUCAAAAUUGAAAUAACCUACAGCGACACAUGGGUUUGAUGUGAAGUUUAUGGCACAGAAUUUUAUAUUGCUGUUAUGUUGUUAAUAUUACUUUCAAAUAGGUUAAAAGGAGAUAAAAGAUAAGAUGCAUUAUUAUAGACAAAGGACCCCUGCUCUGACAUAAUAAAUUGUGCAGUCUCAUUUUGCCUAAUAAAGAGUUCGAUGGUGUUAGUCUGGCUUACUGGAUAAGGCAGCUAAAUUAGUAGUACAACUAGAACUUAAAUAUGAAUGAUGACAAUAAUGUGAACAAAAAAGUUAUUCAACGACUUCACGAAUUGCAGAUUCUGGCAAUGAAGUUGAGGGUUGAGGGCACAUAAGGGGUAUGAUGGACACGCAUACCUGUAGCAGGCCAGAACUUAGCAAACCGGAGCCAGGAAGCAGGAUAGGCUGCAUAUUCUCGAGAGUAUGGUUUAGUCCAUGUAUCUCCCAUGAGCAAAGAUGGUGGAUGAGGCGCCCCCUGCAUUUCCAAAUUUCAGAUAAUAAACAUAAGGCUUCAUAAAUAAACUUUGAUUCCACGGAGAACUGGAUAUACAUAUGUUAAUUUCUUUCACUAUGUAACUAAAGAAAUAGCCAUGGUGAAGAAACAAGCAUGUCACCUUCAGGACAUUGUUGUGGAUAUCUGCCUUCCCAUUUUCAAUCUGUGCAAUUUCUUCUCUGAUGGAGAUGAGAGCAUCACAAUACCUGUCCAACUCUUCCUGCAAAAGUAGUGAAUUUGGUUAGAGAAAGUAAAAUUUGAAAGAAGAGAUCUUCUCUGUUAUGACAUACCUUGCUUUCACUUUCAGUUGGUUCAAUCAUAAGUGUGCCUGGAACAGGCCAUGACAUUGUUGGUCCAUGGAAUCCAUAAUCCAUAAGACGUUUGGCAACAUCUUCGGGCUCUAUCCCGGCAGUAUUCUGAGAUGAAAAAGGUUUACAAUUUGUUAUGGAAAUAAACAGUAGAUCAAGAGGAAACUAAUUGAAACUUCUGUGUCAUAAGAACAACCUUCAAGCCUCUUAAGUCCACAAUGAAUUCAUGAGCAACUGUUCCAUUGACACCACGGAAAAGGAUGGGGUAAUGUUUCUGAAAAACCAAAACAAACUUAACUAGGUCAAAAUUAUCCAGAAUUUAUAACUGCAAUGGCAAGCAAUAUAGAAGGUAAACCAAGCAUGCGUGAACAAAUCAUUCUUCUUCCUGAAGAAAGUUUGAGCAAAAGGUUAUGUGAGCGUAGCAAGUGGAAGUUGCUUUGCUUAGACAAUAAAAGUGUGACAAUGUUUUAUAGAAGUAUAAGAACAUCCGCAAAGCGAUGCAACCACCAAAAUGAAACUUACUUAUUUUAAAGUAAAGAUAUUAAAGGAAAAGUCAAGAACCUCCAAACGUUUUGCCAUGUAGUUUGCAUUCAGAAUAGCUAUCUUUGAAGCCUCAGUGAGUCCUUUAGAACCCAUCAUAGCUAUGUACGUAUAUGAUAUUGGCAGGAUAAGUGCAGAGCCCCAGGGUGCAGCUGCAAUUGUGCCCAGGGGUUGAGACUUUUCAGGGGCAGGAAUACCACCUGUGGAUACCUUCAUCAUGGAAAUAAAAUUAAAAAAUUAAUAACUGAAUGAAAAAUAUCGGAGCAGCAAAUACAUCAGAACAAUUUGUAGACUUUACUGAGCCCUAUUACUAGUAGCAGAUAUUCAAUCAUUUAUAGGCAUUUGAUUUAUUAAUGGUCGGAAAGAUACUAAUGCAUAAAAGGUAGUAAAUAGCUUGAACUGCAUACCAAGGGCCUAUCUGUGCAGAAGAGAAGGUUCCAUCAUAACAAUUACAGAGUUUUUUUUUUUUGGGUUUUUUUGGUGGGCGGCCUAAAAGUCAUCAGCAGCCAUAAGCUCAAUACAAUGAGUCUAAUAAUAAUAAUAAUAUAUACUAUGUGUAUUCAUGCAUGAAUAAUAGGUAAACAUAAAAUUGGUAUUUCCUAUAAAACUAGUGGAAAAUCAAAUUAAACGAUGCAAUAUUCUCCAUCUAAGCUAAAAUGUAAAUAUAUUAAAAGUAGGAUGAAAAAGUAUGCAAAGAACACUCGUUAAAUGUACGAGCACAUACCACAGGAUGUGAAGGCAGAAAGGGUGCCAAGUGUUUCUUCACACCAAUAGGGCCCAUACCAGGACCACCACCUCCAUGCGGAAUGCAAAAUGUUUUGUGGAGAUUGAGAUGGCAAACAUCAGCUCCAAUGUAACCAGGGCUUGUCAGACCGACCUACAAAACAAAAAUUUUCUCAGACAAUUUCCAUUGGUGAGCUGUAUGCAAUGCGAAAAAAUGCCUGUAAGGUUGUUCAAUUUUUUGAAGAGUUGAGACAUAGUUUGAAGAUCAGCACUGUUAAGAUGCAGAGAUGCAUGAAAAAUAAUGAACAUUUAAGUGAUGAAAAGCAAGAGAAGAUCCUACAGCUCCACACAUCUAAUUGAUUACAAGAAAAGAUUGGUCAAGCUGAACAUUAUAGAAGUCUACGGCCCUAACUCAACCCAAAAGCCAGCUCCAAGUCUUAUAUACUUAACCCAAGUUCAAUACUCAGUCGAUGUGGGAUAUUUUCCCUAACACUCCCCGUCAUGUGCAAGCCAGUUUUUUUUUACAAGUCCUUGUCACGUGUUAAGGUAGUGAGGGUCUACUCAUGUGGUGAGUUUGGCUCUAAUACCAUAUAGAAGUCUACGGGCCUAACUGAACCAAAAAGCCAGCUCAAUAGUUGAGGGUUGCCCAAGUCUUAUUUACUUAACUAACAUCAAUACUCAUUCGAUGUGGGAUAUUUUCCCUAACAAACAUAUGCUGAAUUGCUGAUGAUUAACUCACCUGGCAAGUAAUCCUUUUUCAAGCUCAUAUUACUUGUAUCUACAGGUUUACAUUCUGACUCCAUUGACCUCAAAAUCCGUUACUGCUACCCAUUGAAAGAUGCAUAUAAAUCUAAAUGAAUCAACGUACUAUUUUACAUCAUUCUACAAUAUGAGAUGCUUGAGUCAUCAAAAUGUAAAAUGAUAGUUCAUAGGAACAUAUUUAAAGAAGUAACAGACCUGAGCAUUCAUGUUAGCCCCGUCCAUAUAUACUUGACCUCCAUUAUCGUGAAUUAUCUUGCAUAUCUCAUCAAUACCUUCUUCAUAAACUCCAUGAGUUGAAGGGUACGUUACCUGAAAGUUAAAUUUAAUUCAUAUAUCAAGAGAAAUUGCACAAACAAGCAUUCCCAAAUGUCCUAGUCAUAUUUAAGUUUUCUACUAAUACAAAAUGAAUUAUCAGUACAUGUUGCAAAGCCUCUUUACCAUAAGGGUUGAUAGGUUGUCCCUAUUAGCUUCUGCGGCCUUCCUUAACUCUUCAAUGUUGAUGUUACCCUUGGCAUCAGUUCCAACAGAAACAAUCUUCAUUCCACACAUGGCAGCAGUAGCAGGAUUUGUCCCAUGGGCUGACACGGGUAUAAUGCACACAUUGCGGUGAUGGUCUCCUCUUGCCUACAGUUUCCAAUAACAGUCCAAGGAUUGUUAAAAAUGGAGGGAAAGGAGCGGGAAAGGAAUCCAGGCAAUAUGUCUCAAGUUUUACUCCAAGUUUUUGGCUACAAGGGAUAAGAGCAUAGUUUGUAAACACAGUUACCACCCAUUUACCUUAUGAUAAGCGCGGAUAACCAUGAGCCCAGCAUACUCACCAGCUGCACCAGCAUUUGGUUGCAAAGAGAAAGAGUCAAAGCCAGUAAUGGUACACAGCCACUCACCCAGAUUGUUAAACAUUUCCUUAAGAGACAAAAAAUGAUCAUCUAUCAGGAAAUAAUAUAUGUGAAACAUUUAAUAGACUAAUGCAGCUGUAAAUUCUGUGCGCUACUGAAGAUGCCUUGCUAAUUACCUGAUAACCCUGAGCCUGGUCAGCAGGGGCAAAAGGGUGUAUGUUAGCAAAGCUAGGCCAUGUCACUGGCAUCAUUUCAGUUGUUGCAUUCAAUUUCAUUGUACAAGAUCCCAAUGGAAUCAUACUAUGGCAUAGUGAGAGCUCCUUUGAUUGUAACAGAUGAAUGUAUCUAAGCAAUUCAUGCUCUGUGUGGUAUCUAUAUAAUAUUAAAAAACAGUAUAAGUCAGAGAAGCCUCUGAGUUAUGAAGUACAGGUAGUUUGAGUGAUAGUAUAGAGUUGUACUUGUUAAAAACAGGAUGUGUCAGAUACGGACUCUCCCUUGUUAAUCCAGACGGAAUUGCAGUCUCAACCUCUUCAGCCAGAGAUGCAGCAGUGAAUGGAACCUGACAGUUUAACAAAGAAGGUUCUGUUUAGAAAUCAAACAAUGUAAUUAAUACAGCGAACAUCAUUUGGGGAAAAAAAAAAUGUAGAACGCACUGAUUUGCCCCCAGCGAAAACUAUGAAAAGCUUAUCAACAUCCUCCAAGGUGGUUGUUUCAUCAAAGGAAGCAGUGACCUGAGAGACAAAAAAACUUCCUUAAUCUGACAACAAAAAAUCAUACAGUAACCCAUCAACACAACAUAUGAAAGACUAACUCACGGUGUUGGAAUCUACAACCCGAAGAUUCAUUUCAAUCUUGUAAGCAGCACUGGCAAUGGCAUGUGCAUCCGCACACUUCACCUUCACAGUGUCAAAGAAGGGAAGCCCCUGGACUUCCACUGUCCCCAGCUUUUUUAACCCAAGGGCGAAAGUCCCGGCUAGUCCAUGGACUCUUUGAGCAAUGGUUUUAAGGCCUUCAGGUCCGUGAUAAACAGCAUACAUAGCAGCCAUGUUUGCAAGUAAUGCCUACAUAGAUAAGUUUUAUUCAACCAAAGCAAAGUCAGUUCAUUGGGCAUGUUUUAUGGUGCAGAAAAUAUGAAUGCAUGUGUUUAUGACAAAAUUCUUGAGCUAGACAGGUUCUGCAGUCUUCAAACUUUCAAAAAAUUAGAAAGCAGUUUUUCAAUCUCUACACAGGCAGUCCUCCAAAGUAAAACAGAAACAGAACAGGAAUAACAAUAAUCUGUUACUUGAGCGGUGCAGAUGUUGCUGGUAGCCUUGUCCCUGCGGAUAUGCUGCUCCCUAGUCUGCAUUGCCACACGCAGGGCAGGCUUCCCUGAAGAAUCAAUACUAACACCAACAAUCCUCCCUGGCAUCAUCCUCUUGUACUCUUGAGAGGUAGCCAAAAAUGCUGCAUGAGGACCUCCAUAACCCAUUGGCACACCAAACCUCUGAGCAGAGCCCACAACAAUAUCAGCCCCCAGUUCACCUGGAGGCUUCAAAAUUGUCAAUGCCAACAAAUCCGUUGCCAUAACAACCUUAACUCCAUUAGCAUGAGCAUUCUUAAUGAAAUCCCCAUAAUCCAAAACUUCACCCUCAGUACCUGGAUACUGAACCAAAACCCCACAAACAUCACCUGACUUGUAAUCAAUAUCCUUAAGAUCCGAAACAACAACUUUAAUAUCAAAACCAUCAGCUCUAGUAAUACAAAUAUCAAUUGUCUGAGGGUGGCAGUUGCUAGCAAUAAUAAAAGUCUUCUUCUUUCCCUUCUGUAUGUUAUUGCACAUAGCCAUUGCCUCAGCAGCAGCAGUUCCCUCAUCAAGCAAUGAGGCGUUUGACAUAGGCAAUCCAGUAAGAUCUGCAAUCAUGGUCUGGAAAUUAAGCAAAGACUCAAGUCUCCCUUGAGCAAUCUCAGCCUGGUAUGGAGUGUACUGAGUGUACCAAGCUGGAUUCUCCAUAAUGUUCCUCAAAAUCACAGGGGGAACAUGAGUGUUAUAGUAUCCCAUGCCAAUAAAUGACUUAUAAACCUUAUUCAUUGAUGCUAGUUUCUGCAUAUGUUCAAUCAUUUGGCUCUCGGUUAACCCUUCAUCAAACUUAGAGAAUUUCAUUGAAUCAAUACGGAUAGAUUUAGGCACAGUAGCAUCAAUAAGUGAAUCGAGAUUAUCAAGACCAACUAACUCAGACAUUUUGGCUUGAUCCUCUGGGGUUGCAGAGUUAUGGCGACGAGCAAAAGUAUCACUUGGUUUUAAUGCCUCAACAGAAAUGCCUCGAGUCUGUGACCCGAUACCAUAACCAUUAACAUUAUGAUGAGACAUGUUCCUAGAUUGCAACAAAUCUGAUCUUGAAUUGUUGGAGCAAACAAAUGGUGCACAUGACAAUGAAGAGAGAUACCUUGAAGGUGUGUACGUAGCAGCAGCGGCAGCUGAUGAUUUUGAUUCACGGUGAUUGCGGGACAGCUGCUUGGACUCAUUAACCAGGCGUUUGAGAAAUGCCCGGCUGGCCAGCCGCCUUGCACGCUCCAUGAAUGAAGUGAGAUAGAGCUAAAACGGGCUCUUGAGUCUUGCCUCUUGCAAACUUCAAAAAAGGAAAUAACUUCACAAGAAGCAAGGCAAAGCAAGGCAAAUGGGGUUGUUGAGAAGAUAAAAAGAGUAGUUUUUCAAUAAAGUAAAUAUUUUUGUUACAUAAGAGUCAGUGGGGGUAGGGGGUUGGUGAUAAAUAAACUGAUGAUUCAUAUGCUGAUAAUUUUGUCUAUAUAAACAAUAUAUAUAGAGAGAGAGAGAGAGAAGAGAGGACAAUACUAUCUAUCUACAUACACACACAGACACACGUAUAUUUGUGCGUGUAUAUAUUAAUAAAAAAGAUUAAUUCUUUUAUGACUUCAAGAUCUGGUGAAUUUGGUGGGUGAUGACUGAGCAGCCACCUACGUAGAAAAGACACUUAGGAAGUUAUCAUAUCACAAUCUGCAGGAAGUUACAACUUUCUUACAAAUGUAUGGAAGAAAUUGAAUGCAAAGAGAUUGGAAUUCAAUGGAUCACAAUGCCGUUCGAUUUUUAUGGUGAUAUGAAUAUGAUGAUAUCCGAGAAAUAAUUUAAAUAAUUGAAUUUUUUUUUUUUUGGGGGGGUGGGAAAUAUGGGAUUCUUUGGUGGCUGAAUCUCUUUCACAAUCAAGUUAUCACUUUGCCUCACCUCAUGUUUAUAAAAACAAAAGUCUUUCAUUGGGUUAGGGUUUACAGCAGAUAAGUGAUAAAUCUCACUCAUUUUUCAGUUCAUGGGAACUUUCAAUGAGAAUUUUUUUCGUUUUUUUUCUUUUUUGGUUCGGUUGGGAUUUUUUGGUUUGUUGGUUUGGUGGGUCCUGAAAAUUGGGUGGAGGCUAAAAUUGGGAAAUUGCUGGAUCAUCGGAAAUCUAAUGUCUGUGGGCUCUUGUGUGGCCUGUGGCUGACAAUUUACGUCAUAAGUGGUUACCUAAAACAACUCGACAGAGUCCGAUUUCUCUGGCCAUUUAUACUGUUGUGUGGUGUAUCACACAGCCUUUUAAGUUUGAGAAGCAACGGCUGAGAUUUGACCACAGUAGUUACCGUCGUGAGAAAUUGGAAUCUUGAUGAUCAUUUCAUAGCAUCCAAGAACUGGACUCUUGACUCUUUCAUAAGUACUUGACUUGUGUCUUCUGAUGGAAAAAACAAAAAAAAAAAAAAAAAAGUGGGGAAAGAAAAAGUAGUUGCGGAGGGCAUUAUGUUACAUUUCGUCACAAAUAAAAAUAACACCAACAAUUCAAAAUAAAUUUCACAACCGAAUAACACUUAAACUUGUUAGUGCAGUACUUGUGAGUGGGUGUCUAAUUACAAAAGAUUGGGCACAAUGAUUUGACCAAUAAUCCGGACGAGAUGUUUUAACCAAUAAUUCAAGUAGAGUUGUGUUGUAAUAAAUGAUUUUUUUUUCUAUAUUAUAAUAUAAUUUACAAAUAUUUACCGUUAGAAACCUACAAAAAAAAUAAUAGUUUUUAAUUUUUUGUUAUAAAAAACGAACGUUUAAACCGAACUUAGGUCGAAUGUUGUUAUACAUUAGUAUAAGAUAUUAACAAAUACGAGUUAAUAUCACUUUUUUGAACUAUAAAAUUAAUCAAAACAGCAACACCAAUCAACAAACUCAAAUUUGUUUAGACCAAUUUCGUCACUUUAAAGGAAGAUUUCUCACUAUAAAAGGGACAAAUAAAAUAGUUUGAUCUGUAUGAUACAACGACAUUGUUAUGAGGUUGCACUUGACACGACAGUUUAAAACAACAAACGGAAAGUUAAAGAAGAAAAAUAUGAAAUAGAAGUAGAGAGCAUUAGAUAUAAUAAUUGGGCUACCUCUUCACUUCUUAUUAUAGUUGUAAUAGGUCAUUAAAGGCUUUGUAUAUCUUUCUUAUGUAGAGAAACCUCAUAUUUUUACUAAUUCAAUUUUGAAGUAAUUGCCCACUUUUUCUUAUUUAAUUUUAAUUAGUCAUCUAUAUGUCUCAUAAUUUAAUUCAGCUUGAAUAAUUUAUAUCACAUCUAAAUUUGAUUUAUUCAACUCUAAUUUUUAAUUAAAUCAAACACAAAGAAAAUUGCUCGUAUUUUCCGCUAAUGAGGGACAUUAGUAUUUUGAAAUACUAAUAAAAUUUCUAAUUCAAAAAAGUCUUAUCUUUCAUUAUAUGUUCAAAAGAGGACUUAAACCUUUGCAUAUAGAUAUAAAGAGAAAAAAAAAAAAAAAGCUUUUGAUAGACGAAAUGAAUGAUAUAUGAAGGGAAAAUUAUAUUUUUUUUUAGUUUUGAUAAUAAUCUUAGGUAGUUCACAAGUUUCACAUUUUACGUUUUGAAACUUCGCACCAAGCCACCAACCUCUUAUAGUCUUAGCCUGUGGGCGCUGGUUUUUUGUUUGCGUGGCAACAUAAAAGUUUGUUUGUCUUAUUUUAGCGCGAGGUUAGCAAAGGCAAUUGGCUGUAGGGAUGGCAAUGGGGAGGGGAGGGGAGGGGACCGAUCUCCCCGUACCCAUCCCCGAUAUUUUACGUAUGUCCCCAUCCCCUCCCCGUCCCCGUCAGAAUUACUUGAGAGAAUCCCCAUCCCCUCCCCGAAUAAUAACAGGGGAUCCCCGAGGAUCCCCGAUCCCCGAAUAACUAAUACAUUUUUUUUUCGAUUUUGAGUUAAUCAUAUUAAAAUAAAAAAUUCAAAUAAAAGUAAAGUUCGAAAUAUAUCUUACAUUAAUAUCUAUUACAAAAGUCACAUACAUUAAAUUAGUAAGUAACGCAACAUACAAGAGAUACAAACUUAUUUUACAAACUAUCAUGAACAAAUUAAUAGUCUAAUACAAAAUUGUUACAAAUAAAAUCAAAUUUAGAUUCAAAAUUAACUUUUUCAAUGGUGGCGUGGGCACUUUAUAAAUGUGGACUAUUCCCUUUACAACACAAUAGUUAAAUCGGAGCAAAUCAAAAGUAAAUAUUAGAUUAGAUUAGAUUAGAUAUUAAAAUUGUGAUUCGCUGUGGGCAAUUAUAACAUCUAAAAUUAAAUAAAAAAUAGAUUUAAGUUUAAAAUAUUUAAAGAAUAUCAAAAUUAAAAAAAAAUUUGGCUAAUAGAAUCUACUCAGUCUUUUUAAUGUCCUAAAUAAAAAUUUAGAACUUUAAUUAGCUAAUUAGGCCUAAAAGUUUAAUAAUAUAAAUAUUUUGAUAUUUUUUAUUUUUACCAAUAUUUAUAAUUUUAUAAUUUAAAUUUUAUAAUUUAUUUACUAGUAAUUUUAAAAAAUUAAAAUUAAAUUAAAAAUUAAAAUGGGGAAAUGGGUAGGGGAUGGGGAUUCCACCUCAUCCCCGUCCCCUCCCCGAAUAAGAAAUUGGGUAAAAAAAUUUCCCCGUCCCCUCCCCGAAUAAGAAAUUGGGUAUGAAAUUAUCCCCAUACCCUCCCCGAAUGGGGAAAAUCCCCGAGGGUACCCGUCCCCGUGGGGAUUUUUGCCAUCCCUAAUUGGCUGCUACGGGAGAUGGCUUUCCCCCCUCGAAAGUCUUAUCUAUUAUACGAAAAGGAAAAAGGCAAAAAAUAAUAAUAAUAAUAAUGAAAGUAGAAAAUAAACGCAUGAUGAUGGGGUAAACAUGGCGGCCUCGGACUUAAAUUAGAUAUUUUUAUAUUAUAGCUUCAAUUAAACUAAAAUCUGAAUUUUGUUGGAUCUACAACCAUACACGUGCGACGAAUUAGAAUUGUGUAAUAUCUAAGUUUUUACAGCUUUCAAAGAUCUGCGAAGUCAGGUGUCCAUUAAUAAUAAUGUGAUGGUGUGUUUACUUACUGGAUUGGAAAAUCAAAAUUCAGAAUCUGAAUGAUUGAUAGUGUUUACUUUGCAAAUAUGGAGCAUGAAUCGGAAUCGGAAUCGGAAUGGUAAGACCCACCACUAUUUGAGAAUGGGGAAUGAGAGAUUGAUUCCCUUGGGAGGUGGGAAUGAGUCUUUCAUUCUCGGGAUUGACCAUUUUACCCUUCCCAAAAUUAAAAAUGCUCACUUUGUCCUCUUUUAUAAUUAAUUAAUAUAAUAUUAUAAUUAAUUAAUUAAUAUAUUAUGAUUAAUUAAUAAAUAAAUAUAUUAUUAACUAUAAUUAUUAAAAAUUAUAGUUCUUGAAUAAAUUUAAUAUAUUAUUAUUAUACUUAAUUAAUUAAUUAUUACUAUUAAUUAAUAUAUUAACAUAUUAAUAAUAAUAAUUAUUAUUAUUUUUGAAUAAAUAAUCACAAUAAUUAAUUUAUUAGUAUUAUUAUUUUAAUUAAUUAAUUAAUGUACUAUUAUAAUAAUUAUUAAUAUAAUUAAUUUAUAUAUUAUUGUUAAUGAAUCAAUAUAAUUAUUACUAUUAAUUAAUAUAUUAUUAACAAUAAUAUAUUAAUAAUUAUUUUUCUUGAAUAAAUAAUCACAAUAAUUAAUAUUAAUAUUAUUAAUUAAUUAAUUAAUAUACUAUUAUAAUAAUUAUUAUAAUUAAUUCAUAUAGUAUUAUUAAUUAAAUAAUAUAUUUAUUACUAAUAAUUAAUAGAUUAUUAACAAUAAUUAUUAAUAAUUAUAUUUUUUGAAUAAAUAAUCACAAUAAUUAAUAUAUUAUUAUUGUAAUUAAUUAAUUAAUUAAUUAAUAUACUAUUAUAAUAAUUAUUAACAAUAAUUAUUAUAAUUAAUUCAUAUAUUAUAAUUAAUUAAUUAAAUUAAUAUUAUUAAAUAAAUAAUAUAAUAUAAUUAUUACUACUAAAUAAUAUAUUAAUAUAUUAUUAACAAUAAUUAUUAAUAAUUAUAUUUUUUGAAUAAAUAAUCACAAUAAUUAAUAUAUUAUUAUUGUAAUUAAUUAAUUAAUAUACUAUUAUAAUAAUUAUUGUUAAUAACAAUAAUUAUUAUAAUUAAUUCAUAUAUUAUUAUUAUUAAUUAAUUAAUAUUAUUAAAUAAAUAAUAUAAUUAUUACUACUAAUUAAUAUAUUAAUAUAUUAUUAACAAUAAUAAUUAUAUUUUUUGAAAAAUAAUCACAAUAAUUAAUAUAUUAUUAUUGUAAUUAAUUAAUUAAUAUACUAUUAUAAUAAUUAUUGUUAAUAAUUAUUAUAAUUAAUUCAUAUAUUAUUAUUAUUAAUUAAUUAAUUAAAUUAAUAUUAUUAAAUAAAUAAUAUAAUAUAAUUAUUACUACUAAUUAAUAUAUUAAUAUAUUAUUAACAAUAAUUAUAAUUUUUGAACAAAUAAUCACAAUAAUUAAUAUAUUAUUUUAAUUAAGUAAUUAAUAUUAAUAUUAUUAGUUAAUAUAUUUUUAUAAUAAUUUUUAUUAUAGUUAUUAUGAUUAAUUAAAAAAUUUUACAAUUAAUUAAUAUAUUAGUUAAUAGUAAUUAUAAUAAUAAUCCAUUAAGUACUUUUUAGUAAUUUGUUACAAUCUAAUUCAUUCCGAUUCCGAUUCCAAGAUAAAGUAAACACAUUAAUGGCAAUUCAGCUCAUUCCAAUUUCGAUUCAUGCAAUUCAAGUAAACAACUUAUUUUGAUUCUUAUUCCCUAUUCUCAUUCAAGUCCAUUCCCAUUCAUGUCCAUUCUGAUUCCAGCUCAUUCCGAUUCCAGUUUAGUAAACGCAGUAUGAGAUUAGAAUUUUACUCUUUAUGUCCCCUAUUUAGUAAUAACCAAUUAUCUACAUUGAAUUCUACUAAAAAAUUCACGUCAAAGAGAAAUUUGGUCCCUAAUCCCCGCAUGACAUGACAUAAGUUUAAUGGUUUUCUUGCUUUAGCAUGAGGUUGGUGAGGCAAAUAACUGUGUUAUGGAAUGAACAUUUUGACUGUGUUAUGGAAUUGAUAAAAACGUUGUGUGGAAAAAUUUCAGAUUUUUAAAAAAGGAGGGGAAAUAAUAAUAUUUAGAAAAAUAACCUUUGAUGUACAAGUUUAAUAUAUUCUAAUUCCUACAGCAAUCUUAUAAAGAAAAUUGAAAUUUUCAAAUUUGAUAGGUAAGGCGAAGGUAUGCUGGGGAGGCUGAACCGGAUCUUGCGAUACUCACCUAACACAUGAAUUAAAUUUCAAAGUUCUAGCUAAUUUGGAAAUUAAAUAUAGAGGCGGAUCAAGCCAUAUGGAGAUUGUAGACUAUCUUUGAAAUUAAAUAUUAUAAUGGAAACAUUUAUAGAGAAUCUUUUGUCGCAUAAACAUGGAAUCUUUUGUCUUUUGCAUAAAAAACUUCAUAUUAUUCACCAAUCACUAAUGACCUCAAAAUGUUUGAUGGCCGGUGUUAAUAAAUAUAGAACAACUGCCCAACACGCAUUUUCACUUAAAAAAUUAUACCAACUCCGCCAUUAAUUAAAAAGCUAGUGGGCUUUCUAGCCCACUGAUUCGCUAACCCGUGCGCACAAAUAUGGUGCUUGGUCUCGAGUCUCAAUCUCAUGUUGGGAUUCUUUUUACUUUCAAUUAUUAAUAAUAGUAAUAUUAUUAUUACUAUUACUAUUAUUAUGGUAAUAAUAUUUAUGGUAGAAACAUUUAUUCUAAAUUUUGUUUGUGAACAAAUAUAUAAUUGUAACUAAGGACAUUCUUAUUACAAUAAAAAAUAAAUACAUUAAUGGAAUACAGCUCGUUCCGAUCAAGAGUAUAUAUUAGUUAUUUUUGUAUUUCAUUUCAAUACGAAAUUAGUUGUGCUUCUGAGCUAUGAUCAAACAAUUCGAUAUUGCAAGGCUAAAUAAUCAUGAGUGACCGAUAGCGAAGUAGCAUUGUGAGGGAAGGGCGAAAAGAAACCCCAUCGAAGAGUGAAAUAGAACAUGAGAGCUUAAGCACCCAAGCAGUGUGAGGAGCUCGGUGCUCCAACCGCAUGCCUGUUGAAGAAUAAGCCAGUGACUUAUACGUAGCGCCUUCGUUAAAAAGAAACGAAAGAAUAAUAAGCAAUGACAUACCGAUUCUAAUUUUUUAUCAUUGUAAGAAGGGAAAUAAUCUUUCUUUAAUUGUUCCUUUCAAUAGAAUAAUAUGUAUUUUAUUUUCAAAUCAAAUCCAAAUAAAUUAUUCUUUCAAUGGUAUAGUUCGCACCAUUUUUGCAGUUCAGCAGUAUGGGUCAUUGGAACAAAAAAUGCCCAGUUGGUCCAUGCACCCUUAUCCAUAUCUAGCUACGGAUUAUGGUACAGAACUGCCAAUUGGGUGAUUCAUAUACAUUCUAUUUACUUUAAUUUUGAGUUUAGAAAAAACAUUAUUGAAUCUGAAGCCCAAGCCAAAAAAAAUGAUGCAUAAUUUGACAAAAGGCUUAUAUGCAUGGAUUGCUAUCCUUCUCUUUCGGAGAUAAUGUUCUUUUUGCAUUUUAAAGAUUUGUGAGCUUGAUCUUCCUGUUAAAUAUUUAAAUACAAUAUACAUGAUUACUUCCAUUGAAAAUUGUUUAGUCCAAUCUAAUAUACACAUAAAUUGCUUACUUUUAUACUUUUGAUUUUUCUAUUUUUAUAACUCAAGUAAAUAACUUAUUUUUAUUCUCAUUCUUCAUUUUAAUUUUAGUCCAUUUUGAUUUUAGCUCAUUCUGAUUCUAGCGAAUUAAAUGCACCAUUUUCCUAACCCAACUAAAUUACAUGAUUUUGUUAUAAUAUAUAUGCACUUAAAAUUACACUUCACAAAUAGGAUGAGAACCUUAUACAUAUAAAUAAAAAAAAUUGAUUAAGUGCGAACCUUAUACAUAUGGAGAGGCUCUGUGUUGUAGACCCCAGAGACCCUCAAUCAUGAUUUAUCGUGCAUGCUGUCGCACACUAAAUCAGUUCUCUAUAAACAAAAUUAAUAAAGUGAAUGAAUUUGUCUCGUAAACUAUAAAAACAUCAAAAUACAAAUAUACAUACCAUUUAUUCAUCUUAUAAUGGAACUGGAUUCAAAAGUUGUGCUAAAUUCACUCUGAAUUUUUAUAAAUAGACCUAUAAUGUAAAGAAUUGGAUAAAGAUCAUCUUGACUGAUACACUUCAAAAUUCAAAUGCAACCCAUAGGUAAAAAGGCAUUCGGCGUCCUCCAAAGCCCACCAAUUUGGCCAUUAAAACGCUGCGUUUAAUGACAGGAACCAAUUGACCAACUUAAUUUAACAAAUGAAAAUCCAAUUCAGAAAAAUAAAAUAAAAUUUGAGAUCUAGAGAAACUGUAAUCCACUUGAACUAGAUCGACCAUCUUUGUCUUUUCUCCAUAUAUAUAUAACGUUUUUGUAAAUUGCAGUAUUAGGCUGUGUGUUGUGUGUGAGAUAUAAAGAGAUUUAUGAUGGGGCUCUUGGCCUACAAACACAACCAUCAUGUGGCUCACUCGCAGCUGAUAGCUCCCUUAGUUAAUUAAGCAAGUGUAUCAUCGAAAAAUGACAAUGUCUUUAUCAAGACAUGGAUACAACGCUAUAAUCUAAUGACUCUUUGGUUCAUUCACAAAUCGCAUCAUGACUAGGAGUGACUCUUAGAUCUCACACGUAGCAUGUUUCUUCAUCUUUGAAAUUGUUGAUCAUUAUAUCUCAUCCUGGGCAUCUUAAGAAACAAAAUAAAUAUGCACAUUUAUCUUGUCAUAAUAAUAAUAAUAAUAUUAAAUACCUGUGAAUGUAAUCACGAGAUGGCAUAAAGCAUUCUCAUUGGAUGCUGCCAAGCAAGGAACGUUGUGCUUCACUUAUUUUACAUUCAGGUAUUUUGAGGUCAUUUAUCAGAUUUCAAUUUCAAUCUUUUUCUCUUUCAACAAUUAGGCAAAGCCUCUAACUUUCACAUAAUCUUAGGACAACAUUAUUUUGUGGACCGUAUUAAUUAUAAUUUAGAUAAUGAAGAUAAGCAAUCUCGUAGGCCAAUUAUACUCUUUUCUGCAUAUCGAUUCAGUUUGGAGAUAAAAAACCGCAAAAUAGCUCUAAUAAAUGAUAAAGUAAACGUACAGCCAUGAAUAAUUUUGUACAAACAAUAUUGUACAUUCUAAUGUGAUAUAUUAUUAUUCAUUAAAUUAAACAUAUGGUACCAAAUUAGAUUAAUACAUCUUGCCACACCAAUUUAUAUAAGAUUAUUCAUAAAACUAUUUGUGGCUGUAUAACGAUUCUAAGCAGACGAGUAUGGAAUUGUCUUCCCCAUAUAUGAAGCGAAAGCACAACGUAAUUUGAGUCAUACAUGAUAUGCUCAUACGUGGCUCCACUGAGACCUUUUAUUUCUGAUCCGUUGAUACUUGAUAGUUGGUCAAACAAAAUGACAGAUGAGAUCAUAAAUAAAAUGAAUCGACUUGUGGCUUAGAGUAUCUACUCUCUCAAGUAAUUUAACUGAGGGCAUGGUAAAUGGAAAAUGAGAAGAUCACAAGAAAAGUUGAUAGUAAAAGUUGUGGGGGACUAAAGAGGCUGUCACCGUCUCUUCCUGCUCAAGCAAUUGAUGUCUUUCUGCAAGACAAAGAGAACAACAUGCUCCCACCCCAUGCUUGAAAAUUAUUUAUACUCAUCUCUUUUCAUAUACAUGUUAUCUGCACAAUCCUCAGAAGACUGAAAUCCCCUCUCCAUUCUUCUAAAUAUCGUUCACGGCAGAAAUCAUCCGGUGCAUGUUAUGGCAAUGAAACAUAGAGUAUAUAUUUCUCUAAUGUGAGGGAGAAUUGUCCUCGUCGGCCGUUACUGAAUUAUAUAAGGUUUGAGCAAGGGCAAAUCCAAGAUCUUAUUAUAAAGUGGAUCAAACAAAAUUUUAGAAUAUAUAUAAUUGCGUGAGAAAAAAUAUACGGAAGUAUGAAAAUAUUUUUAAUGUUAACAAUGAGAGACAUUGUUGCAAUAAUCAGAGACUUAUUUAAUUGCACUUCUCUGAACUAAAAUUUAAUGGGAUUUUGGCAAGGAACUCGAAGGACAAGUAAUUUAAAGGCAUGUGAUGCGUAAGGCACAGCAAGUUAACAACUCAGAUGCAUCGAGAAACAAUGGGUUUAUUUGUGAUCGAGUUACUCGGAAACUGGUAUAUAAUACGAGAGAUAAGCUGACAUAAUAUAUUGGGAUACGUUUUGUGGUUACACUCCACAACUCCGUUUAGUUUGUCUUGUUUUUAUUUGGGCGGCUACAUGAAGUCGCGUGAAUGACUUUCAUCAGGCCUGCGCUUGCCCUUUUUCACCUUUUAUAAGACUGCACGACUGCUACUAUUUAGCUUCUUUUUCGCCCUCUCUUCGCUGGACAAACAGCUGCUGCUAUUUCUUUCUCUCUCUCUCGCCAUCCAUGGCUCCAAUGUAUUUGAACCCAGCACAGGACCACUCUGAUCCUUUUCGACUUGCGGAGGCGCAAAAACGUGAUCAUCAACGUUUGCAGGUAUUACACUCUUCAUCACAUAAUCGACCUGCUGCUUCUGUUUCUCGCCCUAUUUUUCUUAACUCAUCAACUCAAGAUCAAGGAAUGAUCAAAUUGGAAGGAUCACAGCAACAUGAUCAAAAGGCAAGAACAAUAAAUUCAAUUACUCGAAGCAAUUUAUUUUUCUUGUUUAAUUCUUUUGUUAUCUAUGCUUUCAUUAUUUUUUUUAAAAUUUUUUACUUAAACAAUUAUCUUAAUUUUCAUGAUCGUGUGCCUUUAUCUAUAGUGAUUCUUCAUCAGCAAUGUUAGUAAAUAUAAUCCAUCUGUUUAAUUAACUUUUCUCGGUAUCGUUCAUGCCCCGAUCAUAGCUGACAUAUAUUUAUAUAUAGCACAAAAUCGAAGUAUCUAUAUUCACAUAUAUAAAUUGAUGCGUAUGCUAGAUGAUAUGUUUAUUAAUUUGAUAUAUUAAUCUGUUUGAUCAGCCUUCAUUUAUUUGAUCUUUUUCAUUCUAAUAAGUACGUACAUAUGUGUACUUAGGCAUUUAGCUUUUGAUUUACGUAUUUUAUUUUUAUUUUUUGAAAAUAUAUAUAUUCCUUCAUCUCGAACCGAUUCUUGUAAGCCGAUUCUUGUUUUUAUUUCCUUGUAAUUAAUAUACGUGAUCUCUUAAAUAUAAAUAAUUAACUUGAUCUCAGAUUGAUCAGCGCAUAGCUGGCGGUGGAUCAAGCGAUCUUCAAUCUUCAAUGUCUCAACCUAAGACGAUGACCAAUAAACUGGCCAUUCGUAGAAGGGAAGUGGGAGAAGGAAGCACAAGCGACAACAGUUCAUAUACAUCAUCAUCAUCAGGCGAAUCUAUGUCCUCCAAAAUGAGGCUAGCGAAUAAAAUAAUCAACUCAUCAUCGGUUAGCACAGGAACCCAUGAUGAAUCAGUAAAAGUUGCAGAAAAGCUUCUGCAUGAGCAUGACAAUAUCGAAGUCCAUUAUUUUACUACGAACAGUAGUAACAGCAACAACACCGUUAGAAUCUGCUCAGACUGCAACACGACCACAACACCCCUUUGGAGAAGCGGUCCUCGUGGUCCCAAGGUUCGUUCAUUCGUUCAUUGUUCUUUCUUUGUCUUUUAUACUAUUUUUCUUGUUCAGAUUGAUUUCAGAAUUUCAUUUUAGUUUGGCUCUUCCAUAAUCUGUUAGGCCACUUCAUGUCUGUGUAUCAAUAAUAUAUACGAUGGUGCGCCCAUGAUCGUAACAUUAACCUAUAUUAAUUUUAUAUAUGUUGGUCCAGUCGCUGUGCAACGCUUGUGGCAUUCGGCAGAGGAAGGCGAGAAAGGCUAUGCAAGCAGCAGCUGAAAGUGGCACCACAACGGCCAAGGACAAUUCUUCAUUUUCGAAGAUUAAGUUGCAAAACAAUAUGGAAAAGAAACCGCGGACGAGCCAUGUGGCUCAGUACAAGAAAGUACAGUGCAACACUCCUGAUCCUGAUCCUCCUCACCAUGAGUAUCGGAGUCAAAGAAAGCUUUGUUUCAAAGAUUUUGCUUUAAGUUUGAGCAGUAAUUCUGCUCUUAAACAAGUGUUUCCACGGGAUGUUGAAGAAGCUGCCAUCCUGCUAAUGGAACUUUCUUGUGGUUUUAGUCAUACUUAGAUUUCAGUCAUUUGCUUUUCUUGAUUUAUUAACUAGGACUGGUUAUUAAUUCUUGUAGUUACGGACACAGUUUGUGUGCACCAGCUAAUUCCAUUAGUAAGAUUCUUGGAAUGGUGGUGUUAGGUAAUUUAAGGUUCAAAAAGUGCUUGCAUCAGGUAGCGACAGGGCGUUUGCACUUAUAUCUUAAGGGGAACGGUAUGCCAAAAAUGGUAACAAUAGGCUGGUUAUGCGUAUGGGCACUAGGAGUGGCCCAUUCAAAGUGGGUCUUAUAUAACAGAGAUACAGGCAGGCAACCUGGUAAAUCGGAUCUAGGCCUAAAACAUAAAACAUAUUUGACUCCAUUUACGUCUCUCAGUCGCCACCAUUUUUCAAUUAACCUGAAAUACUUUCAAAAUUAUCCUCACUAAAAUUUUAGAAAAAUAUUUAUUUUUUAACAUUGUCCCUUCUCUGUUAUCUACAAUCUCCCUCUCUCUCUCUCUCUCUCUCUCUUUGAAUCACCAUUAUACUCAUCUUCUGAAUUGCCGUGUUUCUAAUUUUUCUUAACCAACCCAAAUGAUUGCUUUAGUCAACUAGUUUAAUAUGGGCUUCUGCCUGUGACUUUUUAGACUGAAGCUGUGCUUUUUUGAGCUGAAAGUGGUUUUGUUUUGAUAUCUUGCUAAUUGGCUUCCGCUAAUUCACUUGUUCUCGUAAGAAUGUUUUUCCUUUGGUUCCUUAGACUUGAUGAUCUGCGUAUUUUUCCAUUAGAAUGUCAUUCAUUUCUUUUGACUAGCUUAAUCGAUUUGUUGUUCAAUAUCUGAUAAUGGAUUUGAUAAUGAUGAAAACCGACGAUUCCGAAUAGAGAAAGAGAAAAGGCAUAUGAGAUAGAAAAGAAAAAAUUAAAAACAAGUACUUGCCUCUUAAUUUUUAAUGGAGUAAUUUUGAAAAUAGAUAAGAUUAAUUAAAAUAUAAAAUUUUAAUGGGGUAAUUUUGAAAAUAGAUAAGAUUAAUUAAAAUAUAGCGGUUACUGAUUAAAAUUGAGGGGGUCAAAUAUCAACAACCCUCUAGUAAAUCGGGGGCUUAAAAAAUAAAAUACAUACUAGGAGAGAGAAAGAAUUUUGACACCCUUCAACAUUCCUUACAAAUCCUAUUUUCAAUUGAAAUUACUUACAUAACAAAAAACUAAUUAAUUAACUCCUUAUUUUAAAUGAAAAUUUAAUUAAACAAUUAAUUGAAAUUUUCUUUUAAUUUUUUUUUUCACCCACCCCAUUUCAUAAUUUAUAUCUAUAUUUUAAAUUUUAUUUGAGAAAAUAUUGAUUUUUGAGAAAAUUAUGAGAGUUUAAGAUUACAGAAAUAGAAACUAUUAAGAAGAAAAUAGUUUAAGAUUUUAAGAUUUUUAUGCAUUUUAUAUAAAAACUUAAAAUGUAAUUUUUUUAGAGGAAAUAGAAACUAUUAAGAAGAAAAUAGUUUAAGAUUUUAAGAUUUUUAUGCAUUUUAUAUAAAAACUUAAAAUGUAAUUUUUUUAGAGUAAAAUUUUAGGUAAGAUGAUUGAUUUUUAUAUAUGGCUACUAUUUUAUAAAUUUUAUAAUAAUUUUAGAGGGUUAAAAGCUUCACUCAUUAGUAGUACAAAUGCUCUACUGUUAUGUGAUGGACAGUAUUUUUUUGGGGGGGGUGGGGGAAAGAAUGACAAUUUUUACACGGAGUAAAACAGACCUUAUGAAAAAUUUAAGAAAGAGAUAAAGGAUGUAGAAAGAAAAAUAAUUAAAUAAAGAUUCAAUUAUUUCUUUUAUUAAGUUUAAUUAACUAAUAAAGUUUAGGUUAAAUUUAGAUAGACACGUGUAUAGCAAAAAGUGGCCAUAGAGGAUAACAAUUUUACUUUCAAGAUGAGCAAAUUGCGUUUAAUCGCAACUAAAUUGGCCAAAAUUAUAUUGUAAGCCACAUCGAGCUCGAAUAUAAUAAAGUUAUAGAAAAGCCUAAAAUGAACGUAAUAUUAGAACCACGACUAAUAUCAUAAUAAUAAUUUUGUCUAUUACGAAUUUCUCUUAACUAAGAAAAAAUGACUUCACACAAUAAAAUCUAAUGAUCGAACAAGAAUAAAUAUUUGAGUUUAUCCUAUCUUGAUACUUAUAGAUGCACCUUCGGUGAAAAUUUUUUGUUCAAAUCGAGAAAAGAAUAUUUAUCUAUACUGCACUCUAAGAUGAUGCUUGACAUAUGUUAACACUAUGAAAUAUAGCAACAUAUUAGCAAGUCCUCCCCCCCCCCCCCCCCCCCCCAAACCAUCGCAAUAACAGUAGGGUUUUCCAGAAAUUUUACCCUUAUCAUUACUUUUGUACAAAAUCGAAAGUCAUUUUAAUUAAUCCUUUGAAUCAUAGUGCAAACUGCAAAGUGGUUAAGUGUAGUUGCUAAAAAUCUUGGAUUUUGAUUUAGGACAUGAACGGUGUACACUUCAAAUGGGCAUAACUUUGGCUACCAAUGCUAGAUUUAGGCGAGUAAUUGUCUUGAAACUCUUAUUGGGACGAUAAUGCUAAUUUCUAUCAUAUAAUCUUCCUUAAAGUUUUGUCAUAAUACAUUAGUUUCAAGCUUGAGUUUGCUCUUAAAGAUUUUUUUGAGCAAAUUAAAAUCCUCUAAUAAUUUUAGCUGUCCUAAGUUUUUAAAUAUUUUAUGUCGUGUGUCUGUUAUUAGUAAUUUACAGGCAUUCAAACUACAUCACAAGAUAGACGAAGUUUUUACCAAAUUGUAAAACAAUUUCCAUUUUCUUUUCCAAUUAUAGAAGUUUGAUGUUCAAGAUGCUUAUCAACUAAUUAAAACCAAUAAAAGUACCUCACAAGCAUUAAACUCGCGAUUGAAAGUUUGAACCCCUAGAUUAGGUUUGAAUCAAAAGAUUUUAAAAGUGUUUAAACACUUUAGUUUGGCUAUGGAAGCACAUCCGCUGACACUAAUACCAAACCGAUCCUUUGAAAUAUUAUAGUAAGCGCAAGACAGCGGAGAAAUAAUAGAAGAGACAUAAUUAUUAUUAAUUGGAUUAUCGGGAGAUGAAACUCUUGUAAAGCAAACCCGCAUUUUGGUUUGCAACAUUCUGAUCAAAGAAAAGAUUCCUCUUUCUUAUCUCUCUAGACACGCUCACAUGCAUAUAAUUGAAAAGGCAAAAAUUCCUAAUUGAUAUGUCAAGAAAUGGAAAUCGUGAAAAUCUAACUGUGGAUAAAACCACAAGAUAGUUCCAUUAGCAGGAUAGCAGCCUCUUCCACGUCUUGCGGAAACACUUGUUUAAGAGCCGAAUUUUUGCUCAAAGCUAUUGCAAAAUCUUUGAAACAAAGCUUUCUUUGGCUCUGGUACUGAUGAGUAGGAUCAGGAUCAAGAGUCCUGUACUGUUUCUUGUUCUGAGACACAUGACUUGUGCGCGGUUUCUUAUCCUUGAUCUGCAACUUAAUCUUCGCAAAUGGAGAACCGCCGGUAGCCGCAAUCGUGCCAGUUUCAACUGCUGCGGCUGCUUGCAUAGCCCUUCUUGCCUUCCUCUGCCGAAUACCACACGCGUUGCAUAGCGACUGCACCAACAUGUAUAUAAUAUAUAUAUUGAUGUUACUUUCAUGCACUAUCAUAUUAUUGGUAUACAGACAUGAAGAGUUUGUAGAUUAAGGCCAAUGAAGUGGCCUAACAGAUUAUUGAAGGGUCAAAAGGGCGUUCUAGAAUCUCAAUAACAAUGUCCAAAGCUGGAAAAAAGACAGUACUGGGAGAAUGGGGAGAAUCAAUCAAACAGUACUAAUGAAUGAACCUUGGGACCACGAGGACCGCUUCUCCAAAGAGGUGUUGUGGUUGUGUUGCAAUCUGAGCAGGCUCUCAUGGUGUUGUUGCUGUUGCUGCUAUUAAAAGAAUUGACUUCGCUAUUGUCAUGCAGCUGAUGAUAUUGAAGUUUUUGAGUUACUUUUACUGCUAAUUCAUGGGUUGCUGUGCUAUUCGAUGAUGAGUUGAUCAUUUUAUGCAUUAGCCUUAUCUUGGAGGACAUCCAUUUGCCCGAUGAUGAUGAACCGUUUUCGCUUGUAGUUCCUUCUCCCACUUCCCUUUUACGAAUGGGAAGUUUGUUAUUUGUUAUAUUAUUCAUCUUCUUUGUUUGAAUUGAAGAAGAUGAAAAUACUUGAAGAUUGCUUGAUCCACUAUGAUCAACCUGAGAUCAAGUUAUUAAGAGAUUGUGUAUUAAUUAGACUGAAAAAACAACUUAUUAACACAUGCCACACAUAAAAGAACAUAUAAAAGAAAUAAUCACUUCCUGAUCAUGGAAAUAUGGAAACAAAAUCAAAAGCUAAUUAUACUUAUGAAUUUGCAAUGAACGAUCAGAUUAAUAAAGGCUGAUCAGAGAUCAUAAACAGGUAUAUUAUGACGAUAUAUAAUCAUUUAACACACACACACACACACACACACACACCGAUCAUGUGCAAUAUAUACCAGCUAUGAUCAUGGCAUAAUGGAUAUCGAGAAAUCAAACAGCUGGAUAAUUGUUAAUAAAUACUAACAAUUCUUGGAUUUUCAAUGAUUAACGGAUCAACUAAAGAUGAAGGCACAAGAUCAAAAUUAAGAUAUUAUAUAAAAGCACAUACAAAAGAAUUUAACCAGAAAACUGAAAUAAUAUACUUUUGAGUAAAUUAAUAAAUCACGUACUCUUGCCUUUUGAUCGUGUUGUUGUGAUUCUUCCAUUAUAAUCAUUCUUUGGUCUUGAAAAUUAGUCCAAGAUACAGAAGAAGAAGCAGCUCGAUUAUGUGAUGAAGAGUGUAAAAGGUGCAAAUGUUGAUCAUCUUUUUGCUCCUCCGCAAGUUGAAAAGGAUCAGAGUCAUGCGGUGGGUUCAAAUGCACUGGAGUCAUGAAUGGCGAGAGAGAGAUGGCCGUUGUUGUUUGUCCAGCAAAGAUGGGGCAAUAUGGGAGCUAGGGAUAGGGCAAAAGAGAAGCUAAAUGGUAGCAGUAAAGGAAAAGGGUAAGAAAGAGGUCUGAAAGACAUUCACGUGACUUCAUGUAAUAGCCCAAAUAAAACAAGUAAGACAAGACAAACUAAAAGGAGGUGCAGAAUGCUACUACUCAACCUCCGUAUGACAAAAACACCCCUAUCUGCAGUGCCCUAUAUUAUUUUACCUCUCAUAUUACACCGGUUUCCGAGUAAUUUCAUCACAUAUCAAUUCUUUUGUUUCUUGAUGCAUUUAAGUUGUUGUGCCCUACUCAUCACAUGCCUCUAUUUGUCCUUUGAGUUACAGAUCAAAAGCCCAUUAAAUGCGCUCCAAAGUUUUACCUCAAAAUAUUAGUGAGCAAUUCUUCUGUAUGUUGCACAUACAACUAAUCAAUAGAAUGACAGUAUCUGUACAUUUCUUAGUUUUGUGUAUAUAUUUUGAUAAAUUCUAUUGGCUGAUGGCACGUUCGUGAGUACGAAAGUUUUCCCAGAAUUAAAUAUAGUACGGCAUGUAGUUAAGAUAGUAAGAGAGCUACGCUUCUUGCUUGUUCGCUGGCAUAAAUAAGAUAAUUCAUAUACCAUGCAUGAAAGAUGUUUAGAAAAAUGGAGAGGGAUUUCAAUCUUCAGAGGAGAGAUGGGUGUAGAUCAUUUGCAUGCAGGGGAUCAUGGUGUGCUUAUUAUAGUCUUUUCCAAAACACAUCGAUUGCUUGAGCGCAGGAUAGGGGCAGUGACAGAUUAGUCCCCACAACUUUUGAAUCAACCCCUUGAAUUCCCUUUUACCGAUUACUGUACCCUCGAUCGCAAAAUAAACAGUAAGCCAUAUGUCACUUUCAUUUCUAUGAUCUGUCAUUUUGAUUUCUCCCCCUUUGUUUUGCCCAGAGAUAAGAUCAAGUGACAAAAUAACAACAGAAAAUAAAAGGUCUCCAUGGAGCCACGUAUAUAUUUGUGUAUUAAUGACAUAAUUAUGGUCAUGCUUUCGCUUCAUAUAUGUGGAACAGGUUCCUACACAAGCUAGCUAGCAGCUUGAUCAAUAUUUUAAUUUCAAGUUUAUAUAACCUUGUCUCCUAUGUUUUUCAAACUCAGUUUACUGCCUAGCUCACAUGGCGAAGCAAUGAUUACUUGAUAUGCAGAAAAUCGAUAAUUUGCUGUAUUCUUUUAGUAGUUUGCUCACAAGACUGCACCGUUACUGCCCUGUUUUUGUUAUUUCUUCUUAUUAUAUACUCCAAAAUAAUAAUAACAACACCGAAUAAAUACAUAUUUUUGGGCUCACCAAAAUAGCUCACAAUCAGAUAAAAAAUCGUUAAGACCUCCGAGGUUUGAUUAAAUUUAUACUUAUAUUGGCUUCAAAAUGGUUAAACAAAUCUCUUUUUGGGUGAGAUUUUUUUUUUUUGACAAAUAUUCUUAGGCUUUGCGCAAUCAUUUCUAAAACUAAAAGAUUUACAUAUAUAAGUACAUUUAAGCAAUUUCAAGCAAAUCUUAAAGGUUUUGGCCGCUUCCUCUCCCCCACAUCCACCAUCAAUCAUUUAUAUAUAUAAUCCUAAUAUGCAUAGAUGUGCUCUUUAGAAUGAAAGUUAUGCCAAAUAAUUGAAAAGGUCAAAUAUUUGAAAUCUUAACCUCAGAAUGCUAAAUAAUUAAUAAGUGAAUCACAAUAAUACUAGUACUCCUUGCAUUGGCACCAACCUACGAGAUUGCUUCGUGUGCCAUGAUCGUACUGAUACCAAAUUCAUUAAUAUUUAUAUUGACAAGAUAAAUGUACAUAUUUUUUCAAAACGGCUAGGACGAUCAACAAUUUCUAAGAUGAAGAAACAUGCAACGUGUAAGAUCUAAGAGUCAUUCCCAGUGAUGCUAUUUGAGCUAAGAUUAGAUUAUGACGCAUUUCUUGAUAGAGACAUUGUCAUUUGUCUAUGAUUUGCUUGCUUAACUAAGAAGGCCAUGCGAUUGAGCUAGACGGUACUGUCUUUGUUUGGCCAAAGUCUCCAUCAUAAUAUGCUGUCUCUCGCUGGAUCUCAUGCGCGCACCCCAAAUUGACUGUACUAUCUCUCUUUACGAGACAAAGAUUCUCUCCUAAUUUAAUUAUAUUUAAACAUAAGGAAUUAUUAUCUUACAUAAUCAUGUAAGAUACAUGAUUCUUCCACAGCAGUUUGAUAAAAAUUUAACGGUGGUAAAAAUAUAAGAUAAUAAAAUCAUAUUAUUUCCAGUUGGAUUUUUAUCCAACGGCUGUGAAAGAAUCAUGUAUCUUACGUGAUCAUGUAAGAUAACAAAAACCUUAAACAUAAUCUGAGGUAGUGGAACAAGGUAAAUUAUUUUUUAAAUACAAAGGAGUGAGUGGGUGCUGUCAAAAUCAGGGGACGGCCUUAUAGUAAAAGCAAAUAUCAAGCAUAAUGGAUUCCCUCUACAUGUGUAAUCACACACCGUGAUUUAGAGAUUUUUAUAUAUGAAAUAAAAUCAAUUAAGGUAAAAUUUGUGAGUAUUCAGUCAAUAGCAUUACGCAAAGCUUAAUCUAUACCAACAUAUUGAAAAAUAAAUAAAAAAAUAGUUGUAGCCCAGUUGAGCUCCUUCCAAACAUCCCCAGUAGCAGAAACAAAUUGCCGGGUACAUCAAAGUUUUGGUUAUAAUUUAGAAAGGGUAAAGUUCGAUUCAUCCUUCAAAUAAAAUGAUAAUCUUCAAUUUAUUCUCUAUAAAUAAAGGGUGCAUUGAUGAAUGUUUUAUUUGUCUUCUCAUCAGUAAAUAGGGAAUAAAUUAUUAUUUUUACAUCUUUUAGAGUAAAUUGAAGAUUACAAUUCUAAGUAGGGAAUAAAUUGAACUCCAUUUAAAAAAUGAAAUAAAUUAAUAAUCUACACAAUCGAUCAAUUAUAUCAAUUUUAAUUCUAAUCUUAUCACUGACGUCUCUUGACCUUCUCCAAUACUAAGGUUUCCUUAAUAGAAAAUUAAGUGAACUAGUUUACCAAUGUAAUGUAUAAGGAUUAAAUUACCCAUAAAAUAUUUGUGAUUUUAUGAAAAUUUUUAAAAUUCUAAAAGGCUUAAUUGUAUCACGUUAUAUCUAUAUAAUUAUUACACACCAAUUAACCUAAAAAAUACAUAUUUUUGAUAAUGAUAUCUCAUGAAAUAUAAUAUAUUGUUGAAAGCUUUUCAGUUUCAUUUAAAAAAAUAUACUUAUUAUUCGUCAUAAUUAAAUAAUUAAAUAAUUAAAUGAUUAUGAUACAAUAAUACACAUUUUUGUGAGUAAUUUGGUUAUUUUAUGUUAUAAGGUUAAAUUAGUUAAAUUAAAUUUAUUUUAAGACAACCUUAGCUGUCAAUAAGAUCAAAUCAACAAAUAGUAUAAAUGACCCAAAAAGGGGGAAAAAACAUGAUUUUUCUGUAACUUUCUUUAUAUAUAUAGGGUCCGCCUUAGUUACAUUUAACGUAACUUACUGCUGACCCGCAAAAUAUCAAUUUGCCCUCUAUACUCUAUAUUAUUUAUAAUUUAUUCAUAAGUAUUAUAAAAUUUUUUGUAUUGUAAAAUUUAGUUGAGCCCUUUGUACUAUAUUUUAUUUUAUUGAAACCCUUAGAGUACCAAUUCGCCCCCCUAUAAUUUUAAAUUUUCAAAAUACCCUCCAUUUAAUUAAAAAAUAUAAUAAUUAUUAAAUAGAUUAUAAUGAUAAUUAUAAUAAUUAUUUUAUUAUAAAUAUAAUUAUAAUUUUUAAAUGGAUUAUUAUUAUUAUUAACAACAACAAGAAUAAAAAGUAUUAUAAUUAAUUAAUCUAUUAACAACAAUUAAUAAUAAUUUUUAGUUAAAAUGUCAAUACUAAUUAACAAUAAUUACUAUUAAUAAUUAAUUUUUGAAUAAUAAUAACAAUAACAAUAAUUAAAAUACAAAAUAAUAAUUAUAAUAAAAUUAAUUAAAGAUUUUAUAGUAAUUUAUUACAAUUUAACUCAUUCCGAUAUUUAUUCUAAGAGAAAGUAAACAUAUAAAUGGUAAUACAGUUCAUUCUCAUUAUGAUUCAUGCAAUUCAAGUAAAUAAAUUAUUUUGAUCCAAUUCUUCAUUUUAAUUCUAGCUAUUCCAAUUUAUUUUUACUAAAUGUACUAUAAAAUUGUAAAUCACUUUAUAUUCAAUUAGACCACUCUAUAUUAUUUACAAUUUUUUAUAAGUAUUAUGAAUUUUAUAGUGCAUUCACUAAACAUAAAUCAAAAUUAACUGAAAACAUAAUGAGUUAGAAUCGAAAUAUCUAGAAUCUAAAUGAGGAAUUAGAAUCAAAAUAAUUUAUUUACUUGAACGGCAAGAAUUAUAAUUAGAAUGAGUUGUAUUACUAUUUAUGUGUUUGUUUUGUCUUAAAAUUAAAAUUAGAAUAAAUUAAAUUGUAAAAAAUUAGUAUAAAAUCUUUCAUUAAUUUUUAUCAUAAUUAUUAUUUUGUAUUUUAAUUAUUGUUAUUGUUAUUCUAAUUAUUAUUCAAAAAUUAAUUAUUAAUAGUAAUUAUUGUUAAUUAUUAUUAUUGUUAACAUUUUAACUAAAAAAUUAAUAGAUUAAUUAAUUAUAAUACUUUUUAUUCUCGUUAAUAAUAAUAAUAAUAGUAAUCCAUUUAAAAAUAAUAAUUAUUAUUAUUAUUAUUAUAUUUUUUAAUUAAAUGUAAGGUAUUUUGGAAAUUUAAAAUUAUGGGGAAUAAAUUAGUACUCUAAAAAUUUUAUUAAAAUAAAAUAGAGUAUAAGGAGCUCAACAAAAUUUUACAAUACAAAAAACUUUUAUCAUAUUUAUAAAUAAUAUAGAGUAUAGAGGGCUGAAUGAUAUUUUGUGAGUCAGCCGUAAGUUACAUUAAAUGUAACUUAGGCGACCAUAUAUAUAUACACACCCUCAAAGUAGAGAUGGAUAAUGAGCUAGGAGGCCAUGGCCCAGCUCCUGAAAUUGAGGCCCAUAUGUACUCGUGGCCCAGCAUGGCACGACCUACUUGACAAGUGUGCCUUACCGUGCCCAGCACAACUGACCAAGACACGACCCAACACGGCCAAUAGGCCCGAUGCCUGGUCCAUAGCCAACCCUUAUGGGCUUCUCAAGUAAAAAGAAAACACAAUAAUUUUUAAAUUUGGAGUAGUGAUAUUUGACUCUUUAAUAUAUCUCACUAGUCCCUUUUUCAAUUAACCCAUUAAAAAGUUUAAACUAAUUUUUAUAUUUCAACACAACCCAUCAAAUCCCAAAUUUACUCUUAUUAUAGCUUUUAUCUUUUUUCCAAGCACCACCAUAUAAAAUUUAUAAAAUCUAUUUUGAAAAAAAAAACUCCCAUAAUCAUUGUAAUCUCUUUCUUUCUUUUUAAAAGUUGUCUAUUGUUGUUAUAACAACAAAUAAAAAAAAAAAGAUUGGAUACUUUUUCAUCAUCCUCUAUUUAGUAUUAUAAAUUAAUUUCUUCCAUAAUUACAAAAGUAGAGUAUGCAAUAUUUGAGAAUAGAUAAUAAUUUAAAAAGUUAAAAGAAUUAGAAAAUAUUAAUAGAAAUCAUCAUGUGAGUACACUUAAAAGCUAUUUAUCCUUUUAAGUCAUUUCAUAUAAAAAUAAAACAAGUAUUAGCAUAAAGUGAUUAGUGAGGGUUGGUGAGAUAUAACGAAUUGGUCAAAUAUCACAACUCUAAAUUAGCCUUUCAAGGACCACCACUUUUACCAUUAAGCCACAUAAAUCUAAUAAGAAUUUGGUGAAAAUAAUUAUACAUAACUGAAAAAAUAAUAAUAUUUUUCAUAUAUUAACAACUUUUAUGAAACAAAAUAGAAUUAAAAAGAAAACACAACAACGAUAAUAAUAGAAAAAUAUUAUAAUAAUGAUUAAUAAUAAAAUUUUAUUUCAUUUGCCUUGUGAUAAACAUUAUUAGAUUUAAAGUUGUUGAAUGCAAUUAUAGUAGAGCAAUAUUUUGUAUUAUAAAAUCAAGUUAAUAAAUUUGAAGGACAACAACAAAUUUCAACUAAAUUUAAUCGAAUAAUGAACAGUUAACAAAAAGUAACUUUAUGCUUAGCAAUAUAACUAUUAAAUCCAAGUGAUUAAUAAGUAAUUUUAUAAGUUAUGAAAUAGAUUAUUCAGUGGAUAAACGUCACAACUGCACUUGAGAUAUAAAUAUUUAGAUAUUAGUUAUGUCAUAGAGUUUUAUUCAAAAAAAUUACACAUAGGACAUUAGUCGAUAACUAAAUUUUUAUUCAAUUGAAAAAUAGAAAAAUGCAAAUGGAUUAGGGAUGGUAAUGGGGUGGGGUGGGUGUGGGGAGACCUACACCAUUCCCCACAACUUUUAAAAAUUUCCCUUCCAUUCCCCACCCUAGCCCCCAGCAAAUUUAGUGGAGUGGGAAUGGAAAAUCUCAUGUGGAGAAUGAUUUCUCCAUCCCCACCCCAUUCUCCAUGUACUUAUUUUAUAAUAGAUAUAGAUAAAUGAUUUUAGUAAAUUAAAGAUUAAAGACUUAAGUAAAAUCAUUACCAUAUUAUAAAAGUAUUUAAAUUAUUUUUAAAACAAUAUCUUCAAAUAAUAUAUUAAAACCAAAAUAUGUUUGAAGAGAGCAAUACCAUGAGAGAAAAGAAAACAUAAUAAUAUUUUAGGAUUAAAUAAGAAUUAUAAUGUAGCGUUUUCUUUUAGUUAUAAUUUAUGUAUAUUUGGUAAAAAUAAAAAGAAAAUUUAUUAACCAACAUUGUAAUUGACAAAGCAAAAAUUAUUGAAACAAAACUAAAAAAUAUCCAUAUAUAAUGGGGAGUGGGGUGGGGAGUACAAAACUAAACCCAACCUAAUUAAGAAUUUGAGAAUUAUUUUUCCCUAUUCCUCAUCUCAUUCUCCAAAAAUUAUUUAAAAUUCACUACAUUUGGGGUGGAGCCCCAUGCCCACGGAGGAUUUUGCCAUCCUUAAAAUGGAUUGAAAGUCAUUAAAUUCAAUUACUUUAAAAGAACAUAUUGUAUGUAUAGAAACUUGAUACAACUAAUUCGUGAAUUAAAUUGAAAUGUGACAAAUGUUACUUAUUGGAUUGACAAGUUAUUGAAUUAAAUAACAUUAAAACAAUAUGUUGUAAUAUAAUUCAAUUAUAAUUAAAGCAUUGUAUCAUAUUUGAAGUUUAACAAUGAAUCAAUUUAAUUUUAAUAUGAUGCGAACAAAUUUACAAAAAUAUAUCUAAAAAAUAAAAAUAAAUUAAAACAACUCCCGUGCCUAAUUGGUUGGCCCAUUUUACCGCGUGCCCGUGUUGUGCCCAGUCUAUGGGCCAAAAACAUCAGCUCAGCCUAGGCCAUCAAUGGGCUAUGCCAUGGCCAUGUGCCUUACCGUAGCGGGUCAUGCCUUGCCACGCCAGUGGGCCCGAUGGGCUAGUCGAAUGGCUCACGUUUCAAUUGAAAAGCCACCAACUAGGGAAGAGCAUCAUUUUUGUUAGAGUGCAGCUUUUAACACACCCUCUAAGUCUCUAACAUUCUUAUAAUACCCCUUUUGGAUGUUAUUCUCUUGAACACCUUCAAUGUAAUUGAUAGAAUACAAGUUUAUAUAUUAAAAUUAUCCAUCUUCCCAUAAAAUGUUUACCCAUAAGAAAAUUAUUUAUUUUUAAAUUGCAUAUAAAUCCUAAAAUAGUAAGUUUAUCUUAAAUAUUUUACUUGUUAUAAUCUAAUUUCAUCUCCAAAACUCUAGACUCUUGUAGUUUUCUCAGCAAAAAAAAAAAAAAAAAAAAAAAUCGAUUAAAAAUUAAUAAUAAUAAAUUAUGAAAUGAGGUGGGUGUAAAAGGCUUGUUAAACAAAAAAUUUAUCUAAUUGUUUAAUUGAAUUUCUAGUCAAAACAAAAAAUAAAUUAAUUUGUAUUAGGUUAUUUCAGUAAUUUUAAUUUAAAAAAAAAUGAAGAGGAACUUUAAGGGGUGUCAAAAUGCUACUCUUUUAUUAGGAAAGACUAGGGAUUGGGCCUUCUAGGAGCACCUAUUAUUAAGUCUCAUUGCACGUACAUUUCGGGGAGCAAAUUUCUUUUAUUUUCUCUCUCAUUUUGGGAAAGAAAAUAAAAUUACCCUCUCACAUUCCAUUAACAUACGCAUAUAAACCCCUUACCUAAUGAUCCAUAAAAGGGGAGAUGAUGAUUAAUGAGUGUAAACACAAAAUUUUAUUUUUAUUUUUAUUACUUUAAGGUUUUUUUAUUAGUUUUAACACUAAACUUUAUAUAGGUGCAUAUUGAGAAGAAAGUUUGGAGAACCACAUUAUCCUUUUUUUUUCUUUUGAAAUGGGGAGAAAAACGUUACUAAUUACUAAAAAUUGAAAAUUAUGUGUAACAAUGGUUGGUGAGCAUUAAGCAAUGCUGUCUUUAGGCGUAAAGAUGACAAAUGGUGAAUGCAUAAAAUGUAGGGACUUUCUUAUCUUAUCUUAGAAGCCCUAAUUCUAGCACAAUAAAAAUCUUAUUGGUAAUGUCACCGAAGACAUAAUAGAGUGGAUCAAAUUAAUCUCCAAAUUCAGCAAUUUAAGUAAAAAUUCAUAUUGUAGGUUGCGAUGGCACUUUUCCUUUUGAUGUAUGCAUUGUUCUUUAUCAAAUGUAAAUUAGUAUAAGAAUUUGUGUGUGUGUGUGUGGUCUUUCUCUAGUAUGGGUGUACAUAGAGUUAAGAUUUUAACUCUUUUAAACUAUAUAGUUUUAUAGUUCAUUUACAAAUAAGUUUAUUAAACUCUACGAUUUAAAAAUGAUGUAUAUACACACACUUCUAUUUUUAAUAUUUUUAUAAGAAGAAUUGGUAUUUUCAAUACUGUUGAAAGCACCAGUUAAUAUUACUACAAACCCAACGGCGCAAAACGACUUUAAUCCUGUAGCAGUUUAAACAUUAAUUAAGAAUUUGAAAAAAAGAAGAAGAAACAUCGUUUGUGGCUCAUUCACAGUUUAAUUAACACAGCAUACCCAAUAAAUAGCUUAUUUCUAGUCUUCACUUCUCAUCAGAAAACUGGGCAUUUAAUAUUACAAUUAUGCAUCAUUUAUUGGUCCAAUAACACAAGUUUCAAUCAACCUCCUAGGUAGCAGACGCUUCACAUUGUAGUACCCAUAUCUAUCCAACACAGGCCUGGCUAUAGGAGCCUCUUGUUGACAUCAAUAAUUGAGUUCGGGCAGCAACAAUUACUAAUUUACUAUUACUAUCAUUUUUCUUUUGUUGCUUUUUGGAAGUCUGAACGUGGCUCUUGCCUCUGGUCCUGUAGCCCCAUAAAUUUCAUGAGGCAGAAGCCAAGAGCCCACUGGCUGCAUCUGUCAGGUGGGUGAGUGUGUUUACUUGGUGAUGUGGUCACGUCUCUCAUAGCUUCUUAGGCACAAAUUAGGUGGAUGGGCAUAUAGUGAGCAGUAUUGAGUAGCCGUGGGGUAGGUGCUAUAGUAAACCAAUACUAUCAAUUACCUCAUUAGUUCUAUUUAAAAAAAAGAAAGGGAAAAAAAUCUCUUAGAAACGUAAACAUAUUAGCCGCGGCCUAAACUUUAUUUCAAUUAUAUGUUUCUCUUGCUGUAAUUUCAAGCAUAUCUUUUGAUUUAUACCCUAUAUCUUUAGUCAAAUGAAAUUGUCAGUUUUCUAUCUAUCAAAAUCAAGAUAUAGUAUUUAUUUCCUAUUAUUUUCAUAAUAGUUAAUAAUCCUAUUGACAAUAUAAUUUGAAAGUACUUUCAAAUGCACUUUUAUUCAUAUUUACUAAAAAUUAAAUAGAUCAUAUAAAUAGAAAUUAAAAUAAAAAUUUGAUACUAAAUAUAAGAAAUAUAUAUAUAUUUUGGCAUGAAUAAAAAAUUAAUGAUAAUAUAUUUUUUAGUACUUUUUUGUUUUUUUAAACAUUUUUCUUAUAGUAAGUAUAUAUUUAAUAUUCCUUGGAUAAAUUAUUAAGUAAAUUACUCAUUUAGCCCUCUUUUCCUUUAAAUUUUUUGGUGUUAUGGAGAUUUUUAGAUAUUAUAAAAAUAAUAAGAAGAUAGUUGAUAUAUAGUAUAGGAUAAAUUGAUCAUCUCCCUUUAUCAAAUAAACAACUUGCAAAAUAUGUAUUUAUGUGGAAGUUGUUAAUUUUAUUUAGAAAUAUUUUUAUUUAGAAAGUCAUUACAAGAUGUUUUACAAACUAAAUUAUCUAGCGCCCUCUAUGCAGUAGUUAUUUUAUAAAAAGAGUUUAAAAAAACAAUAAAAUACUGUCUUCAAUAUAAUCUUUUUUUUACCACUUCAUAAUUUGUAAUAUUUUAAUUUUAAUUAUACCAUUUCAAAUAGAGGAAACAAAUUAUUACGAGGAACUUAGAUUUAGAUUCAGCACUAAGUGAAGCUUCCUGACGAGUUGUUUUAAUAUAAUGAUUGAUAAUUAUUGGAUAAACAAUCAUAUACAAUAUUAAAUCUUAAUCAUACACUACUAUAAAUACAUGCAUAAAAAAAAGAUCAUAAAAAAAAAAUUAAUAUAACUCAACUCACCACUAGAUUCAUAUUUAAGGAAUUUAGAUUCAAUGCCUUGAAUUUGGAUUUAGUGUUCAUCUUUUAAUAAUCUUUUGGCACCCGUACAUUUAUAACUAUAUAUGAUUAAAAUUUGAUUACUUUCUCAAAGAUUAGCACAAAAAUUAAAUGAGCUAGCGCUCAAUCAAAAUCUCUUGUAAGAUAACUGUUCAUUUACAAGCUGUUUAGAUCAAUCAACUACAAAGGGGUAUUUUUUUUUUCUUUUUCUUUUUUGAAAAAAAUUCAUCUUGUUUCUUUGUUGGGUGAAUAAUGGACUUUAAAAAGAAGACCAAACCCUACUGAAGUUGAGAAUACAACUUUGUGAGGAGGAGUGGGUCAAAAAUUGGAUAUAAUUAUUAAACCAACAAUAUAGCUGGCAUGUCAUCGGUUUUUUUCUUGUUUUAUCAAGUAAAUUGAUCUGACACCUUGCAAUAAUAGUGCUUAGCUUACCUUAAUUUAGAAAUUUAGACUCGCAUUUUCAGGUCCGGUCAUUUAAUUACUCGCUAGCUAGACGACGCUCAUGUCUUCGUUGGAACUCACUACUGUACUGCAUGCUUUUCCAUUUUCAGCAUUAAGGUUUUGUUUGAUUUCAAAGAAUCAGAACCAGAUUAAGAUUUAGAGCCCUUGAAACCGGAGCCAAAAUCUGUACUCUGUUAUACUAUCCACCAGUUCUCCCACUGCCACCUUUCUCUUAUUGAUUAAUGUCAAUUUCCUGUAUUUCUUUUUUUUUUUACGAAAUGUUUGGGUGUUUCAUCAUUUUCUCAUCUUUAAUAUAAUUGUGUUUCACUUUGAAACUGAAGGCAAUUUUACCAACAACAAUUCAUGGCAUCAUGAACUUCACAUGCAUGAACUGUCCGUAAAUUCCAGGGCCAGUGCUUACUGCUUAUUGCUGAUUGCUUAAGGCUUAUUUAGCGCAAAACAAAAAUAAGAUUAACUACAUAUGUGUUUGUAUUUUCAUCAGAGAAGAGGGUGCAGAGUAACUACGAUGACAGAGAAACAAAAAGAAACAUUUAAAAAAAAAAACACUUAAAGCUAAAAACAUAGAGCCAAACAAACAGCUCCUAGGAACCUACUCUCUCAUACACAUGCAACUCCACCAUUAUUUGUACGGAUUAGUUACUUGUUGUCUUAGAAGAUCGUGAUCGUCAAAUUCAUUUGCAUUCUUCAAGCUCGAGUGGUGGACCCCAUCUAAGAACUCUUGCCAGCCACUCAUCACCAACAUCCAAUAAAUCACAUCCGUCCAUUUCCUCCCCAACAGCAUUAUGAUUAUUAUUACUAUUACCAUCCCCUCUCCCAACCAUCCAAACCCCAUUCUCCGCGCUCGCGAUAUUUCCGGUAGGCCCCACGUAUUCAAUUCCCGCCAUCACGGUGGACCCCGAGACCGAAAUAGACGCCCCACAGCUCUCACUCUUUACAUCAAACGGCAGAGACGGUGGCGGUGACGGAACAUUUGACGGCGGAGAGGUGGGGUUAACGUUGGUGCAUGACGGGGAGGUCGAUAUCUCUUUGUAUAACUCUCGCAUUACCUCCUCUAUCUUCUCUUCUUUGAUGAGCAGCUCAGGAGAGAGCUCGGCUUCAUCGUCGACUUCGGUCAGCAACAUGGUCAAAGUUCCGACAAGGUCGCCGGAGAUGCCGCUCUCAUCGGGGGACUUUGAGUCUUCUUUUUUCAUGUCGAGAGCAGAGCAAGAGAGACGCGUACUGAGAGUCUGAGAGUGUGAGCGUUGAUAUGAUACGAUGGAGAGGAAAAGUGUGAUUUGAGUAACGUAUAUAGAGGGAGUGAGAGCGCUGAAAGCUGACACGCUGGCACAAUGUUCUGCCACGUAGGAUGGCUGGUGCAUGACGAUGACGUGGCUAAUUUAUUUUUGUUUUGUCUUUAAUUGUGUAAGUAACUGUCACGCAUCAGAUGACGGUGUAGUAGCAGCACGGCAAUCCAGCAUUGACUUUUUGUCUGCAUUGGCCAUUGAGUUUGUGGUAAAUGGGAAUUUAACUUGUGCCGCUGAUGUGUUCAACAGCUUCUGUUAGAAAUUGGAUCGAGUUCCUAAUGCGGGGUAGCGUAGGGUUAAAAAAACACGUGUAUGUACAGCUUGACCGUAGUUUAAUAUUUCUUGGAUAGAAAGACAAGACGCCUCGUGAAACACAUCUUUAAGUACUACUGAACCGGCGGAGAUUUGUCUUGUAAUCUUUAAGUUUUGUACUUUGAAGCCGCUCCACGUGUAAAAAAAUUAUAUUUCAAAUAAUAAAGUAAUUACUUAAUUGGUGAAAUCGAUAGAAUAAUACAUCAAGCAACAACUUUAGGUUCUUUUUUUUUUUUUUUUUUUGGUUCCUUGUUGAAACACAAACACAAGCUACAACGGCAGCAUGUCAGUUUACCGAUCCAGUUAUCACUUCACAAAAACACCAUUACAAUACAUAAUCGGUGAAGCGUUUACCCGCCAAUGAAAAAUAAGAGGAAUUAAGUGAACAAGAGAUAUCUAUAUAGGAACAUGUGCACGAUAACUUAGCUUAGAGCUGUCUGAGAUAUGCCUCUCCAGCUCUUGCCAGUUUCUCUCUAUCAGCAUAUUUAGUUCUUCCAAACACUACAGAAAUGGAUCCUCUGCGAAGAUAUGAGGUACCAAUUAGCAAAUCCGAUGCGAAAUUUGAUGUUGCACCGAACCACAAAAGUAUUUUUAAGAAAAAUAUUGAUCAUUAGAUGCAGUUAAUUUCCGAAGUACCGUCUAUGGAAGAAGGUAACAUGAUACAUAUGCAUAUUUUCUAGUGUAUUAAUUACGAUUUUUGUUACUUAUUAAAACUGCUUUUACAAAUUUCUAGUCAUUUGUUUUUAACAUCUCGUGUUCCAAAAUUUAUCAUCGCUAGUUUUUUAAUUUGGCUUUGUCUCUUGACUCGCUUUCUCCGUAUUUUUCAACAUUUUUUUUCAGCAUUGUCGUUUUUAUUGUUCCAAUCAUGCUAUUGUUAUUUUCUACAUUUUUCACCACUUUAAUGUUCUUAUUACUUUUUGACAUUUUUUUUUUCUAAACCUUUCUUUUAAUUUUUGGAAAAUACUAGUUAUCCCGAGUCAAGCUCUAGGUCAAACCCCGAAAGUAAUAAACGGCGUCAUUUCAAUCCCUUUUUUUUUUCUUUUAUUCUUCAUAAAACGACGUCGUUUUAGCUUUUUUAAGGCAAAAUCAACAAUAGUCCCAAAUUGCUCUCUUUCUCUUCCUCUCACAACAGCCCCAAAUUGCUUUCUAUUUCUCUUCGUCUCACAGCCCAUUUCUCCUUCUAUUUCUCUGUUUCUCUUCCCAUUCGUUUCAUCGGCACCAUCAUGCAUACCCAACCAUCGGCACCCACCACCAAAAUAAAACAACAAAUUCUUUGCAAACGACUUUCUCAUAAACUUGACAAGUACAAACCGUUUUAAUAAGGAAUAUUGGCCUACAUGCACAAUAUAGGGCAUCUAGAGAUGUAAUUAAUACUUAGUCCAACAAAUUACACAAUAGCCAAAAUUAACAAUGGCACGUGAGCAUAUAAUUCACCAACAAAUUGCACGACAAUCUUCUAUUCACUGCUAAAAGCUAACUAGUUUCCCUAAUAUAUAUAAGAAAAACUAAUUUUGCCAAAUUCAAGUAAAAUUCAAGUUUCGAAAAUAAGCUGCUGCCAAAGAAGAUAGGACCUUAGCUAUUGGGAAAGCAACGUAGAAUCAAAACUCAACUUUCAAGGGUAGAUGUUGAAACUCAAUCUUCUGUUAGAAAAUUUUCGCAGCUACCAUAAAUGCCGAAACUCAUCCUUCAACGACAAUGCCGACACUCAUCCUUGUUCAAACUUCCCUUUUUGUCUUUUGGUGGUGCUGAUGGUUGGGCAUAUGUGAUGGAACCCUCUGUGAUGGUGGCUGCCAGGCUAAUGACUGUCAGUGUGGUGGGUGCCAAUGGUUGGGUAUGCGUGAUGGUGGCCGUGAAACGAAGCGGAAGAGAAAGACGAAGAGAAAGAGAAAGCAAUUUAGUACUGUAACAAUUUAGGACUAUAACAAUUUAAGACUGUAACCAAGAUAAAAUAACAUCGUUUUAGCUUGAAUGAAAGGACAAAAAAAAGAUUGAAACGGCGUCAUUUAUUGCUUUCGGGAUUUAACCUAGGGGCGCCCUUAACGUUCUAACACUGAUUUAAUAUUUCUCAUUUUUUUUUGUUAUACUUUUUUCAUUUUCAAUAUUUCUCAUCAUUUGUGCAUUCUUGUCACUUUUUUAUUACUUUUUCAAUAUUUCUCUUGACUUUACAAUCAUCCUCGUUCGAAGAUCAAUUCUUUUUUAAUCAUAUUUUCAAGACAUUCUCAUUACUUUUGCACCAUUAAUUUUGUAUUAUUUUCUCUAACAUAUCAUAUACUUUUUCAACCCUUUAUCAUCACAUUCUAUUUUCUCAUCACUUUUUUCACAUUCUUCAGAUUUUUUAUCAGCAUUUACCAUCACUUGUUCAACACUUUUUACGACAUUCUAUUUCCUCGUCACUUUCUUUACUUAUGGAUGACUCUCCUAACCUUUUCAAUAUUUUCAUUUCAAGGGACAUCCAAAAGCCCCUCUAGAACAAAUAAUGUACAUCACAACACCUGGAACCAGUCCUAUCAAAAUUUACAGUGAAAGAACCAGCAUUAUACAUCAGACUACUACAAAUGAGCAAUAACCCCUAUAAACCUCUCCAAAUGCAUUUUCCGUACACUUAAAUUGGCCAGCACCAGCAGCACCUUCUGCAAAUGCGUUGAUAGGUUCUGUACCAUAAAAAUGUUUUAAGAUAGCAAUAAGUGCAGCAAUUAGGUAUUGGAAUGGAAUGCUUUUAGUGGAAGACAUUGCUUCUACUACAAUAAGCAUCAAGUAAGGCAGAAAAAUCAAAAGGGACCAUUCUGGAUGUAGCCUUAAGAAAUUCAUCUCAUCUGGCCUAGCAAGUGGCACGCAAGGUUUCAGUUAAAAAUUAUCUAUCAUCUGGUGGCAAUGUAGGACUCUUGGAACACAUACUGAUAUUGUGAAGCUCCUUCAUUCUGAUUGCUGGAUUGCAUAAACCUGAAUAUAAUGAUACUUCAGUCAUCAGGGAGGAUUCAAAAGUUAAUUUUACAGAAUAAUUAAAUUCCUGUACACUCUCUUCUUAAAUUCUUAAUUAAAGAAUUUUAAAUCCAAUUCAGUCAUCAUAGAGGAUUCAGAAGGAUCAAAGAAGGUUCUAGGCUUGUGGGCUUUGUCGGUGCAUGUGUGGAGGCUGUGCCACCAGAAAUUGGGCUUGAGAAGUUUUGAUUAAAGCAAGAAAGUAACUCUUUUACUAUUCUCCGUAGCAUUGUUUACUCAUGAAGAACUUUCAAUGGAAGCAAAGUUAAUCAGCAGAAGCACUAUGAGCAUCAAUGAAUUGUUUUGGAGAUGAGAGGGAGAAAAAAUCAAGUGGCAGAGGACUUGCAAUUAAGAUGAAUAUGCAAGAUUUCAGGGAUCGUCACUGUAGCAUAAUGCAUUGUCCAGUGUGCUUCAAACUCCCUCUAAACCAUCAGCUAAAUAAGUAAUGUAAUAGAAAAUGUGAAAAUAUGCAUAAUCACCAGGCAUCAAAUUUGUUUUUAGGCCCCAUGAGUCUCAAGCUCCUCUAAUCCAUCAACUUAAAAAGAAAGAUAAAAAUAAUAAAGAAGGAACAACUUACUGAAAAAGCUAUCCUGGCUAUACGUGAUAAAAAUGCCAGACAAAAGUUUUUAAAAAGUAAACGAAAUCUCUUAUUGCUGAAGAUGUGUUUCAUUGUAUUCCAGCCCACAACAAAUGUUUGGGAAUCUUGCAGUGAACUGGUCAUCAGCAUCUGAAGAUUCGAUGUCCAGUUGUGGACCCAGCAAUUGACCACUUCAAAGUUUAGACAACAUAUGCAACAUAUUGAUGGGUCCACAUGUCCCCAACAUUCUAAGGCACUUGGAUUAUUGGAUGCUAGAUUUCAAGAGCCAGGGUUGUGGCUCCAUACAGCGGGGUUAAGAUUUUGGUGGAAUUGAAUAACAAUCAAUCAUGGAGAAGCGCUACCCCAGGAUGCAAGCAACCUUUCUAGCAUCUAGAGGAUCCCUCGCUAAAUGGGCUCCUUCCUCAUAAUCAUCAUCCUUAUUAUAAUAACAAUCAAAUUAGGAGAAAAAUUCUAAAUAGGAUCUGUGCUUGCAAGUUGGAAUGGGCAGAGGGUCUUGUCCAGAGUGUUAUAGGUAGUGUGGUUGUCGACCUUGAUAUCCUUGGGACAGCCAUCCCACCUCGUCAUAUUCCUAAGGUACGUGUAAAAUUUAUAACAUUAUCAUGACUUGUUAUGGGCUAAAAAAACCUGUAUUCGAUGGGUUUAGAUUUCCUUUUUCCUCUUGCUAAUAUCUGUAAUUAACUCUGCUCGAAAAUUUGAAAAUUGUGCAUUUCCCCUCAAGCUCAACCUUACUUCACACCAUCUCAUCAACUCAAUGUAAUACAAAAUCAUCACAAACCUACAGAACCCUAACAAUUGGUGGUCCAUCAAUCUCACGACUUUUAAGAGAGACCUUCAUAUUUCAUGUGUAAAGAAUACAUGAUCAUCAGAACUUAAACAGAAAGCAUGAUUUUCAAAUCUUAAUUUUAUAUGUACCGAAAUCACAUAUCAAGAUAGUUCUUUGAGAAAGCAAGAAAUCUAAUUACAGCAGGGCAUGUGAUAAUAAGAAACAUAAUUACAGCAGGGCAAGUGAUAAAAAUUGUGUUACCUGAGCACUUUGGAAUAUCCCACACUGCUAUAGAUGUGGAAGUACAUCUAGGAUCACAUAUUGCUCUGUUAUCUUCGUGGUGGACGUUCAUAGCAAGCAUCCAUGACCCGAUAGUUACAUCCUCAUUACUGAACAUUCUCAAACUGAAAAGCAGAACAUAUCUAUUAACAAAAGCAUAAAAGGAAGAAAGAUUACAAAAUAAAACUGAAAGAGAACAGAGAAGGCAUUAUUACAUAAACAGUAGAGCAAGUCAAAUUAACAUUUUGAAGGAGAAAAAAUCUCAAAAUGUAUGCAAUGAGAACUUUUUAUCCCAACAUCAUAACAGGGAAAAUAUAUAAAAUAAAUUUCAUCUGGACACAUGAAAUUUUAGCUUUUCGUUGGUUCUAAUGGAUAUUUUCAGUCAUUUGUCAGUACAAUCUUAAACUAAUAGGUAAAAGAAGAUAAGCAAAUGUGAAUGUAUGAAGACCAAUGAAAACUUUAUCCAAAAGCACACCUGUUAUUUCUUGCAGCAGCUAAUGAAGCCACCACAUAUGCAGACAGAACAUAUAUAGGACCAUAAGCAUGCAAGAAGUAUUCAUUUCCAAUAAGGUGCCCUGAUUUUUCAUACCUGAAAUUUUCAAAAUUAUAAAUAAACUAAUAAAAUAAUUAAAAAAAUGAAGAAAAAAAAUAUAAGAUAUCUGAAAGAUAACAGUUUUAAUAAGCAAAACCCAUAUACCACUUCAUUUUAGGGUCAGUGAUCACAUGUCCUUUCUUCAUACAACCAAUGCAAGUCAGCGGAUUGCUACGUUCCUUGGCAAGAAGAGUUGCAAGGCGAUCUGAAGAAGCUGAAAGAAAAUAAAUUUAUAAUGUCACAACACAUUUAUAAGAGUCACAGAAUGCAUGAUGCAUAUCUUCAUUAUUUCAGAUACCAAGGCGCAAAUAAAUGUCAUCAUCAGCUUUGACGUAAUAAGCUGCUUCAAAAAGCAGGAAAGCUGCUCUAAAAUAAGCCAACCUAACAAUAGCAAAAAUGAAGAAACCAAAUUACCAAAGAAGCCACCGUUUUUUUAGAUCGAAAUAACAAAGAGAACUUCACCUCUUACGUUUUAUAAGGAAACUUUAAAUAUUCUUCCUGAACAUCUAUGAGUUUAAAAUCUCGUACUUAUCAAUCUCUUUCUCAAGCUGUGCCAUCUUCUUUGCAUCUUUAGAUUUCCCAAUUACAAACCGAAAUGCUAUCCCGGUAGCUUGCUCUAAUCUAUAAAAUAUACGACAAAUUAAACCAGCAUAUUCUCCCAGUUAUUAAACCAACACCCCCCCCCCCCCCCCAAAAAAAAUUCUUUGAUAAAAUAAAUGAAGCAUUUAUACCUUAAGAGUCCAUCCGGGUCAGAAGGGAACCACGUUCUUCGAAGAGCGGCCCGGCGAUCAGCUGAAGCGAAGCCGGUUUGAAUUCCAACAAACCCGAGAAGCUUGGGGCGAUCAAGGAGAGCUCCAUUAUCGCGGAGUCGGAUAGAGAGUAGAAUGCACGGAAAGUGUCUUCGGAUCUACCGCAACGGUAGACGGGUAGGGGACUGGGGCGGCGGACGGCGUUGACGGCAAAGGUUAUGACAGCGAGGUCGAAGAAGAUGGAGAGGAGUGAAAAGAGGAGAAUGGGCAGUGAUAUUUUAGAAUUAAGUUUAUGGAGCUUUUGAUCUUUGGCUGAGUAGGAUGAGUUUGUGGUGGUGGAGGUGGGAAGAGCUGAGGAGUUGUGGCGGUGGGAGAAGAGUGGCAUUUCGGCGAAUUGUGAGUUGAGGCAGGGAAAAUGUUGGGGAAACGUGAUUGGUGAAAGGAUUUGUCGUUGUUUCUUCUAGCUUUAUACCACUGGUUUCAAAGUAGAGUUUCUUGGAAGCGACGCUCCUGAGUGAAUACUGACACCGCGAGGCUGAAGCUCCCUUCCUUAAUACCAUUUUCAGUUCUCGUUGCAUUUUUUUUAAAAGACAAUUUUUUUUUUAAAUUAAAAAAUAGAUAUCAUAUUCACUAUUCAGACAGCCUCAGAUUGAUUUUGACUUUUGAGUAUCGGAUGUUUGUCCCCUUUUUUAAUUAUUAAAGUAGUCUUUUUUUUAAUUUAAAUAUAUUAAUAUAUAUAUAUAUAUAUAUAUAUAUAUAUAUAUAUAUAUGAAUAAGAGAAAUUUAUGGUGCAACUGUAGUACCGUACCACAGUUGUAUUAGUCAUUAGAUGCCAGUGGAUUCUACUAAUCAAAGUGUAUUCAAUGAUUGGAUGUAGCUGCGGUACGGUACCACGGUUGCACUGUAGCCUGAUUCGUAUGAAUGACAUAUUUUUAAAUUUUUUGAAUAUAAAUAUUAAGUUGUUUAUUUUUAAAAAAUAAUUUUGUAGGGACAUCAAAACGAAUAAAAUAUAUAUAUGUUCUUGAUCUAGCUGGAUAUAAAACCGUCUUAUAAAGAGAAAGGACAAAAACUCUAGAAAAUAAAAGUAAGAAAGUAUUUUGCCAAAGAGAGAUGACCUGCCUCCAGUGGAGAGAAAGAAGCAAAUGGGUACAACGUUUUCGGAAGAGAGAGCGGCGUAGUAGCUUCAAGAGAGGUCUCCCUCCGUUAUUAUCCAUAGGGGUCGGCAGUAACCGAUUUGGUUCAGUUUUUCCCUUGAAUGCAGUCGAACUAAAACUGAUUGGUUCAUGAAUAAAUAAACCAAAUUGAGUUCGAUUCUAUAAUUCAGUUUCGUUUAAUAUUAUUUAGUUUAAGAAUUUUGAUAAUUUUUCUUUUUUUAUUAGUUAAAAUUUUGGACUUUUCACCUAAAUUUAAUUUUUUUUUCUUAAUUCUAUUCAAUUGUGAUCACUACAAAUUCAUGAUUUAUACAAAAAUAUUAAUGUCAAAUAAUUUUAUAAUAAAUAAAUAUUAUAUUUAUAAACAAAUAUUUUUAAAAAAAUUUUAAACAGCAAAGCAAUCGGUUCUUUGAUUUGAUUCGGUUUUGAACCAAAUCAAAUGAGAACCAAUUGAUUCUCCGAUUAAGUUCGAUUUUAAAUUGAAUCAAAUGAGAACCAAUCGGUUCUUGAGUUCCUGAACUAUUUAAUUUAUUUAUUUUUCUUAGAAAUGAAUUGAACAAAAUUGAGUAAUUUCAGUUUAGUUUGAUUCGAAAAAAAUCGAACUGAAUGCCUGCCCCCAAUUACCCUUAUCCACAACAUAAGCUUCAUCUGAAAAACUUGAAUAUAAGAGACAUACACCUAUUUAAAAAUAAAUAAAUAAAAGAAAACUAGAUUUAAUACACAUAAAAGUCAUUAUAAAAAAAAUAAUGUUAAAAUUGAAACUGCCUCGAGGCAUUCUCCGAUAUAGGGUAUCAUAAAUGUUAUUUUUUUGGCUUAUAUCCAAUCUAAACCCCAGAUUAGGAAAUAUGCGAGUAUUGUUACUUGCAUCUCAGCAAUUGCAUGUGCAUUAAUUUGUCGUUUUUAAACAUUUAUGAUGUGUUUACUUCUUGGAAUAAAGAUUGUGAAUCAAAACUAUGUUUACUUGACAAAAUUGAAUUUGAGAAUAUGAAUAAAUUGUGUGGGCUCCACACACUUUGGGAAUAAAGAAAUUUCAUUCCCAUGGAGGGGUUGGGAAUGAAAAUGUGAGAUUGGGAAUGAAACAUAAAUUUACUUUUCUAUCCUUCUAAUUUUUUUAUAUUUCUUAAAUUACCUUUGUUCAAAUCACAAAUAAUUUUAUUAUUUUAAAUGUCAUUAAUAAUAAUAAUAAUAAUUAUUAUUAUUAUUAAAUUUUAUUAACUUUAUUAUUUUAGUUUUUAUUAAUUAUUUUUAUUUUUAUUAAUAUUAUCAUUAUUAACAAUAAAAAUAAUGAUAAAAAUAAUAAUUAAUAAAAAUAAUUAAUUUAUCAUUAUUAACAAUAUUAUCAUUAUUAUUGUUGUUGUUAUUAUUAUUAUUAUUAUUAUUAUUAUUAUUAUUAUAUUAAUAGUAAUUAAUAAUAACUAAAAUAAUAAAGUUAAUAAAAUACAAUACUAAUAAUGUUAAUAAUGAUAAUAUUAAUAAAAAUAAUAUUAACAUCAAUUAAUAAUAACUAAAAUAAUAAAGUUAAUAAAAUAUAAUAAUAAUAAAUAUUAAUAAUGAUAAUAUUAAUAAAAAUAAAAAUAACAAUAAUUAAUAAUAACUAAAAUAAUAAAGUUAAUAAAAUUUAAUAAUUAAUUAUUGUUAAUAUUAUUUUUAACAAUAAUAACAACAACAACAACAACAACAACAACAACAACAACAACAACAACAACAACAACAACAAUAAUGAUAAUAUUGUUAAUAAUGAUAAAUUAAUUAUUUUUAUUAAUUAUUAAUACUAUGAGUAUUUUGGUAAAUUGAUUCUCAUUCUCAUUCUUCAUUCCCAUUUAUUUUGUCAAGUAAACAUUGAAAUUUCAUUUCCAUUCCAGCACAUUCUUAUUCCCAACCCAUUCUCAUUCUACCACAUUCUCAUUCUCAUGAAGUAAACGCACCAUUAAUGUAUUUGUUUGGGUAGUUUAACUUGUGUCACUCGAGAUCUCAUAAAGUGCAAAAAUAUGAGGUACCGUACCAUUUAGUAAUUUCGAUGCGGAAUUUGAUGUUGCCCCGAACCACAAAAGUAAUUUUAAGAAAAUAGUGAUUAUUAGAUGCAGUUAAUUUCCGAGGGACCGUCCAUGGAAGAAGGUAACAUGAUACAUAUGCAUAUUUCCUAAUGUAUUACUUACGAUAUUUAUUACUUAUUAAAACUGCUUUUAAUAAUUUCUAGUCAUUUGUUUUUAACAUCUCGUGUUCCAAAAUUUAUCGCCAGUUUUUUUUUAAUUUGUCUUUGUCUCUUGACUCUCUUUCUCCGUAUUUUUCAACAUUUUCUUUUCAGCGUUGUCGUUUUUAUUGUUCCAAUCAUGCUAUUCUUAUUUUCAAUAUUUUUCACCGAUUUAAUGUUCUUAUUACCUUUCGACAUUUUUUUCUAAACCUUUAUUUCAAUUUUUCGGCGCACUUUAAUAACAUAAAAGUAAGUAAUCAAUAAUCGUAAAUUAGGAAUUCAUCUUCCAAAUGUAUAUGCAUGUUAUAUUGGGUAUUAGCCAAAUAUAUCUGCAUUUAGAAAAAUUCUUUGAUAUGGAUUCUUUUCACAUAUUUCAUAUUUAUUAUCGAUAGAACUAUGGACUACGCAAUAAAUGUAUGAAUUCAGAUUUCUAAUAGAGUUUAUAUUGUCAUAUACAUCUAGAGGCAAAUGUACGACGUUCUAAAAAUCUGAGUUCCAUCGCACAAAAAUUCGUACAGACGUUCGCAGGAGAAAAGGACUCCACAUGUAAUUAAUAUCUAUAGCGAUGCAUGCAUUGUUUCCUAUGGUUAAAUUUUAUGCUAUGAUAUCCACCGUGAGAAGAGAAUUUUGUUCCGAUAAACUUAAAGAAGAGAACGAGGAAAAGGGAAAGAAAACAUCAGAAGCUCAAAGCUGCAACGUAAUCAAUAGAAGCUGAAUAUGAGCAUUUCUACAUAAGCACAUACAGUACAUCUCAGACAGCAAGCAAACAGUAUUAAUCCUAGUCGCUGCUAUCAUUUUAUUCAAUAUUUUAAUGCAAGAGCCAUGUCACUUUAUUGGUGAUAUUAAUUAUUAUUGAUUAUAAUUUAUGUGACAUGGUUUUUCAAGGACGGUUUAGAAUUAUAUUGGCAUCACCAGGUUUUUCUCCUUGAGAGAAGGCGGCACUGGGAACGAGUUGAAGGUCCAAUUUAUAACCUCAUGGCUUUCUAAAAAGUCCCCCGUAGCUGCUGUGAAUCCAACAUAGACGGGCGUUGGAAUUAUAUCUGACAGGUUAAUGGGUUUUUCAACCACCUUCACAAGUGUUUCCCCCGAAUAUGCCGCAUAAACAGAGAGUUGUCCAAAGUCUGGAUUGUAAUAAAUUCGAACCUGGAUUGCUCGUCCACUUUUGAGAUCAACGUCAAGCAGACUAUUAACUGGAUUUGAUUCGAUUCCGUUUAUGUCGAUGCCAAUAUGGUUAUCAUCUGGAUCAUUCAGGUUCUUGUUCAGGCAUGUGUCCAGCUCCACGGCUAAUGGAGGAAAUUUAUCGCCUGCAUAAUUUACAUGCAUGAUCAUGAAUAUAUAUGUAUAAGUGUUAUAUAUAGAACAUAUGAUAUAUCAUCAUAUUGUUUAUCAUUUGACUGCCAUUAUAAAUAAAAUGCGCCCAUGCAUGCAUUUGUCAGUACUUUCAAUGGUAUCUGCAUAAAUUCUUAAUUCUUCACAUUGAUAAUCAUACCUGGUGAAGACUGCAGUCCAAGAUAUUCGCCGACGCCCUUUGCUGAUGGACCGUUUUUAUCGCUUGCAAAAAUGAACGUCAUGCCAUCUCCGGCACGAUCAGUGUAAUUCUGAUGGCGUGAGAUCUUAAUGGUGAUGGUGGUAUCAAUAAAAGAUCGCUGUAAACUCAGAGGCUUGCCGUAUAAAACCCGUCCAACCUUUCUGAUCGGCAGGUUUGGUGGAGGGCCUGGUGUGAUGCUUAAGGCGCCGGAACUUUCAAUCGCUCCGUAGCAAAUGAGGGUCUUAUUGUCACAACUGUCUUUGGCGAAUGAGGGAAAUGAGAAGCUAAUAGGUGUGUCUUCGGAAAGGAUUGAUGAAGAAGCUCCGCGAAGAAAAACGGAGAGGAGUAGUAGGAAAAUCAUUUUUUGUUCUGCGAGGGCUACUUAUUGAAUGGCAUCGCUCAGCUUCACAUGCACUUAUUAUAUAGGGGACUUAGACAUUUUUUUAUUUAUUUAUUUUAAUUAUUUUUUUCUUGUGUGUCGGUGACAUUUUUUUUUAAAGGUCACUCUCCUUUGAAAACCUUGUGUAGCACAUGAAUAUAAUUGUGAGUAAAAUAUAUAUACAAAAAAAGGUGAUGUCGUUUGCAUGAAAAUUUGUAUCAUUAAAGACAAAUAAAAUUCAUUCACUUUAUAAAUUUUUUACUUUUUAUACAAAAAUCUUCAUUUUAUUUGUCAUGUACAAUUUUUUAUGCAAAUAACAUUACUUUUUUUUUUUAUCUUAAUACCUUUGUUCAAUUAAGAAAUACAAUCUAACGUGCCCACCCCCAACAAAUGUAUAGUCAUAAUGAGACUAGUGUAUGAAAUGUAAGUAAAUAUAGAUCAAUAAUCUCUUGAUAAAUUAUUUUUGUAUAAAUUGAUGUGGCACAAUUUAAUUGGUUAGAUUAAAUAUGCUUGGCCUAUAUGAUUUAACUUUAUUAUUGAGAGUAAUCUAAACGAAUAAAACUAAAGUUUUGAGCCCCUUUUAUAACAAGCCCAAAUAUCGUGAAUUUAUUAAAAUAAUUAAAUUUAAAAUAUAAUAUGAUAAUUAAAUUCUCCUAAUCAAAUAAGAAAUCUAAAAUAAACUAUAUCCAAAUUCGAUAUCUUAAAAAAAAACAUAAAAAUCUUUAAAAAAUUAAAAAAUUAAAAAAAUCUUAAAAUUUAAAAACGAUAAAAAAACAAAAAUUUUGGGCUCAAGUAUAGUCCAAAAUAAUAUAAGCAAUUCUAAUUUUAAUUAAUCUCAUCGUAAAUUUCAAUACAAAAAAUAUUACGUCCCAAACGGACGUCCGUGGCCUAAAUUAUGCUCACCGGAAGCUAAGCAGCCGUCCUACGUUACUAAGCCAUUAGAUAAUAUCCUAUGUAAAUUUAGUAAAGGCAAAAAUGGGGGAUACGUAAUCGCUGAUGAAAGGUAGCCGUGCACCACAUUCUCUUAAUUUUAUGGGGAAAAAAAAAAAAAGAAUAGGAGGGGUAAAAACAAAAAAGGAGUGGUUGUGUCAGUAUGUGGUCUACAUCUGGGCCCAGUUAAAAAUAUUUUACUUUUAUCAAUUUUCUUAUUUUAUUUUCCCAAACUAACUCCUGAUCUCUCCUCUCUCUUUGGUACCUCACCACAGCUACAGUCUGCAAAUAUGCAAUCCUGUUUAUUUAUUUAUUUAUUUUUCAAUUUGACGUAUACGUAAAGAUUUUUACAUAAAUUUCUGUUACAUAAAGGUAUAAAAUUCAUAUUUCUUUCUCACCUUGUUCUUUCAAUAUUUUUUCCAAUAAGAACGAUUUUUUUUUUUUUUGUAAAUGAAUACUGUUUUGAGUGAUGUAGUUCCAUUUAUAUUAUAAUAAUAAUUAACAAAUUUUUUUAUUAAUAAUUUCACUUGUGUCAAAUUUACAAUGAUAAUAUGAAUAUUAAACAAAUAAUCACUAAAUGCAUCACACAAUGGAAAUAAAAAAAGCAUAAAAAAAUUUCACCAAAUACAUUUUCAUUAUUUUCAUAUUGUCAGAUAAACUACCAAUUGUAUUUUUUUUACUUUUUUUUAUUUUAUAUAUUGUUUUGGAAACAAUUUAGCAAAUACCCUUUCACUUCUAAAAAUAUCACAUUAAAAAUAUCGUUUUUCUUCUCUAAAACAAUUAUAGAAAAUACUAACUAAAAAAACAAAAGACCAAACACAUUGUAGACGAUACCAUGUUUAUAUGAGGGGACCUUGUCCAAGGUUGUGUGUUUAUACGAGGGGACCUUGUCAAGGGUUGUGUGUGAGAUGCUGAGAGAUGAUAUAUGAGGGGACCUUGGCCAAAGCAAUCAAAUCAUUACAAAAUGACAAUGUCUUGACGAGACACUAAUAUACAUGAUAAUCUCGUGAGUUUUAUUUAGUCCAUUCAUAUCCUAUCAUGAAAGUAGGAGUGACUCUAUCUCUCACAUCGUACCAUGUUUCUUCACCUUAGAAAUUGUUAGUUAUCUCAUUUGGAAUGGUGCCAAAGCAAGGAACAUUGUGAUUAUCUUUAGGGAUGGCAAUGGGAAGGGGAGGGGAGGGGAACAAUCUCCUCAUAUAUAUCCCCGAUAUUUUAUGUAUGUCUUCAUCCCCUCCCCAUCCCCAUUAAAAUUAUUUAAGAGAAUCAUCAUCCUCUCUCCGAAUAAUAACAGGGGAUCCCCGAGGGUCACCGAUCUUCGAAUAACUAAUACAUUUUUUUUGUUUUCGAUUUUGAGUUAAUCAUAUUAAAAUAAACCACCUCAUCCUCAUCCCCUCCCCGAAUAAGAAAUUGGGUAAAAAAAUUUCUCCGUCCCUUCCCCGAAUAAGAAAUUAGGUAUGAAAUUAUCCACAUACCCUCCCCGAAUGGGGAAAAUCCCCGAGGGUACCCGUCCUCGUGGGGAUUUUUGCCAUUCCUAAUUAUCUUAUGGGUGUAACUACGAUGGAAUUGUUCUAAAGUAGGACAUCUCUUUAUAACCACACAAUCAAAAUUAUAAUGAGUUUUUUAUUAUUUAUUACUUUACGUGUAUGAUGAGAUUCCUACUCCACCAUAAAUCUAUUCCAACAUAGCCAUAUCCUUAUUUUAAAUAUUUUAUUUUUUGAGGCUACUAGAUUUCAGUUUCAUAUAUUCAUAGGAUAAUUUAAUUUUGUGGACCGUAUGAACUAUAAUUUAUAAAGUGAAGAUCAGCAACCUCGUGAGCGAAUUGUCUCUUUAUUACAUAUCAAUUCAAUUGGGGACCAACUACUUUAUCACAGUAAUAAGUAACCCCUUAUUUGGUCUUUUACAAAAGCUACUCUUGUAAUCCAGUGGGUAUAAUAGAAUACGUCAAAUAAAACAGGUCAAGUGUUCCCGUGUCAAUACUUUUCCUUCUUUCUCGAUCAACAUCUUCUCUUAGGCAUUUUCUCUCAUAUUCCUUCUAUAUUUUUAAAAAUCUAUUAACAUAUAUUACUAGUAAAAUUAAAUGGCUAAAAUUUUAAUUUAAUUAAUUUUUAUUUACAGCUAAAACUCUCUCUUUCUACUUUGAUACGAAUCUGCAAAUUGUUAAAAAAGGGAGGGGGGGGGGCGCUGAACGUAAUCAACGAAAAAAGCGAUCGGCAUAGACACUACGACAACAAUAUUGGAGUGGAUGAUGACAAUGUUGCUGUUGUAUCCAGAGAAGAUGAAGAAGGCUCAAGCCUAAUUAGUGGAUGUUGUGAGUAUGAACAACACCGUUGAAGAGAGCCUCAAUUAAAUUAUUCAGAUGCUAGGUUGAAAGAAACAUUUCGCCUUCGCCCACCUUCAACGCUACUGCCACCAGUACUCCCAAGUCAAAACUACUGCAACUGGUGGCUAUACUAAACCAAAAGGGUGCAAGUGUCAUUUUGAAUAUUGAGGCUACCCAGACAGAUCAUUUUAUUACAAGGAAUUCUUGUAACCGCUUGCAGAUAGAUUGCGAAUAAACAUACGUGAGUUUAAAUGUUUAUUUAGAUAAAAUUAGUUAGAUUAAAAUCUUAACCAUUUAGUUUUAUAAAUGACACAUGUUAAUGGAUCUUUAAAAAUGUUAGAGAACUAAGAAAAAAAUAUCUAGAAAAGAUUCAGAUUAUAAAAUAAUUUCACAGCUUUGCCACUAUGUACACUGUACACCAAAGUUUUGUUAAAAUAACAAAUGCAUCCCACCCGGUUAGGAAAGGACUUAUGCAGCCUUAUGUUAUAUUUUGCCGUUUAAUAGAUUAAAUUGAAGGAUAAAUUUGUAUUUUCAGGAUUAUGCAUUCAAAAAAUUUAAAAAAAAAACUUAAUAAUAAAAAACGAAAGCGGAGCCCUCUUGCACCUCAUCAUCUAGAGAUAGCAAAAAAAAUCAGGCCUAGCCUAGCCCAUGCAAGACCUAUCUAGAUCAGCGGUAUUUAGGUUCGGCCGACAAUAAAUGGGUCUAAUUAUGGACUGAAACAGUAAAUGAGUUUGAAUAUGAGCUAGUGGAAAAAGUCCGUACUUUAUAUUUUAAACUAAGAAAUAGAACCGCACUUUGUGCGGCUUUAAAAAAAAUUUAAUAUUAUCUUUUUUUAUUACUUUUCACUUAAUGAAACUGAUAAAAAAUAUGAUUUUUAAAAAAGAUGACGCAGCCUUAUAAAACUAAUGUUAUUUAUGAAAGUUAAUUAUUUUUUUGUUAACAUUAAAAAUAUAUAUUAAUGUGUAUAAUUAAGUGUACACAACCUUUUCAUUCAUAAAAAGUAUGUUCACACUAAUCAACUUUCUAUUUUUCUAGGUAUUAACAGACUCCCACAUCUUACAAAGCAUAACCCUUAUCAUCUAACUAUCUUUAUCAUUGUUUAACUCAUGAAGAAAAGAGUACUCCAUGAAGCACACAAUAAUAAAAAUUUAAAUAAGUCAAAAAAUAAAAACACAAGAACAUUUCUAAAGAGGAUGUUGGUUAAAUAAUAAAAAAAACUCAAACAUAACAAAUCUUAAAUGCUUAAUAUUUAUAGAGUUUGAAGAAGCCAAAAGACACUAAAUAAAAGGUUGCAUAAUUAAAUAUGGGAUUAUGACAUUAAAAUUAGGUUCUACUGGCAUUGGUGAGGGAAGAUGAAGGAACAUUCAUUCCUAUAUUAAUUAGUUGAUAUAUUUUAAACCACUAAAGUUUAGUUGUUGGCUUAAUAAAAUAAAUGAAUGUUUCAAAACUUAUAAUUAAUUUAUUAUUAAUGGUUACAUAUUAUUGAAUUUAAAUAGAAAUAGGAAGAGACAUGUAAUCUUUUAUAAUCUAUAAAUUAUUUUCUAUUUUAAAUAUUUUGUAAUGUAAUUAUUUUUUAAUCUUAACUAAUAUAUUAGAUAAUAGAGAAUAUAAAAAGAUGAGAAAUAAUAAUGCCACAAAUCUUAAAUAUUUAAUGUUUAUAGAGCUUGAAGAAGCCAAAAGGCACUAAACAAAAGAUUGAAUAAUUAAAUAUGAGAUUAUGACAUUAAAAUUAUGCUCUAAUGGCAUUGUUGAGGGAAGAUGAAGGAAUAUUCUUUCCUAUAUUAAUUAAUUGAUAUAUUUAAGCCACUAAAGUUUAAUUGUUGGCAUAAUAAAAUAAAUAAAUGUUUCAAGAUUUAUAAUUAAUUAUUAUUAAUGGUUACAUAUUAUUGAAUUUAAAUAGAAAGAGGAAGAGACAUGUAAUCUUUUAUAAUCUAAUAAUUAUUUUUUAUUUUUAAUAUUUUGUAAUGUAAUUAUUUUUUUAAUAUCAACCAAUUUAUUAGAUAAUAGAGAAUACAAGAAGAUGAGAAAUAGUGAUGCCACAUCACCUCCUCUAGUCCCAACUUUAUAUAUAUAUAUAUAUAGAUAUAGAUAUAGAUAUAGAUAAAUAGAUAGAUAUAAAUUUUUAAUAUUUUGUAAUGUAAUUAUUUUUUAAUCUCAACCAAUAUAUUAGAUAAUAGAGAAUAAAAAAAGAUGAGAAAUAAUGAUGCCACAAAUCUUAAAUAUUUAAUGUUUAUGGAGCUUGAAGAAGCCAAAAGGCACUAAACAAAAGAUUGAAUAAUUAAAUAUGAGAUUAUGACAUUAAAAUUAUGCUCUAAUGACAUUAUUGAGGGAAGAUGAAUGAUCUAUUUUAAUAUUUUGUAAUGUAAUUAUUUUUUAAUUUUAACUAAUUUAUUGGAUAAUGGAGAAUAUGAAAUAAUGAGAAAUGGUGAUGCCACAUCACCUCUUGUAGUCCCAACUUUAUAUAUAUAUAUAGAUUUUGUGUAUUUAAUUAUUAAAUUUUGUGUAUUUAAAAUAAUUAAAUUAAAAAUAUAAUAUGAUAAUUAAAUUCUCCUAAUCAAAUAAGAAAUCUAAAAUAAACUAUAUCCAAAUUCGAUAUCUUAAAAAAAAUAAAAAUCUUUAAAAAAACAUAAAAAUCUUUAAAAAAUAAAAAAAAUUAAAAAAUCUGAAAAUUUAAAAACGAUAAAAAAAUAAAAAUUUUGGGCUCAAGUAUAGUCCAAAAUAAUAUAAGCGAUUCUAAUUUUAAUUAAUCUCAUCGUAAAUUUCAAUACAAAAAAUAUUACGUCCCAAACGGACGUCUGUGGCCUAAAUUAUGCUCACCGGAAGCUAAGCAGCCGUCCUACGUUACUAAGCCAUUAGAUAAUAUGUUAUGUUAUAAUUAAUAUAACAUACACACUCAACAACAACCACAUAAAUUGUGUGGACCCAUUAUUUGUGUGGUUGUUGUUGAGUGUAUAUGUACAUUAAUUAUAACAUAGAGGCUCCCAUUUAGUAAGGCAAAAAUGGGGGAUACGUAAUCGCUGAUGAAAGGUAGCCGUGCACCACAUUCUCUUAAUUUUAUGGGGAAGAAAAAAAAAAGAAUAGGAGGGGUAAAAACAAAAAAGGAGUGGUUGUGUCACUAUGUGGUCUACAUCUGGGCCCAGUUAAAAAUAUUUUACUUUUAUCAAUUUUCUUAUUUUAUUUUCCCAAACUAACUCCUGAUCUCUCCUCUCUCUUUGGUACCUCACCUCAGCUACAGUCUGCAAAUAUGCAAUCCUGUUUAUUUAUUUAUUUAUUUUUCAAUUUGACGUAUACGUAAAGAUUUUUACAUAAAUUUCUGUUACAUAAAGGUAUAAAAUUCAUAUUUCUUUCUCACCUUGUUCUUUCAAUAUUUUUUCCAAUAAGAACGAUUUUUUUUUUUUGUAAAUGAAUACUGUUUUGAGUGAUGCAGUUCCAUUUAUAUUAUAAUAAUAAUUAACAAAUUUUUUUAUUAAUAAUUUCACUUGUGUCAAAUUUACAAUGAUAAUAUGAAUAUUAAACAAAUAAUCACUAAAUGCAUCACACAAUGGAAAUAAAAAAAGCAUAAAAAAAUUUCACCAAACACAUUUUCAUUAUUUUCAUAUUGUCAGAUAAACUACCAAUUGUAUUUUUUUACUUUUUUUUAUUUUAUAUAUUGUUUUGGAAACAAUUUAGCAAAUACCCUUUCACUUCUAAAAAUAUCACAUUAAAAAUAUCGUUUUUCUUCUCUAAAACAAUUAUAGAAAAUACUAACUAAAAAACAAAAGACCAAACACAUUGUAGACGAUACCAUGUUUAUAUGAGGGGACCUUGUCCAAGGUUGUGUGUUUAUAUGAGGGGACCUUGGACAAAGCAAUCAAAUCAUUACAAAAUGACAAUGUCUUUACGAAGACACUAAUAUACAUGAUAAUCUCGUGCGUUUUAUUUAGUCCAUUCAUAUCCUAUCAUGAAAGUAGGAGUGACUCUAUCUCUCACAUCGUACCAUGUUUCUUCACCUUAGAAAUUGUUAGUUAUCUCAUUUGGAAUGGUGCCAAAGCAAGGGACAUUGUGAUUAUCUUUAGGGAUGGCAAUGGGGAGGGGAGGGGAGGGGAACAAUCUCCCCAUACAUAUCCCCGAUAUUUUACGUAUGUCCUCAUCUCCUCCCUAUCCCCAUUAAAAUUAUUUAAAAGAAUUAUCAUCCUCUCCCCGAAUAAUAACAGGGAAUCCCCGAGGGUCACUGAUCCCUGAAUAACUAAUACAUUUUUUUUAUUUUCGAUUUUGAGUUAAUCAUAUUAAAAUAAACCACCUCAUCCCCGUCCCCUCCCCGAAUAAGAAAUUGGGUAAAAAAAUUUCCCCGUCCCUUCCCCGAAUAAGAAAUUGAGUAUGAAAUUAUCCACAUACUCUCCCCGAAUGGGGAAAAUCUCCGAGGGUACCCGUCCUCGUGGGGAUUUUUGCCAUCCCUAAUUAUCUUAUGGGUGUAACUACGAUGGAAUUGUUCUAAAGUAGGACAUCUCUUUAUAACCACACAAUCAAAAUUAUAAUGAAUUUUUUAUUAUUUAUUACUUUACGUGUAUGAUGAGAUUCCUACUCCACCAUAAAUCUAUUCCAACAUAGCCAUAUCCUUAUUUUAAAUAUUUUAUUUUUUGAGGCUACUAGAUUUCAGUUUCAUAUAUUCAUAGGAUAAUUUAAUUUUGUGGACCGUAUGAACUAUAAUUUAUAAAGUGAAGAUCAGCAACCUCGUGAGCGAAUUGUCUCUUUAUUACAUAUCAAUUCAAUUGUAUAAUGGAGAUUUAGGAACCAGCUACUUUAUCACAGUAAUAAGCAACCCCUUAUUUGGUCUUGUACAAAAGCUACUCUUGUAAUACAGUCGCUAUAAUAGAAUAUGUCAAAUAAAACAGGUCAAGUGUUCCUGGUGUCAAUAGUUUUCCUUCUUUCUGGAUCAACAUCUUCUCUUAGGCAUUUUCUCUCCUAUUCGUUCUAUAUUUAUAAAAAUCUAUUAACAUGUAUUACUAGUAAAAUUAAACACACGUGAGUUUAAAUGUUUAUUUAGAUAAAAAUUAGUUAGAAUAAAAUCUUUAACCAUUUAAUUUUAUUAAUGACACAUGUCAAUGGAUCUUUAAAAAUGUCAGAGAACUAAGAAAAAAAUAUCUAGAAAAGAUCUAGAUUGUUAAAUAAUUUCACAGCUUUGCCACUAUGUACACUGUACACCAAAGUUUUGUUAAAAUAACAAAUGCAUCCCACCCGUUUAGGAAAGGACUUUUCAGGAUUAUGCGUUCAAAAAUUAAAAAAAAAAACUUAAUAACAAAAAAUGAAAGCGGAGCCCUCUUGCACCUCAUCAUCUAGAGAUGGUAAAAAAAACCAGGCCUAGCCUAGCCCGUGCAAGACCUAUCUAGAUUCGAGGGAUCUAGGUCCGGCCCGCAAUGAAUGAGUCUAAUUAUCGGCUGAAACAGUAGAUGAACUUGGAUAUGAGUUAGUGGAAAAAGCCUCCACUUUAUAUUUUAAAUUUUAUAUAUUUUAUAUUUUGUGUAUUUGAUUAUUAGUCUAUUAUAUAUUGUAUAAUCAAUAAAUCAUUUUUAAUUUAAGCAUUUUUUUAUUUUUUCCUAUUUUAAACACUAUUACAAAUUCAUUUUAAAAUUUUUUAUCUAAGCCUAGACCCGGCCCAAGCUUACUCCGAAUACAUAGGCUUUUGGCCUAAGCCUGACUCGUCUAAGUAUGGACAGACUUUUGGAAAGUUUUGGAUCUGCUGUCAUCGCUAUCAUCAUCUUCCUUGAACUGGUCAGCAUCAUCAUUCUCCAAUUGAUGUUUUUCCUUUUUCUUUUUCUUUCAUAACUCCAAUUCUCUAUAAUUAUAUUAACUAUGAAAAUUGGAACCCUACAGGGCCACACCAAACUUUUGAAGCAAACGGCAAUUGAAAUUAUAAUUAAUGCAAAAUCCCACAUCCAAUCCCCUUUAUUUCCAACCUUCAAAUUCAAAGUCUCUCAAUCCUCCACUGCAAUGAACAUGGCGACAUUCAUGUCUAAUCGAAUAUAAAUCCAUUUCAUUGUCAAACUACCCCACAAACAAAGCCAAAACCAAACCGAGGUUCACAAGAGUCCGUAUGUCUGUACCAAGAAUAAACAAUUCGAUUGAGUUACUGUAUAUUUGCAAAAAUUUCGAUCACAUUUGUUACCAAAUCAUCAACUUAAAGGAAAAGAAUUUGAACCCAGAUGAAUUUUUUUUUCUCAUCUUGUUUAACAAGCACCUAGCUAAGAACGAUGUUUUGGGAAUUUGAGGGAAUAUAAAUUCAAACUAAAAUUCGUGAAAUUGGGUUUGAGGGAACUUUAAAGUGAAAUGAGGGAUUGACGUAGUCAAAUUCAAAAACAUAGUUUAUGGUAAGUGGGAGCCAGAAACAUAAUUUUUUAGUUCAGCCUGAACAAAAUAAAUAAUUUUUUAGCACGAUAAAUUGAGAUUACUGGAUCAAAAAAGAAAGGAUUCAGAUCCUUUUUUAGGGUCUUUCUCUUCUAAUCCUCCUAUACUUUCGAGGAACUGUUAUUAAUGAAAUUAAACUGCUGAGAUUUUAUUUUAAUUAAUUUUUAUUUAUUGAGAAAUUCAAACUCACGUGAUUGUUGUUAAAUUCUUUCCGAGAUUUUUUUUUAAGUAAUGAUACAGCCACAAAUUCUUGUACAAAUUUAUUUUGUACAAACUGAUGUGGCAUGAUAAGAUUGGUUGAAUUAAAUAUCACUUGGCCCACAUGAUUUAUUUUUAUUAAUUUAUAUUUUCAUUCAACCAAUGAAUUAAUUCCACGUCAGUUUGUACAAAAUAAGUUUGUACAAGAGUUUGUGGCUGUAUCAUUACUCUUUUUUUUCCCUCUCAUCUCUUUCUAUAAUGACGCCCAUCUCUAGAAAACUGUAAAAAAAAAAAAAAAGCACACAUUGGAGAAAAGAAAUUGACAAUAAGGUUUGCAUCUUACCUUCAAUUUGUUGAUUUAUUUAUUUUUUCUUGAUGUUUGGCUUCUUUAUGGAUCCAGAUUUCUACAAUUAAUUAAAACAAUUGUCUUCUUUAUUUAUCUUAUGUAUCGUUACAGACUUAUUAUUAUGGCUUUAGAAUGCUUGACUGAUUUGGAUGGAAAGUGUAAGUUUGAAAUGGAAUUUGAAUAUGAGCAAUUAGCAUAUGAUUUCUACAAUAAGUAUGCAUUGAAAAUGGGAUUUAGUAUUAGUAAAGAGACAUUUUCUAAUAAUAAGAAAACAAGUAAAAUGACCUCGAGGAUAUUUGUUUGUUCUAAGGAGGGAUUUCGUAAGAAGGAUAAGAGAAAUUAUUAAUAGAUUUUUAAUUUAUAUAUUAAUUACUGUUUGUGACUGAUUUUGGGUCAAUGAAUAAAAAACCACAAAACCAAACCAAGAACAAUAAAUUUAUAUUUUGUUGGUGAGUAGGGUGCCUCGCUUGUUCGUCGCGUGCGGGCUGUUUAGAUUUUUUGUGGAGUGGAGAAGGAUUGAGAUGUCGGUGGAUAUGGAGGGGGUCUGACUUCAGAUGCGGAGGGCUGGUGAAACUCGCUUUAAACCUACGAAACAACUAAAAAAGAGGUCAGAGGUGGAGCCAGGGGUGGCCGGCGACCACACUCCGACACUCAAGUCAGAGUUGGGUUAUCUCAGGUUAGAGAGCUUGCAAGCUCUCGGUAAUGGAGGUUUUGAGGUUGAAGAAACCUUAGUUUUUGGUGGUGUGUGUGUCAACUUACUUGAUAAAAAUUAAACCUGAGUAUUUAUAUGGUGUACCCUGGUCGUUGUGCCACCUGGCGCUAUUUUAGUGGCGUUCCCUGCUGUCAUGUCAGGAAUAUUCUUAUUUUCAUGCGUAUGACGGCUUAGGUGUUUCAAAAAUGUGUAGAGGGCAAGUUUGUGGCGUAUUCACGUGCUGGGCGUAAUGGAGUGGUCUCGUGUACCUCUGCAAUUUCGCUGUAAUUUUACAGGCGUAGUAAGAAAAGCCGGUGGUCCCAACUGUCAUAAUAUCAAACUUUUUGCUAAUUCGCUGGCGUGAUAGGCAACUGUCUCCUCUUUUGUAGCACGAGAUUUCCUCACCGAUUCUUUUUUUUUUUUUUACACGUAUUCAACCGAUCUUUUUGAGAUUUGUGGCUCACAUAUCUCUUGACAUUUGACAAACAUUUUUCCUAACCUUCUUACCCUUACUCAAUGUGUCCCAGGUACCAAGUUUUGUGGGGUAGGUCGGGUACCCCGGGUGCCGAACUAAUGGUGUAGGUCGGGUACCGAGUUUAUAGUGUAGGUCAAGUAUCUCGGGUACCUAGUUUAUUGUGCAGGUUGGGUAUCUUGGGUACCGAGCUAAUGAUGUCGGUCGAGUACCACGAGUACCGAGUUUAUAGUGUAGGCCAGGUAUCUCGGACACUGAGUUUAUAGUGUAGGUCGAGUACCUCGGGUAUCGAGUUUAUAGUGUAGGUCGGGUAUCUUGGGUAUCGAGUUUAUAGUGUAGGUCGGGUAUUUCGAGUACCGAGCUUAUAGUGUAGGCCGGGUAUCUUGAGUAUCCUUAGUACCGAAUUUUAUGGGGUAGGUUGGGUACCCCAGAGGAUAACUAAUAAUUACAUAACCUUUGCAUCGACACAUGACGCUUCAUUUUCAAUACUCUAUUUAUCCCCAAACAAUUACUAUCACCUUUAUUUAGAGCCUGUUUGGUAUGGCUUAUUUAAUCGUAUAACCACUUUUUAAAAUUUUUUAUGGUGUUUGGUUAUUUUUUUAGUAGAGUUUUUUUAGCUUAAAUAAGCUAAUUUACCUCUACUAGGAAAAGCCCAAAAUUUGAGCUUUUGAGAGUAGAGGUUAUAAAGUUUUUCUAAAUAUAUAUAAUAUAAAAAAUAUCACAUAGUUUAAUGGUUCAAAUGUACUUUUUUUAUUGACAACCAAACACCCAAUGGCUUUUUGUCAAAAAGCUCUAUUUGUAUAAGCUCUAUUUAAUAAGCUGUACCAAACGGAGCCUUAAUAGAUUUUAUAUUAUCCAACAUUAUUAAUUUAUUGAAGUGAUUCUAUAAUCCAAAUCCAAUGAGAAAUUAGAGUCCACCCAAACCAGCAUCAUUAGUUACAAUUUUAUACACCACUUAUCAGACCAUUUUUUUUUAAUAAUUAACAUUCAUUCAUCGAAAAAAAAAAAUAUUUACAUAGAUUGUCUAGAUUCUUAUAUAACAACUGAUGCUAUAAAAUUGGAGAGGCAGGAAAAGUAUAAGAAGGUCAUAUUGCUGAAACUGAAGGGGUUUGAGAUAAGUUCCAUACCUUUAUAGCAUGCUUACAAAAAACCAAGGCAUGCAAAGUGUCGCCAUACUUGAAGCCGCAAUAGAAACAAGUUGUAUUCAACAAAUUAAAGGCGUGUUUGAUGUUGUUUUUCAAUUCGCAUUUUCUUGAAACAAAAAAGGAAGUAAAAAGCAUUACGAAGGUCCAAACGCCUAAUGAUGCUUCUCCUUCAACUCCAAUAGCAAACCAACCAAUUCGGGCAACAGCAGUGUCAAUAGAACUUGAAUCCCAACUGUCGCCAGAGAAAUGAAAUUUCUUUCUCGCUCGUUUUCCUAACUCUUCAAUUCAAUCAUUUCUCUCCAAUUGGUGGCUAAAACAAGAACCAAAAACUAGAACGCAACGUAUUUCUUCCACAAUAAUUUUCAUAAUGAAAAGUGUUUUCGAUAGAUUUUAGGGUAGGAAAAGCCAAACCAAUCUAGAAUAAUGAAUUUGUAUUUUUGGGGGAGACGGGGUACCUCAUUGGUUUGUUAUGUGCGGUGUGGUGUAUCUAAAAUCCGGGGGAGGUGAGAAGGGGAGGGGGAGUGGUAACCAUGGUGAAAGGUCAGAACCAAGAGAGAUGUCCUUCAAAAUGAACUUCACGCCUGCAAAACUGUGAAAUAGAGGUUAGAGGCGAAGCCGGGGUACCCCGACGUUCACACUCCGACGCUCAAGUUAGCAAACUCAAGCUUUUAUGGUAAAAAGGGCUGGCUAGCCCUCUGUAAAUUAAGGUUUAAAGUUGAAGAGAACCUAUUUUUUGGAGUGUGAGUGUUAAUGGUGAAUGAGAGCCUCUUUUAGAAUAAAACCUAUGCACAUUUAUAUAUGGAGUACCUCAACUGCCACGUGGCAUACCCCUUUCGGCUAACGUCUUUUUUACCUUUUAUGAUUUUGGGGCCAUUAUUUGCAUGUUCGCAGCGUAUCGCAUCCUUUGGAGAUGUGACGCAGAAAAGUGGUCCAGGGUACUUCUGCAGUUGCUGUCGGGUAGGCGGCUGAGGACCACUGUCCUUAGGACAAUGUCCUUCACUUUUGGCAGAGGUAGCAGGCGGCUGUCCCCCUCUUUUAGUACGAUGUUCUUGAUUCUUAAUUCUGACAAAAUCGAAUAAUAUCUUUUAAGAGAUAGAGACGUUUCUCAUGGCGGAUAUUUUCAGAGGAUUCUCUUACAUCCGAUCUGCUGGGUACCUCGAGUUACGCGGGAUACCUCAAUUUAUGUAGGGUACCUCUAAUUGUACGGGGUACCUCUAGUUGUGUGGGGUACCUCUACUUGUGCGGAGUACCUUGAAUCAUGCCGGGUACCUCGGAUUGUGCGGGAUACCUUCAAUUAUAUGGAGUACCUCUAAUUGUGCGGGGUACCUCAAAUUGUGUGAGGUACCUCGGAUUGUGCGGGGUACCUCAGAUUAUGCUGGAGUCAUUCCAUUUGUCGACACGUGACGCUUUAUUGUCUUUCCUAUUUUUCCCUCAAACAAAAAGUAUACUUCAUUCAAGCACAAACAUUUCAAAUUCACUAGUUAUAAUCAUCGAUAAUUUUUGUAGGUGUCAUAUUCUAAAAGGUACCUAAUCAUGUUUCGUGUCUAUCCUAUCAGAUAGUAGAAGUUAUUCCGGUGAAAUAUCACCUAAGUUAUUUCAAGAGAAUAACAUCUAAGAAAAAAUUUCUCCCGAAGCUUAUAAAAAUGGCAAGAGGGAGAAUUAGUUCUGCAAUCCAUUAGUUUAAGGAAGUCACGCUCAAAGGUCAUACAAGUAAGGAAAUACAUAAGGGAGGAAUAAUUCUUUAAAUCAAAUUCACCCCCACGUGUGCAGAAAUGAUGGGUGAUACAUGUUUUUAGAUUAAGGGUUCAAAGAAAAACUCUAAAUCUACAUCACUCAUAAUUUAUAACUAGAGGCUCAACUCUAAGAGAAAAGAGAUCUUGAGCCUCCAAAAGUAUUGUUCAUACUUAGAGAGUGAAAAUCAUUUUCUCAAUCUUUCUUAUUUCUUUAAUCUUAAUUAAACACUAACUUGAGCAUCAGAGUGUUUUUUUCAAGUACUCACCGUUCGAGAUUCGAUGCCAUUUUCAAGUACUCACCGUUCCAGAUUCGAUGCCAACAAUCGCGACAAGUUCUUUGCAAACUACAAAUACACGUGAAGGUAAAAAAAAAAUCCAAUACCUUGAAUUUUCAAUUCUAUUGCCACUGAUAAUAUAUCUGCUCCGAUGAUUAUGCAGUCUAUUUAUUAUGCUUUGAGUAAUGCGUCAAAUAUUGUUUCUUAAUUUAUUUCAUAAUUUGUUUUGAAGAACAGCGAAAAUGUGUAUGCCAAAGUGUUUUGCUUGUUAUUACUAUCAACUGGAGUUUGUUUUACGUGUUUUUAUUAUUAUUAUUUUUAGAAUUUAUUCCACCGAACAUGCACUUAAAUUAUAAAAGUAAAAAAAAAAAUAGGAACCAUGCAUCAAUACCGAACGGGCCCUAGUGUAUAUGAACAACUUUACUUCGAAUUGAUCAAUUUCGGCGCAAUAAGCAGGGCAUUGAAAAUGAAGCGAAUAAAUGAAAAAUAAAAAUUAAAAAAAUUGGUUCUCAUUUGGUUGUCUUUUUUUUUUUCGUAUAAAUGCCACCAACCAUCUUACAGAUUGUUUGAUGUUCACAAUUGUUUUGCAAUAUUUCUUCCACACUAGCACAAAAUGUUACAAGACAAAACCUUAACGCUGGACAAAUAAUAUCGCUCGGUUCUUGCGCCACGGGACUUGGUGAACCACGUGCAAAUCAGAUGCCAAGAAACGAAUUUUCUGUUUGUGAAUUGUGUAGUAAUUGCACUCAAAUUGCACAUACUUUUUUUUUUUUGAAAAGAAAGUACACCUUUCAUUGCCUCAAAGAGAGAACAAAUACACAAUUUCAACUGGAAAUUCAUCCAGCCAUAUACAUGGUUCUGACUUCCAAAGAGCUAGCUUAGCUAAAUCAUGAGCUAAAGUAUUACAAGUCCUCCCUACAUGCUGAGCUUUGAAAUUCUGGAAGCUCUUCUUGGCUUCUAGAAUGUCGAAGAUCACCCAACAAAGCUCUGUUAAGGUGCUUUGCUUGCUGUUUAUAAGCUCUAUCACCCUCUUCGAGUCGGAUUCUAAGAUGAUUGAUGAUGCCCCCGCCUUAAUAGCUGCUUGAAUUCCCCACAAAGCAGCCUUUGCUUCAUACAUCUCCACAUCUCCAAAACUUUUGAUAGUGUUUACUGCUGCAGCCACCACUUCACCUCUGUAGUUCCUGAUCACAGCCCCCAAACCAGCAAGAUUAUUUUGCUCAUCCAUUGCGGCAUCCACGUUAACUUUGACCCAAUCUUCACUAGGAGGACUCCACUGGCUUUGCUGCAUGCUUGUCAAUUCCAGUGAGAAAUUGUGCUCUGGUUGCUUUAUUCGUUUGACACAAUCUGCUGUAGACAUUGAUUUGGCUAUCAGUCGUGAUGGAUCAUCACACUUCCCCUGAAACAGCCAGUUGUUCCGAGCAUUCCAAACGACCCACAAAAAUGAUGCAACUAGCUCACCAUUUAGAUUGGUGUGAUGAUGAUAUGAGUGAUGAAGCAAAGUAAUAACAUCAGGGAAAUUUUCAGUUUUCAGAUCAAUUCCCAGGGAAGAGUAUCUCCACACUUUCCUCGCAAAUUUACAGAACAAUAAGGCAUGAGCUGUGCUCUCUAUCUCUUUCUUGCAGAUUGGACAAGUUGCCUCUUGCAUCACUUUUUUCUUCCUUAAAUUUUCUGCUGUGGGAAGAAGAUUAUUUGCCGCUCUCCAAAGGAAGAUCUUAACUUUUUCGGGGAGCAGCAACUUCCAAAUGAUAUUCCAUUGGCUGGGGUUUUGAUUUGAGCAACUAGGAAUGUCCUGGUGCUUUUUCUUUAAAGCUAGCUGAUAGCCACUUCUAACUAAAUAGUUCCCUCGCUUAUCAUAAUGCCAAAUUAUAGUAUCUCCAUUUUGUUGUCUAGGGAGAGGGAUAUGAACAAUUAUUUCAGCAUCAUCUUUACCAAAAUGUUGAUAGAUUAGCUCUUCCUUCCAGCAGUUGUUGUCAUCUAUAAGCUCUGCCACAUAGGCUUCCUUUGGUAAAUUUGGAGAUGAGAUGGGUUUGAAGGUUGAUGGUCUAGGAAUCCAGCUGCUAUUAUGGAUAUUUAUCUGCUGCCCAUUGCCGACCCUCCACCUGCAGCCAUUCUCCAACACUUCUCUUCCCCAAAGAAUGCUUCUCCAAAUGUAAGAUGGUUUGGAACCCAAAUUUGCUUUUAGGAAAGAUGAAUGCUUAAAAUAUCUUGCCUUUAGGAGUCUGGCCACUAGAGAGCCUGGAUUUUGGAUGAUCCUCCAGCCUUGCUUAGCCACGAGGGCCUGGUUGAAACAGGAGAGAUCUUUGAACCCCAAACCUCCUCUGAUUUUAACUUGGCACUAGUUCUCCCACCUAGACCAGUGGAUGUUUUUUUUUCUCCUUCGAUGAGCCCCACCAGAACUUGGCUAUUUCCUUUUGCAUAUCGUCACACAAUCCCUGAGGAAGCUUGAAAACACUCAUAGCAUAAAUGGGAAUUGCUUGUGCCACUGCUUUAAUAAGGAUCUCUUUACCUCCGCAUGAGAAGAAAUUUUGCUGCCAGCCUGAAAUCUUACUGAGCACCCUGAGCUUUAUCUCGUUGAAGAAACCCUUAGUCCUUUUCCCUAUCAUUGAUGGAAGGCCAAGAUAUUUUUCGUGCUUAGAGACGACAUUAAGCUGAAAAAUCUGUUUUAUUGCUGCUACAUGUUCCGGCUUUGUGUUGCUACUGAAAAACAUGGAUGAUUUUUCCAUGUUAAAAAUCUGUCCCGAAGCCCUCUCAUAGCAUUCAAACACCCUCUUUAGAUUUCUACACUCGUCAGCCGUUGCUCUAGCAAAAAUCAGGCUGUCAUUAGCGAACAGGAGGUGGGAGAUAGUCAAAUCUUUGCCGAAAUUUAAACCAUGGAUAAACUUUUGAUGCUCGGUCUGUCUAAUCAGAUUGGAAAAAGCUUCAGCACACAUAAUAAACAGGUAUGGAGACAGCGGGCAGCCUUGUCUAAGUCCCCUUUGUGGAUGAAAAAAAUCCUUUUGCCACCCCAUUUAAAAUAACAGAGAAAGAGACUGUAGAAAUGCAAUUCAUGAUCAGAUCAACCCAUCUCUGUGAAAACCCCAUUCUCAGCAUAAUUUGCUUCAGAAAAGGCCAUUCUACCCUAUCAUAAGCUUUGCUGACAUCUAGUUUAAGAGCCACCAGCCCAUGUUUUUUCCCCUUGCUAUGCCUUAUCUUAUGCAAGCAUUCAUAGCUUAUAAUAAUGUUAUCCGAGAUUAAUCUAUUCGGGAUGAAUGCACUUUGGGUUGGAGCUAUGACGUAGUGAAGGAUGUGUUUGAGUCUGUUUGUAAUUGUUUUGGCAACUAUUCGGUAAAUAACAUUACAAAGGCUUAUGGGUCGGAAAUCGGUUACUCUCGAAGGUUUUGACACCUUAGGGAUUAAUGCAAUAUGUGUAUGAUUUAAAGGGGCAAUGUCACCUCCAUUGUUUAGGAUAUGAAGACAUGUAUUUAUAACUCCAUACCUGACCAAUUGCCAAUGCUUCUGAUAAAAGGCCGCAGGCAGCCCAUCCGAUCCCGGCGCCUUUGUAGGACUCAUUUGAGAUAGGGUUGUGUAAAUUUCCUCCGCUGAGAACGGGCUGUCCAACUGUUGAUUCAGUUCAUCCAUGACUAUUGGGGUUAACUCUCUAAGGGCAGCUAAGAUGUGGUCUGAAUUAGGAUUGGAUGUGGUGAACAGCUCGGCAAAAUAAUCACAAAAUUGCUUGUCCACCUCUUCCUCAUCUUCCACCCAACUGUUCUGCUUGUUCAUAAUUCCCCAAAUUCUGUUUUUUUUCUUCCUUGACGAGGCUUUUGCAUGAAAGAAUUUGGUGUUUCUAUCUCUUUCCUUCAACCAUUCAACUCUUGACCUUUGUCUCCAAUAAAUCUCCUCAUCCAUCCGCAAAUUCUCAAUUCGCUUAUCUAAAUUCACCAUCUCAUUGUCUUCUUCAUACUGCACUUGAUUAAGCUUCAUCUCCACCAACAUUUUCUUCAGCUGCUCCACUUUUUUCUUUCUAUCACCUAAAUGCUGCCUAUGCCAUGACAAUAGGCGGGCCAUUGAGUCUUUUGUUGCUUUGUUGAAACAUUGAACUGGAUCCUUUUUAUCCCAAUCAAUCUUCAUCUCCCACUCUUCUUUAACAAUACGCUUGCAAUCGUCAUAGGGGCUCCACAUGUCCUCAUAAUGCAGCCUACAUCUCCUUCUUCGAUGAAACUUCACUCCCCUGAUUCUGGUUUGCACUUUCAGCAUAAUUGGAAUGUGGUCCGAGCUCCAUGUAUCUAGAUUAUAAGCAACCAGUUCAGACAAACCAGCUUCCCACUCCUUCGACCCUAAAAAUCUAUCUAAUUUUUCUUCAACAAAAUGAGGUCCAAAACGUCUAUUUGACCACGUAAAAGGGUACCCUCGACACUUAAUGUCGACCAACUUGCACUCCCUCACUGCAUCUCUAAACUCAGCCACCAUACUUAAGCUUCUAUCAUUCCCACCCAUUUUUUCAUUGGGGUUUAAUAUUUCAUUAAAAUCUCCAAAACAAAUCCACGGGUAAGUGAACAGACCUGCAAGUCUUUUAAAGAGUGUCCACGUAUGUCUUUUUUGCCCGGCCUCAGGAUGCCCGUAGAUACCCGUCUCCAUUGCUUUCCAUCUACCCCUCUGACAAUGGCAUCAAUAUGAUGGCUACUGUAAGAGGCAAUCUCCAAGUCCAAAUCCUCAUUCCAAAGCAUUGCCAAAACACCCCCUAUGCCACUUCUACCUACAGCAAAACAAUUAUCUAACCCCAGCCUCUUCCCCGUAUUCAUCAUGUGGCCAUACUCCAAUUUCGUUUCGCAAAGAAAAAUAAUUCGAGGCUGAUGUUUUUGGAGAUUGUCUUUUAACUUGUGGAAUGUUCGGGUAUUCCCUAAACCUCGAACAUUCCAACUUAAGAUACUCAUUGCUUUCGGCGGGGCUGACCACCAGCCUCCGCCGAUAAUUCCUCCAUAACUGGUUCGGGCACCUCCAUGAGUUCCAUGGUUGUUACUUCCCAGCUGAGUUUGAGAGUUUCUGAGAGGGGUUCAGUUGGGCUACCAACUAAGACUUCCUUCGCAGGGCUUGCAGGUUUGGCUUUUUUCUUUUUCGGACUAGCCCACAUCACCUCGCUGCAUAAUCGUUUUGAUACCACAGUCCCAGCUUUACUAGGUUUUUUGUUUGUGUCACGGGCUUGACUUUUCCAUCUUUUCCAUUUGGGCCUCGAUUUUUUUUUCUCCAGCCCCUCGUCUACAACUUCUUCCUCUGAGCUCAUUUGGGUUGUGUGCGUUUCAUUUGCCCGUUUUUCUUCUUUGCCCACCAAGAUUUCUUUCCCUUUCCAUUUCCCUCUAAAUUUUCCUUUUCUAGCAAAAGUCUCGCCUUUGUGUCCUGCAUUCCUGUUACAUCUGAAAUUUCAGCUGCACCGUUCAGCUUUUUGUCAUUGGGUUGCAUCAGUUUCUUUUUGCUUCCUUCCAAAUUGUCAACAGUCACAGCACCCUUCUCCACGUGUCCCACCUUUAUUAGCCCUCCUUCCCUUUCCGUGCUUUCUUUAUUCAAUGUGGAUCCGAAAUUCUGACCCAUGGUUAAGUUGGGUGAACCCGGGUUUGGGAUUUCUGCACUAUCCGAUUUUGGAACUUCUUCUCUAGAUUUCUCGUGCUUUCUACUCCAUUUCUCCUUUGCUCUGUUUAGCUUGGUUCUGUCUGCUAAUGAAACUGCUUUUAACCAUGGUCCAAACGGCAAGUUUUCUUUCUGCUGGCCUUUAUACUCCAUACAUUCUCUGAACUGGUGUCCAAUGCAUCCACAACAAAAGCAAAAGUCUGGUAAUCGUUCAUACACCACAGGCAAAGGGAUGUCCUCGUCAUCUUCUUGCUUUAGGACUAUAAGUUUCUUCAGAGGUUUUGUAAUAUUCACCGAGACUUGGAUACGCACAAAUUCCCCAAAGCAUUCACCCUGAGCAUCCAUGCCUAUGUCUUCCACCUUUCCAACCCUCGACCCCAGCUCUCGGAUUAUGCUAGUAUCCAUACACAUCAAUGGCACAUUAUGGAUUCGAAUCCAGAAGGAUACAUGAGAAAAGGAUUGUUUUUUUAUACUACCAAUACCCUUUGGUUCUUGGAGAACCAUCAAGGCUCUAUCGAAGUGCCACGGUCCUCCAUUAAAGACUCUCUUUUUAUCAGCUUCUGAGAGAAACUUAAAAACAAAUAUGUUGCUACCCAAGCUUUCUACCUUAAAAUCAUGAACAGUACGCCAAGCUUGGUCCAAAGCUGUUUUGAGUCCUUCACGAUUUACCCCUCUCGCUAAAAGAAUUUUUCCCACAAGACAACCAGCAACAGCUUUGGAACCCUUUUCUUUCAUCUGGCCUGCAAAAAUAAAUUUGUCUGCUUCCUCUCCUUCAAGUGUUAUGGCUUGACACUUCCGUAUUAACUCUUCCGUUUCCAUCUCCAAGCCACUAGCCCACGAUAUUUAUUGUAGUAUUUUGGAUUUUGCUUUGAAAACCCCCACCAACCCCUCCUGACCUUUCGAGGAGGAUUUUCAAAAAGCAAAAGAGCAAUUGAAAGCUUCACCCACCCCUUUGAGAUAGGACAAAAGGAAGAAGAAGACAAAAGAAUCACCUAGCACUCCUUAUGAGUGAUACUCAAGGCCAUGAAGGCCUCAUGUAGCUACCAUUCUACCUUUCCUCACUUCAGAGAAAAAGGAAGAAGGAGAUGUUCCAUUACCCAUUUGAUUUGUUGCAGAUCUAAACAAGCAGGAACUCAAAUUGCACAUACUACGCAUAUGAAAGUAACCUCUUCUUAGUUCUAAUCCAGAAUAGCAGAGCUUAACUUAUUUUUCACCAACAAAAUGUGUAUCUUCCUACUGCUUUCGCUGAUGAACAAAAAGCUGUGAGAAUGUGGAUGUUUUGCUUCUUGCUAGUCCACCUCCACUUGGUAAGAGAAGUAAAGCUGCUUUCAUUAACAUGACUUUAUAUAUAGAUAUUUGAUUCACUAAAGAACUUUUUAACUUUAAUACUUUGCUCAUCAGCAACAAUCUGUAUUAAGAGAGUAAAUUUUCAUAUCUAAUUAUACAUUAUCAUAAUCUAAGGAUACAAUUUCUUGCUUCUCUCCUUGCACCUAUGCUUCCCCUACUAAAGCAAUUUUGUGAAAGAAUUGAACAAAUUUCUCUUCAUGUUGCUCUGAAAACUACAAAAAAAAAUUAGAGGUGGGGGAAGGAGAUGAAUAACCAAAAGACAAUAGUCUAAUAGUUUGUCAAGCCCAGAUUGCAAGCAAAGACAUCAAUCCAGCUCCAAGAAACAGCAUCAAAUAAGACACUACUUGAAGCCUAAAAUUGCAGCUCAUCCUUUUACUGAGAAAAUCUGCCGCAAUUAGAUCCACUAAAGCCAUGUACACCAGAAUGCCGGCUGAUAUUGAAUCUAAGAUUCCUUCAACAAUCAGAGCACCUGGGCUGUUUGGGUUGUAAACUGAAGCAACUGCAGUACCGAUGCUGAUCCCUACUGGAGUUGUUAAGGCGAAAAAAACAUGCCAUUAACGUGGCUGAUUGGGUAUUGAAUUGAGCUUGCCAGAUGCAACCUCCAAGCGCAAAUCCUUCAAAGAAUUGAUGGAAGGAUAACGCUGCUAUCAAGGGUCUUAUUGUACAUGGACUAUGUGAAACUCCAAGCGAUAUCCCAAUGAUAAUCGAGUGUGAAACAAUUCCAAGUUCCAAAACCUGCAAACAUAACAACAGAUUUCCAAUUAGGACAAAUUCCAUCUCAUCUUUAACCACAUUUAAGUCACGAGCAUCUCACAUUUUCGCUGCUCACUUUCUUAGAAAUAGAAUUUCAAACAAAAGCAAACACUUAAUGCUAAUGGGAAACAAAUAUCAAUUAGUCGUAUAUACCUGUUAUAAUUGAACAAAACUUUACCAUCAUUUUAUGAAUGAAAUUUCACUUGAAUAAAAUUGUUAAAAAUUUACUUGCCAAGUCUAGUAUUAUUGUUUCCACAAAUCACAGCCAAACUACCAAAGCAAAGUCAUGGAGACAUGGACUGACCGGCCCCACCCAUAGCACUUCAAUAUCUAACGAGAAAAGAAAAGAUAGACAAAUAAAAAAGAUAAUAGGUCUCCCUUCGUACCUACGUGUCAUAUUCAGACUCUUUGUAUAGUUACAGAGUCCAAAGCAACACAAUUCGAGGCUAUAAGCAAAGAGUUAAAAUGCAUCAAGACAAACAAAAGUUAAAAGGUAAAUGUUAUGUUACAAUUAAUGUAACAUACAAACUCAACAAUAACUACAUAAAUUAUGUGGGCUUAUUAUUUAUGUGGUUGUUAUUGAGUGUGUAUGUUACAUUAAUUAUAACAUAGGGACUCCCAAGUUAAAAUUGUGGAAAAUAAAGUACGUCUAAAGUACUUGGGAAACAACGACGUGCCAAACCCCACUUUCCUCAUCCCCAUCACUAAACCCGUGAGAAUGCCCAAGCCUCUGUCCGUGUCCAUGGCCAGCCUCCUUCACGUGCCCCUCAAAAUAUUAAUACCAUUAGAAUAUUUAAUAAAAUCUGAGUACAAUUACUAUUUCACUCUUGAAUUCAAGGGAUUUUUAUUUUGCAUCAUAAAUAAUAAAAUCAAAUAAAAAGAAUAGUAAAAAGUAAAACUAUCAAAACCCAACAAACUUUUUUGUUUCAAAACAAAAUCGACCAAUGAUUUUGGUAGACGAUUGAUACAAAUUGCAAGCUUAGAGUAGAAAAUUGAAUACAUUCAAAAUUUGAUGUUAUUUUUGCUAACAUGGUAAACUUAAUGUGAGUGACUGACAGUUUUCCAACAUCUAGCAUCAGUGGUGCAUCCAGAGAAAUAAUUUACAGGGAGCUAUAUUAGAUAAUAGUACAAUGUAAAAACUAAAACCUUGAAUAUCUAAAAAACUUGCUAAUACAUUUAUAAUUGUUCUCAAUGCGUUUUUACAUUUUGAAAAUAUUAUGCAAUAGACUCAUUAUCAAUACUAUUAAAUUUAUUAUAUAUCAGAAUACUACAAAUGAGCAGUAACCCCUAUAAACCUCUCCAAAUGCAUUUUCUGUACACUUACAUUGGCCAGCGUCAGCAGUACCUUCUGCAAAUGCGUUGAUAGCUUCUGUACCAUAAAAAUGUAAUCUGACACUAUUCAAGCAAGAGUCAUUCUUUAAGAUAGCAACAGGUGCAGCAGUAAAGUAUUGGAAUGGAAUGCUUUUAGUGGAGGACAUUGCUUCUACAACAAGCAUCAACAGGGACCAUUCUGGAUGUAGCCUUAAGAAAUUCAUCUCAUCUGGCCUAGCAAGUGGCAUGCAAGGUUUCAGUUAAAAAUUAUCUAUCAUCUGGUGGCAAUGUAGGACUCUUGGAACACAUACUGAUGUUGUGAAGCUCCUUCAUUCUGAAGGCUGGAUUGCAUAAACCUGAAAUAUAAUGAUACUUCAGUCAUUAGGGAGGAUUCAAAAGUUAACUUUGCAGAAUAAUUAAAUUCCUGUACACUCUCUUCUUAAACUCUUAAUUAAAGAAUUUUAAAUCCAAUUCAGUCAUCAUAGAGGAUUCAGAAGGAUCAAAGAAGGUUCUAGGCUUGUGGCCUUCGUCGGUGGAUGUGUGGAGGCUGUGCCACCAGAAAUUGGGCUUGAGAAGUUUUGAUUAAAGCAAGAAAGUAACUCUUUUACUAUUCCCCGUAGCAUUGCUUACUCAGAAAGAACUUUCAAUGGAAGCAAGGUUAAUCAGCAGAAGCACUAUGAGCAUCAAUGAAUGUUUUGGAGAUGAGAGAGAGAAAAAAUAAAGUGGCAGAGGACUUGCAAUUAAGAUGAAUAUGCAAGAUUUCAGGGGUCAUCACUGUAGCAUAAUGCAUUGUCCAGUGUGCUUCAAACUCCUUCUAAACCAUCAGCUAAAAACGUAAUAUAAUAGAAAAUGUGAAAAUAUGCAUAAUCACCAGGCAUCAAAUCUGUUUUUAGGCCCCAUGAAUCUCAAGCUCCUCUAAUCCAUCAACUUAAAAAGAAAGAUAAAAAUAAUGAAGAAGGAACAGCUUACCGAAAAAGCUAUCCCGGCUAUACGAGAUAAAAAUGCCAGACAAAAGUUGGUAAAAAGUAAACGAAAUCUCUUAUUGCUGAAGAUGUGUUUCAUUGUAUUAAAGCCCACAACAAAUGUUUGGGAAUCUUGCAGCGAAGUUGUCAUCAGCAUCUGAAGAUUCGAUGUCCAGUAGUGGACCCAGCAACUGACCACUAAAAAGUUUAGACAACACAUGCAGCAUAUUGAUGGGUCCACAUGUCCCCAUGUCCCCAGCAUUCUAAGGCACUUGGAUUAUUGGAUGCUAGAUUUCAAGAGCCAGGGCUGUGGCUCCAUACAGCGGGGUCAAGAUUUUGGUGGAAUUGAACAACAAUCAAUCAUGGAGAAGCGCUCCCCAUGGAUGCCAGCAACCUUUCUAGCAUCUAGAGGAUCCAUCGCUCUACCGAAUGGGCUCCUUCCUCAUAAUCAUCAUCCUUAAUAUAAUGGCAGUCAAAUAAGGAGAAAGAUCUAAAUAGGAUAGAGGGUCUUGUACAGAGAGUGUUAUAGGUAGUGUGGUUAUCGACCUUGAUAUCCUUGGGACAGCCAUCCUACCUCGUCAUAUUCCUAAGGUACGUGUAAAAUUUAUAACAUUACCAUGACUUGUUAUGUGCAAAAAUCCUGUAUUCAAUAGCUUACUUCGCACCAUCUCAUCAACUCAAUGUAAUACAAAAUCAUAACAAACCUACAGAACCCUAACAAUUGGCGGUCCAUCAAUCUCACUACUUUUAAGAGGAACCUUCAUAUUUCAUGUGUAACGAAUACAUGAUCAUCAGAACUUAAACAGAAAGCGGGAUUUUCAAAUCUUAAUUUUUUAUGUAUCAAAAUCACAUAUCAAGAUAGUUCUUUGAGAAAGUAAGAAAUACAAUUACAGCAGGGCAUGUGAUAAUAAGAAACAUAGUUACCGCAGGGCAAGUUACAAAAAUUGUGUUACCUGAGCACUUUGGAAUAUCCCACACUGCUAUAGAUGUGGAAGUACAUCUAGGAUCACAUAUUGCUCUGUUAUCUUCGUGGUGGACGUUCAUAGCAAGCAUCCAUGACCCGAUAGUUACAUCCUCAGUGCUGAACAUUCUCAAACUGAAAAGCAGAACAUAUCUAUUAACAAAAGCAUAGAAGGAAGAAAGAUUACAAAAUAAAACUGAAAGAGAACAGACAAGGCAUUGUUACAUAAAUAGCAGAGCAAGUCAAAUUAACAUUUUCAAGGGGAAAAAAAUCUCAAAAUGUAUGCAAUGAGAACUUUUGAUCCCAGCAUCAUAAACAGGGAAAAAAUAUAAAAUAAAUUUCAUCUGGACACAUGAAAUUUUAACUUUUCGUUGGUUCUAAUGGAUAUUUUCAGUCAUUUUUCAGUACAAUCUUAAACUAAUAGGUAAAAGAAGAUAAGCAAAUGUGAAUGUAUGAAGACCAAUGAAAACUUUAUCCAAAUGCACCUGUUAUUUCUUGCAGCAGCUAGUGAAGCCACCACAUUUGCAGACAGAACAUAUAUAGGACCAUAAGCAUGCAAGAAGUAUUCAUUUCCAAUAAGGUGCCCUGAUUUUUCAUACCUGAAAUUUUCAAAAUUAUAAAUCAACUAAUAAAAUAAUUAAAAAAAUGAAGAAACAUAUGAAAAAAUAUAAGAUAUCUGAAAGAUAACAGUUUUAAUAAGCAAAACCCAUAUACCACUUCAUUUUAGGGUCAGUGAUCACAUGUCCUUUCUUCAUACAACCAAUGUAAGUCAGCGGAUUGCUACGUUCCUUGGCAAGAAGAGUUGCAAGACGAUCUGAAGAAGUUGAAAGAAAAUAAAUUUAUAAUGUCACAACGCAUUUAUAAGAGUCACAGAAUGCAUGAUGCCUAUCUUAAUUAUUUCAGAUACCAGGGCGCAAAUAAAUGUCAUCAUCAGCUUUGACGUAAUAAUCUGCUUCAAAAUGCAGGAAAGCUGCUUUAAAAUAAGCCAACCUAACAAUAGCAAAAAUGAAGAAACCAAAUUACCAAACAAGCCACCUUUUUUUUUUUUUGGAUCAAAAUAACAAAGAGAACUUCACCUCUUACGUUUAUAAGGAAGCUUUAAAUAUUCUUCCUGAACAUCUAUGAGCAUAAAAUCUCUGUACUUAUCAAUCUCUUUCUCAAGCUGUGCCGUCUUCUUUGCAUCUUUGGAUUUCCCAAUUACAAACCCGAAAUGCUAAUCCCGGUAACCUUGCGCUUGCUUUAUUUUAUAAAAUUUCCGACAAAUUAACCCAGCAUGUUUUUUCAGUUUUAAAACCCCCCCCCCCCCCCCCCCCCCAAAAAUCUUUGAUAAAAUAAAUGAAGCAUUUAUACCUUAAGAGUCUAUCCGGGUCAGAAGGGAACCACGUGCUGCGAAGAGCGGCCCGGCGAUCAGCUGAACCGAAGCCGCUUUGAAUUCCGACAAACCCGAGAAGCUUGGGGCGAUCAAGGAGAGCUCCAUUAUCGCGGAGUUUUCCAGAGUCGGAUAAAGAGUAGAAUGCACGGAAAGUGUCUUCGGAUCUACCGCAACGGUAGACAGGUAGGGGACUGGGGCGGCGGACGGCGUUGACGGCAAAGAUUAUGCCAGCGAGGCCGAAGAAGAUGGAGAGGAGUGAAAAGAGGAGAAUGGGCAGGGAUAUUUUAGAAUUAAGCUUAUGAAGCUUUUGAUCUUUGGCUGAGUAGGAUGAGUUUGUGGUGGUGGAGGUGGGAAGAGCUGAGGAGUUGUGGCGGUGGGAGAAGAGUGGCAUUUCGGUGAUUGUGAGUUGAGACAGGGAAAAUGUUGGGGAAAUUGGAUUGGCGAAAGGAUCUGUCGUUGCUUCUUCUAGCUCUAUACCACUGGUUCGGAAAUGGGAAGUAGAGUUUCUCGGAAGGGACGCUCCUGGGUGAAUAUUGACACCGCGAGGCUGAAGCUCCCUCUUUUAAUACCAUUUUCAGUUCUUAAAGACAAUUCAUGUUGUUUUAAAUUAAAAAAAUACAUAUCAUAUUAAGACAACCUCUGGUCGAUGGAAAAUGAUGUUUGCC
This 124731-nucleotide long non-coding RNA is filed under the name Citrus x clementina. RNAcentral's name for it is "Citrus clementina (C. clementina) long non-coding RNA (CCLE_LNC006468)". Lineage: Eukaryota; Viridiplantae; Streptophyta; Magnoliopsida; Sapindales; Rutaceae. The record is from RNAcentral.